RNAcentral lists this long non-coding RNA (167439 nucleotides) under Hordeum vulgare. RNAcentral describes it as "long non-coding RNA (HVUL_LNC003497)". Lineage: Eukaryota; Viridiplantae; Streptophyta; Magnoliopsida; Poales; Poaceae. The record is from RNAcentral.
GCCGAGGCUGUCGUCGGAUGUGUCGUCGCCGUCGUCGCGGCCGUUGCCGUUGAGCAUGAGGCGAUCCCCCCGCCUCCUGUCGGACCGAGGCGAGUCCCUCGGCCCCGCGCCGCCGGAGACGCCGCCGCCGUUGCUCCUGAGCCGCCGCCGCGGCGGAGGCGCCCCGCCGGACAUGGACACGGCGGCCCUCCUGCCUUCCCGGAUCCGCUCCAUGUCAGAUCUGAGGCAUGCGCCUCCGAUCUCCCUCCCUCCUAGUCGCCGCCGGCGUCCCGGCAGACCGCCGCCGCGCAGAUCCGCGCACCAACCGCCUCAACAAAUCCCCACGGGCAGAGCGAGAGAGCCCGCCCUCCUUCUCCUUCCCCUCGUGCUCACAAGUAUCUCUCCUCUCUCUCUCUCUCUCUGUAUCGGUGGUGGUGCUGCUCCUCCUAGAGAGUGCUCUCCUCUCUUCUCUCCCUCGGCUGGAAUGGCUGCUGCUUCUCUGGUGUGGCCUCCUCCCCUCCCCUUGUGGCUCGCUUUCUAGGCCUCAUCCUCUUUUUGUCGCUGCCCAUCCCCGCAUCCGACGGCCAGGAUCCGCCCGACGCAUCCGACGGCCCCGACCCCCGCGCGCCUGCCACCGUGGCCGCCCCCACCGCCUACCACCCAACACGCGAUAAAAUCUCGUGGACGCUUCCUUACGCCACAAGCAUGGCCCGAUGACCGACACGUGGCGGGGCAGCCGAGCGGGGUGAAACCCACCGGCAACGGGAGGUGGGUGGUUGAUGGAUGGCGGCACGCCCGUUUGUUCGCUUCCCUAACAAAUCUUUUUAUCCUCUUGUAAAAACUCAACACUCCACGCAAAAUAAAGCAAGAAUAAUACAAUACGAGUACAUAAAGAUGAAAUGGCGCUACGCCAUCGGCUUUGGCACGGGACCACCGCGCGCGGGGUCCGCGUGGACGGAUGGGCCGCCUGAUCUGGACAGUGCGGUGCGGUUUAACCGGGCUGACGUGGCGCCUGCGCGCACCGGUUGGUUGCUACGGGUGGGUUAAAAGGGCACGAGGAAAGUCUCCAGGCAGCAGCAGCGGCAGUGGAGGCGGGCGGGGCCCACGCGCGGGCCCGGGCAUCUCCCGUCUCAUCCGCUUUUCUUUCCUUUUUCUUUUUCUCUUUCCUAACGUUCUGCUCGUGGGCUCCGACGUGGCGGAGGGGGUGACGUCGGCGGGGCCCGCCGGCCACCAACCUUCACCGCACCACUGGCCUACUUCUACUCUGAUGAAUUAUUAGUAAGAUAUUCCUUGAAAACACCCAGUAGUUUAAUAUCAUUACCACGGAGGAGAUCCGGAAGAUGUCAUUGUAUACGCGGAUUGGCGCGGUUUUACUUACACUAACUUUGGAGCAUUGAAGGCCGGUAAAUUUAAAUUUAAAUGUUUUCGCUGUGGUGUGGUGUGGUGCGGUGCGGGGCGUCGUGUUCUGGAUCCAGACGCCACCGGCAUCGGGUGCAUAUAUGCAUGGCGACGUACUGCUGCUCGCUUUAAAUUGCAAGUUUUUUAAACGAGCCACGUGCGCCUUCUUUCCAGCAUUGUACACCCAAAUUGAAUUUUGAAAAGAAAUAAAGAGUAAUUCAAGGCAUAUUUUCAGUAGGUGGCUAUCAAUGAAAAUAUGCCUGCGAAUCACUUUUUUUUUUUAAAAAACUCAAUUUGGGUGUAUUUUUGGAAAACAAAGUUAGAGGAUCGAUUUUGUUUUUUUAUCAUGACUUUACAAAUAUGAUUUCAUGAUGAAAUUUUGAAUGCACAACAAGUAUUUCCAAAAUAUAUCAUUUCUUUAAAUUUAUUAUUUUAUUUUGAACAUUUGUGCCUAGUUAUAGAAACUCCGCGUCCGUUGUAGGCUUCUUUUUGCUUAUGUCACUGAGUGUAUGUAGAAGGUACAUGUGGUGUUUAAUUUGACGUGGUUAGCAAGGACACAAGAUUUUGAUUCAUGAAAAGGGAAAGGACAUAUGGAUAGUAAACUUUGAAUGCAAUGGACAACAACAAGCACACGCUUCCUCAAAGAAGGGCAUCAAGAACAUUUUUCCUUGGCAUCUCGAUUAACUCAAUAAAACGUGGGUGUUCCCUCCUCCUCCCCUCCCUCGCACAUCGACAAACACACACGACAUGCACAUGUGUGCCCUUUUUGUGUGUUUGUGUGCGUUGUUGCUCACCCCGCAUGCCCAUAGUUUGGGAAGACCAUGUGUCCUUGAAGCUUCGCCCGUUGGCCAACUUCACACCUAUGCUUAUUGCAUUUGUGAGAUUUGAAAUAACUGCUAUGAGUGAUUUUUGGAAAGGACGAUGGGAGAGGGUUAGAUCCGGCAAAUUUGCUGAAAUAGCACUAUGUGCCCUUCGUUAGUCGGGGACGGGAAGCGAGACUCUCGACUUCCUUUUGAGAUCAGAGGGAGCAUGCCAAAGUGAUAAUGAACGGCCAUGACCGUGCCUUCCAUUCAUGGUGAUUGGUCAAAACUUUAUAUAAUCUCCAAAGAAGGAGUUCCAAGAAAUACACAAAGAGGUGUAUUCUAGUUGUUGCCAAAUUAGCAACUGCGAAUGGCGGUCUCCGAGUAGAGAUUAUCAUAUCAAAUACAAGAUUAUUAAUUCUAAACGCUCCUCCUAAUGUGUGCAUGUACUCUCAUCGCUCUUGAAAAAGUGCACCAAUUUCUAAAUUGUGAAUUGAGAAAAAUGUGUGCGCGUGGGGGGGUGUUGUCCCCCCUAGGUGUGUGUGCNNNNNNNNNNUGCAUGCGUCGUCACUUAGCUCGUGUGGCCGUGUUGGGAAAGCCAAUCCACGUGUCCAUGAUGCUUCACACAUUGGCCGCAUUAGAAGCUAUCUAUGUGGCAUGCAUGAGGUUUGGAAUAACCGCUACAUGUGAUUUGCGAAGAGAGUUAUGUUUGGAGGGAAAUACCAAAAUAGCAAUAGUGUGCCCUUCCUUGGUGGAAGAUAAGAAGCAAGACUCGUGACUUUCUUUGGAGAUCAGAGGGAGUAUAACAAAGUGAUAGUGAAUGGCCAUGACUUUGCCUUAUCAUUCAUGAUGAUUGAUCAACGAUUUAUAAAAUGUCCAAAGAGCGGUUCUGAGAAAACAUGGAGGGGUGUAUUCGGGGUGUUGAGAAUUUAGCAACUCCCAAAUGUGGUUUACAUGCAAUGAUUUAUCUUAUCUAACACGAUAUUAAUUAAUUCUACACACUCCUCCGGAUGAGUGCAUUUAUUCCCACCACUAUUGAAAAACACAUCAAUUUUCUCAAUUUUGAAUGGAGAAAAGCGUGUGCGUGUGGUAGGUGCUUUUGCUCAAAAUCAUUCCUAUAAGUGUGCGUGUGCAUGCGCAUGUGUAUCUCGUUUCAUGUNNNNNNNNNNGUUUAUCCUAUCUAACACGGUAUUAAUUAAUUCUACACACUCCUUUGCAUGAGUGCAUUUACUCCCACCACUAUUGAAAAAACACAUCAAUUUUCUCAAUUUUGAUCGGAGAAAAGCGUGUGUGUGUGUGGUAGGUGCUUUUGCUCAAAAGUAUUCCUAUAAGUGUGCGUGUGCAUGCGCAUGUGUAUCUCGUUUCAUGUGCAUGCAUUAUCGCUUAGCCCAUGUGCCCACGCUCGAGAAGCCAAUCCACAUGCCCUUGAUCCUUCACCCAUUGUCCAUAAUAGAAGCUAUGUAUGUGGCAUGCACGAGAUUUGGAGUAACCGCUACACGAAAUUAGUGGAGAGGGAUAGGUUCUGAGGGAAAAGACCAAAAUAGCAAAGUGUGGCCUUCNNNNNNNNNNAUGACUUCCUUCACAGGUUGGCGGGAGUAUAACAAAGUAACAAUGAAAGAACAUGUCAUGGUUUUGUCACGACGAAAAUCCUCGUGAUAGGACUAAGUCUAGGAGCUAUCACAACUAGGUGGUUGCUUGGAUGGGGUUGAUCGGGAAUGAGAGACAAGAGUUUACCCAGGUUCGGCCCCUCCGAUGGAGGUAAAAACCUGUGUCCUCCUUUUUGUCUUUAUUGAUGAUGAUCUCGAUUACAAGGGUUCGAAAUCUCUAACCUAANNNNNNNNNNNNNNNNNNNNNNNNNNNNNNNNNNNNNNNNNNNNNNNNNNNNNNNNNNNNNNNNNNNNNNNNNNNNNNNNNNNNNNNNNNNNNNNNNNNNGCGACCUUAUGAGCCGACGAAACCUGCAUUUAGGGUGGGUGCACGAGCCUUCUGACUCGCCUCCCCCUGUCGCGACCUUAUGAGCCGACGAAAUUACUGUUGCUAUUUUUCGUCGUGGCAUAGCCCUGAAGGUUUUAAGCCCUUUCUUUCUGAUGCUUGUUGAAAAUAUCUAUAAUUUGUUUGUUUUCACAUAUGCUAUUCUCAAAGCUUAAGACAGGAGGGUGAUAAGAAUUGUUUCAUCCAUGGCAAAUUAAGCGUUAUAGAAGACUCUUAUAAAGGCGGGUCAAAUAUUUCAAAUCGCCUUAAGGGCGAUAUAAAGGUUCUUGCAAAAGGUAUCAUCAAAAACAGUACUGACUUACGGAAAAAGGAUCUAUUACAUGGCUCUCAGGCCAACUUCAAUAAAGUUUACUUUGCUGGCGCGUCGGGAUCAUCCUGAUGUGAGCUCUGGCCGACUUCGAUUUGCAAGUCGCCCAAUACCCAAUUGCACUUGGCCAAAGCAGCAAAGUCAUCUUCAUCAGUCAGAAUUGAUGCCAAGUCUGCUUCCAAGUGGAAAGGAUUCUUGGGUCGCCGAGGAGUUAGGCUGGUCGUCAUGAAGGUUGGCGGGCUGACCUUCUUGUUUCUGCUAUCAUAAGCCGCCUGGUAUUUUGUUAAAUCAAGGCUUGCGGCAAGUUGAGUUGCAGCCAGCCGAGAGUCCUUGACGACUCGCUGAUAGUCCUCUUCAACAAAUUCUGACCCAUCGUCCUUGAGCUGAGGAAAGCCUGCGGCUACUUCUUCUAAGUUGAUUUCUGGAGCAUACGCCAAACAACGACUCAGGGCAGUCAGAACACCUCUCCGGGCGGCUGACCGAGUUAACUCGCCAAUCUGAGGGGGAAGUGUGGACAAGCAGCCAAGCACCUUCUUGAUGGAAGUGUUAGGUUCUUUGGCACCCAUCACAGCUUUAACAGUCAAGACACUGCCUGUGUACAAUUGCUCUGUCAGCGUGUAAAUCGCCUUCAGCAUCAACAGACAGUCUUCUUGAAGGUUGGCGGCUCUCAGACCUGAAUCAUGAUGAUUAGCGACUUAUCAUAAGUGUUCUUUUAAAAAAAAAGGAGAGGAGGAGAUCAAAGGUUUAAGUAAAGCUUACCAAAGACGCCUUGCGCCAUGUUGGAGAUAUGACGCUUUAAGCCGGACAAUUCCUGUUGUACAGUGACCAGCCUAGCUUCAGCCUUCUCUGCUCUCUUCAAGGCGGCAUUUUGGUCAGCCUGAGCUUUUUUCAACUCGGCCUUGAGUUUUACCAGUUCGGCCAAGGCCAAUUGGCAUUUUUCCUCCGACUUAGCUCGGGCGUCUUGUUGUCCAGCUAAGUUUUUCCUUAAAUCGCUCAGCGCCGAUUCGGUCUGAGCAUGGUUUUCCUAUUGAAAGUUUAAAAUAAGGGCAAGUCUCAGAACUACUGCAAAGCAAUAUCCCUGACACUUGGGGGCUAAUGUAUAAUUUUUUCAGAUGAAAUUAUACAAAAAUCAAGACCUCGCUCAUCUUUUUGCUGAUGACCCGGCACUUGGGGGUUACUGGUCGCGAAGUUUUUUCUAAAUUUUCAAGACCCGACUCAUCUUUUUACUGAUGACCCGGCCCUUGGGGCUUAAUGGGAAUAAUAUAGUAUAACAAAAUUUACCUCAUGUUUGUUGUUUAACAUCUGCAGCAGGUUUUUCUCCAUCUCAUAGCUCACUUCCAGGCGACUUGCAAAGCCAGAGCAGAGUUCCUUAAACUCCAAAUUUGCAUAUUCGGAAAGUUUCGCCUUGGAGAGCCCAGACUCGGGAAUGGCUUGAGAGGAGGAUGCUACAUGUUUGGACAAAACUGUCGCCGCCGGCUUAGAAAAGCCAGAACCAGUAAUAACCACAACAUCUGGGUCUUCUGUUGUCGUCAAUGGGCUCGGCGGCUUAGGGGCAUCCAUUGUUUCCUUCGGCGACUCAGGAAGAUCCGCUUGAGUCGCAGGCUCAGUUUGAUCCGGAUUGUCUUGAGUCGGAGUUGAUUCUUUCGUGGGUUCUGAAGUUGCGUCAGGAGUUGAUCCACUGGGUUUCCUCUUCUUGGCCUGUGCCCUGAAAAAAAGGGAAUAAGCACGUUAAGGAAUUGAAAGCUCGUUAUUCUCAAAAGUCAAGGCAAGGUUAUCAAAAGACUUACCCCGGAACUCGAAUCAUUGGUGGAAGUGUCAACAUCACUGAGUCGCCAGAAGUGGGAGGAGAGUUCUGUAAGAAUUAUACGUCAAUAAUACAGGCGGGUUACAAGCGUGAUCCAAAGAGACAUGAAGAAUGGUUACUCAUAAGAGUACCUCGCUUGGUUUUCUUUUGUUCGUUGCUGGUAAGCCAGAUACCAGAUCGCCGGAGUGACUCCGUGUUUUCCGAUUUGAGGCAUGCUGUGCUUUCUUCAGUAGGAAAAUUGGGUCCAAAUAAGCAUUUGGAUUUGAGAAGGGAACUUUCCCACAAAUUUGCCUGGCCGACUUAGGUGGAGAAGGAGAUGAAUCGGAGGAAACAGAAAUUACCUCAACAGAGUCCUCCUGGCUUUCGUUAUCUUCAUUCUAUUUCAAGGAAAUGGAGAGAUAUAAAUACAAAGGUUAACAGUAAUAGAUGGCGAGUGAAAAGAGGACGAAUUUUUACCUCCGAAAGUGCAUCGCCGACUUGAGAUUCGUCAAUUUCGGAUGGUUCAGCUGCAACAGAUUUGCCCUUACCCUUGGUUUUCUUUGAGGGCGGCUUGACAUUUUUCAUGGCUUGCCUUUUGGGCUUCCUGGACCAGAAUUUAUCGCCUUUCUGAAAUGGCAUAUGUUACGAAACCACAAUACAAAUGAAGCAUAAAGAAUAAAGACCAAAGGCGGGUUAGGUUUGUUUACCUUGGGCGCCAGGUUGAUUUUGAAGAAAGGCUUAAGGCCGAUCUGGCCGCAUUUUCCUGCAGGCUCGCCAGUCAGCUUUUUGAUAAUGGUAACAAUAUCCUUUUCCAUUAAAGCUGUGCGAAAAUAGCAUUGAGGAUGAUCCAGGGUGCCAUCAAAUUCACACAUCAGGCCAUCCCGGCGGCUCAGAGGGAGGAUACGCCAUUCAACCCAGCAGCGGAUUAGGUCGACCCCGGUAAGGCCGUUGUUCGUCAAAGAUCUUAAUUCAGAUAGUAUUGGGAUGAAUUCCGAUUCCUCCUCCUCGGUAAGCUUGUCUGGAAGCUUGAAGUUGGUCGGAAGGCGAGUUGGCCUGUAACCCAGAAGCUUGUUCUCGCCUGCAGGAGACGUCUCUUGAUAGUAAAACCAAGACUCGCCCCAGCCUUUGGGAUGGCUAGGCAUGGUGAGUGAGGGGAAUGGGCUAGCCCUGCAGCGCUGGAUAUUGACGCCACCAAGUUCCAAGCUGGGGCCGUUAGGGAAUUCCGUUUUGUGAUUCAGAUGGAAAAAAUGCCAGAAUAAAGGGACAGAAGGCUCGAUCCGCAGAUAAGCCUCACAAAGAACUUGGAAUUGGCACAAAUUACUUAUGGAAUUGGGUCCCAGAUCCUGGAGACGGACGUUCAUGAAAGUCAAGGCGUCCCUAAGAAACUUUGAUCCGGGCGGCUUAAAACCUCGCUCCAGGUGUUCAACAAAAACGAUUAUUUCCCCUUCUUUGGGGUUAGGGAGAUCUUCUCCGAACCCGGUGCGCCAGCCAAUAACAUCCUGAGGAUCCAAACUGCCUGGUUUCACAUAAUCGGCUAAUAUGGAGUCAUCAACCUUGGUAGGAAGCCAGUCACUCUUGAAGACGGCGCCCAUGCUACAAAUAAGUAAAGUAUGAUAUUACAUGCCUUGGACACCUACUGUAUGGGAUGAAAUCAGUUCAUUUAACCCGCCGAGUACUUUGAUUAAGGAAAGGUUUGACCCGCCAGAUCAAAGGGGCGAGUUGGGUCACUAUGGCGACCUAUGGAAGUGUGGUUAUUCUCAAGGGCUACGUUCUGAAGACGGUAAAAGCGUUUCAUUUGAAGUACCAGGAGAUGAGGACUACAAACAACUUUUUGCAAACAGUAAAUAAGGAAUGGAUCUACCAGACAGAAGAGAAAACCUAAAGAAAAUGACUGGUCGCGACAGUUUAUUAUCGGAUGACGCCCUUCGCUUGGCGGAAACAUUAUUUUCAAAUAUUCACGAGUAAAGACGGAUAAGUAAAAGUAUUCGGAAUAUUAGCUAUCCUACCAACGCUCGUGUUAAUCGAUUUAGAGCAGGUAGCAUCUAUAUGCAAGGAGCUUCAAGAACACGACAAUGGCGGGAGUUCAAGCGGAGAGUGAAUCUACUCCUAAAAUUAGGUGGAGGCCUAACCUGAUGCUGUCGGGGAAGAAGAGCCGAUGGUGAUGGGGUUUGCUGGAGAAGCACUGGCGUCCCGUCGGGCGAAGAGGUUUUCAGCGGCGGCGAAGUUCGUGGUAAAUGGCGAGGUUAACGACGGCGAAGCGGUCGACGAUGACGACGGCGGAUGUGUUGGUUGCGGCGCAAGAAUGGACGACGGCGAAAGCCCACAGGCGGCACCGAAGCUCCUCGUGUGAAGGCCGAAAGCACGGUCGGCGGCGGAUUCCUCGGGGCGAUAAGUUUUUCUCGCUGCACCGGUGGGGAGGAAGGUGACAAGACUGGUAGGUGGGAAGCGCCAGUUGUGUCCCCCCUGGCCUAUUUAUCAAGGCAGGUGUUGGAAUUGAGGCGCCAUGAGCGGGAACCGCCGGGGGAUAAAAGAUUCGCUAUAAAUGCGUGCCGAAUAUUUCGGAUAACAAUGCGCUAAAGAUCCGUUGGAGUUGUGGCGGUCUUCCCGAAAAAAGAGGAAUAAGAAAAGGCCACUUAGUAAUGAUCUGGCAACUUAAGGGAUUUUCAGUGCCCAAAGGCAAUGGCGGGUGUACAAUUUUUUGACAGACGCAGAAGAGUAGGGAAUGAAUCGCCUUUAAUGGAGCAGAGGUAUUGGCAUGAAGAGGAAAGGUUCAAGUCAAUUCGGGGCCUAAUGUUGGGAAUGUAACCAGUGGAUGACCCGCCCUAGUUGGGCCGGGUUAUCCAUUGGGCGAUUCAUCUAAACGUUUAGUUGGGCCUCGUUUUGGCCGAAUCGAGGUCGUACGACGAGUAUGGCUCUUGGCGGGUCUCCCAGCUUUGGAAGAUGGCGAUUUAGAGACCGCAAUGGUCACGAGUUGUAGAAAGGAAGGAAUCCUUGUAAACCCUAGGGAAUCGACCUAUAUAUAAAGGCGAAGUCCCGGGGGACAGAGGACAGGUGAGAAAUCAUUGAGUGCUAGGUUUAGGCGAGUUACGCCUUCCUUGUAAUCGAAUCCAUAUCAAUACACACAAAAGCAGGACGUAGGCUACUACCUCCUCCCGAGGGGCCGAACCUGGGUAAAUCGCCGUGUCUCUCCCGCUUAACCCCUUUGAGUCACCACCAAAGUGCGAUGGCUCCAGUAUUAAGUCCUUUCACGAGGACAUCUGCCGUGAAAAAACCACGACAGUAAGUCUCUCAGAUUUACCAUUCUGAAUAGCAAGAGAAUGAUAAGAGUAAGUCAUCAUGGUGAUCAAUCUAUUCCACACCCAAAUCAUUGCUCUGUAUAAGGUUUAGCAAAUCUUGCAUUCUAACACUUGGGCAUCCUCACAAGCAUUGCACAAUUUCUCUUGUACAUGAAUGAAGUUCGGACGAAUCCAUUGGUUCUGCAAGCUGAACGAAACAUCUAUCGUAUUUUUACCACUCUUAGGUUUUGUGCGUGCUCCUAAGAAAACGUUUGCUGACACGUCAUAGCUUAUCCCUUCAUGCUCUUGGGGCAACCUUUUUGAAAAUCUUGGGAUGCAUCCUUGGUACAUGUUGUAUUCCUUGAACUAAUUUUCCUUUCCAUUGGUUUGAUUAUCCUUAGGUAUUGUUUCAUCAUAGUAAUUCCUUCAUUUCAUCCUCAUUCUAUUCUCGAAAUUCCACUUCAAAAGUACUUGGUUACAAAUUUUGUCACCCACAUAGUUUGAUAUGGUCCAACAUUUCCUUCAAAUGUAUUCGGUGGAUUUGACUCCUCGGUAUGCAUGGUACAUUCCUAUUCCUUGGAUCCUGUGGUUUUACCGAUUACUACCACACUUAAAAUGAAAUAUACUCAUGCCUGCAUAUACCAUAUUUUCUCAUAUCCUCAUAAAUGGUCAGAGAUCUUUGUUCAUAGAGAAACAUCGCAUAUAGUUUCAACAUAGGACAUCAUGACACAAUAAAUUUUAUUGAUUCAUGAAGUUAUUACAAUCUCAGAGACUUCCAUUACAAAAUUUAACUCCAUAAACUCAUGAUAACAAGAGGGCUUCAUGCUACACUUAUUGCCAUUGUCAGAACUUAACUACUCCAUUUUAGAUUUCUUUCCCUGUGGACAGUUACUAGCAUAAUGUCAUGCUUCCUUGCAAUGAAAACGAAUGCGUUCCGACAAGUCUCGGGGCUUCUUGGUGUUUGCUGUUGCUCCUUGGGUUUCCUGCUUCCUUCUUGGGCACAUAUUGCUGUAGUGGCCCAAUUCCUUACACUUGAAACAUCUGAUAUGACUCAGGUCUUUAUGUGUCGGGAUUUGACUAUGGCUGGUGUACUUUCUCUUCUUUCCGAAAUCCUUCAUUCGGGCCAGUUCUUCUAUUUCAAGUGGAUCCAACUCUACUUUUUCUGUCGAGAAGUCUCCCAGAUAUUUAUGGCUUUCCUUCAUGCAAUCCUCUCAAAAAUGUCCUUCUUCUCCACAUGAGUAACAUGCAUUGGGAAAAAAUAUGGUUAGGCCUUGUCCAUCAGGGUCUCCAAUAUUUUCCUUCAUCACAUGUUCUUCUAAAAUCUUCUUCUUGAGCGUUUCCUUCAUUGAUUAUUUCUGUUGCUUGACAACUUGUUGUACGUUGUGGUAAACGUGACACUGGGCUGGGUAGUGAGUGGUUCCUUCACACAAGAAACAAGUCACCUGACUAGUUGGGCAUUCCUCCCCUAGGUGAUUUUCUUCACAAUGAGGGCAUCCAUCCUUGUCUUCUCCCUGGGUGUGUCCUAUUUCUCCACAGAUCUUACAUGCACAAGGUUUCUUCAUCGGGCUAUCAUAGCACUUCUGAAUGAGACGAGCUCUUAACAGAGUCUUCUUGAAUUCGUCCUAAGUUUCUGCUCCACUAAAUCCUUGUAUGUCAUGAUGCAUUUUCCACCAGAUAGCAGCACUUUGUGUAAAGUACUGAAGAGCAUGUGCCACUUCAUACUUCCUUGAAAUUAAAUUGCUCCUGAAGUGGUUCUCCAUGUUCUGAAUCCAUAUUUCAACUUCGAGCUGGGUCAUUGGUCCAGAGAUUACAAGUCCAGCUUCAUAUGUCAUCUAUUUGGUCCAAGGUUUUGGGGAUGAGAUGGGUAAGAGAGAGAGAGGGAAAGAGGGAUAUACACACAAUACAAACAAUAUUUUUGAGAAUAGGUUUUAUUUGUGGCUGUCGGAAAACACACACAAAUGACGGCUCACAAAUCAUCGUAUCUAACAUGGGUAUAUAACAGGUGUUUGGACUUCUAAUGGCCAUAUAAAUAUUGGAACACUUCAGGGUCUUCAAAUUCUUCGGUUCUUGAGAGUCUUCAAUUGGUGCAGCUUCAGUUUUUCAAAUGCAUGGUGAAAUGCUCUUUACUUUGAAGUGGGACUCAGCUAAUCCUUUAUGUGGUCCAAGGGGAAAGGGUAUUGUCUAACUAUUUGAGGUGAGAGAGAACAUUUGAUGAAAUCAGAAGAGAUGAGAAGUAAAGAAUGUUCUUGAAAAUAAAAUAUUAGAGAGAUGCUUUCCUAAGGGAUUUCCAGUUUCUAGGGUCAUGUCCUACAAUCAACAUGUUCUCUGAUACCAUAUCUAUAGCGACCCGACUCAAAACGAGUCAAGCCUCUGUGUGUUCCGUGCCAUCACUGGAUCAGUAUGCUGGAACACACAGUACAUCAAUGUAUAUAUCAAAGUGCAAUCACAUGUAAAAUAACCUAAAACUGAUAUAUACCUCAAAAUCUCAGCGGAAACAGUCAAAGGCAGUGGAGUCCCAAUAAACACCAACGACAAGUUGAGUGCAGACCGUAACCUUGAAUCAUACUCUUACUCGUCGAAUACAAUAUCUACAACAUAAGAUGUUGCAGCCGUGUAGGUCAGCAUAUCGAAUAUGCCGGCAAGUCAGAAAAGAGAGGGGUGAAAAUAUCAUCUAUACUAUAUGCAUAUACGACACAUGGGGCCGUAGUUUUAAGUUUGGCGUAAAGCAAAUUUUCCUACAACAAGAGAGGGUCAAAGCAAGAUUUACUACAUUGUUCGUUGUUAAUGAGAUGGUUCCACCAACCAAUUCUCAUACCCAAGUUAUAAAUAUUACCCACAUCAAUAUUAAAUGGUGUUGAGAAUUCCUAAUAACUUUAGUUCCUUCGACUCAAGUUGCCCAUGACCGUGGACACGGCUAAUCAAUUACGUUUGAGUACUCAGCAGAGUUUUGCACACGUUCCCCACAAGAUUUGAUCGCCUCCGUUGGAGUCCUCACACUUCAGGAUGUUUGAGAACCGGAUGAUCAAAACAUGGUCUUUCAACGGGUUCCUCUGAGCCACUGUCGGUGCCCAUCCAAUCCUACCGUUCUUGUACAUCUCGUAGUACCGCUCGUCCAAAGUCACCACGUUGUCCAACCAAGCCAGAGCCCAUAAUGACUUGUGGCUNNNNNNNNNNACUUGGGUCUUCAAAUAUCCAUCCAUCUCUUUGAGCCUGGGUGAAGCUUUCCGAAAGAUGUCAUGGCGCUUCUGCAUGCAUCCCAAGUCCUCCGCUGGUUUUUCCCACGGAGCCCAUCUGAACCGUCCUUCACCCAGAGGUAUAUUUUGUUCUGAGGUCUUGCAAGUCUUGGAUUCUUAAGGUCUUCAUUAUUAAGUUUCUCACAACACCCAUGAUAAACACUCAACCAAACCCCGUCUACCAUGAGCAUAGCAAAAUAACGUCCCUGCCAAAGUAACAAGGGUUUAGGGGUGCCUAUCAUAACAUACUACUCAAUAACCAAAGUUUCCAAGUACCUACUUUCAUGCAAUGGGUGAAGAAGGUUGAAACUAAUGUAAUAAAACCAUAGGUAAAAAUGUGAUCAAUGUGAACUUGCCUGGUAAGGUUGAUGAAGAAGAAUAUCGCUCUCAAGAAAUAACUUGAUAGAACUAUUCAUCACUCUCCGUCGAUAUCUAUAUAAUCAAACAUAAUAUUCGUAUAAGCAAUCCUACUAUAAAUCAUCCUAGUAAUCAGUAUAACAAACAACAAUAAAAUUUGAUGCAAUAAAACCAAUAAGAAAUAUCAAAUAGAAAUCCAAAAGGAACUUCACAGAAAAACUAUGGAGUCUUCUACUACAACAAUCACUAAAUAGUUUUUGUUCUAAUUAAACUUAACAGAAAAUGGAACACUAAAAUAGUAAAAUAAUAGAAAAUAAAAAAGAAAAUUAACUAAGAUAACAGAAAGUAUUUUUCAUAAAACUGUAUUUUUUGAAAGUAUCAUCAAAUAGGACAUCAAACUAGCAACAAAAUCAAUUUGCAAGUUAUUACCGAACUAGAAUUGAUUUCAUGCUAUCAAAUAAAAUAAAAUUUUCUUGUUGUUGAAAACCUACUGUUAACUAACAGGAAACAAAAUAUAACCUUUCACAAGUAUAAACCAAAAUAAAUUAAAAACAAUUAUAGCAAAAGAAAUAGCAAUAAUCCAAGAAAGAACUAAAACAGAAUCUGUUUUACACACAAUAUUGAUUAAAAGUACUCCAAAAAUUCUGAAAUUUUACCUAGUGAUAUAUAAGAUCACUAGCGAUCAGCAGCAAAAAGAAUCAACUAAAAAUCUAUUUUUAAACUCCAGAUAUUAACAAAACAAGAUUUAAACCAAAUCUGUUUAAAUUCAGAAUUUAAAAUUUCAAACAUGGUAAAAUUUUAUAUCUACAGAAACUACACAAAAUUUGUGAUCCAACGCAAAAAUAAUCACCUCAAUUGGAGUUAUAGAUUAAAAGUUAUAAGCAAUCUAAAAUCAGGUCCAAAUCUGUUUCAGAAUUAAAAACAGAAAAAGAUUAAAAGAAAAGGUGAUGUGGCAAGCUGUGAUUGGCUGGAGAUCGUGCACGGUUUAGGCUAACUAACGGACGGUCGCAAUAUAAAGGAAACCUUUCGGUUUUAAAUUAACUAACUGGGAACCGAUCGGUUUUCUAACUAAAACCGAAAGGGUAUCCUAAUCUAAUCUAGAGCGUAUAUUAUGGAUCCAACGGUGGGAAAAAGAAAAAAAGAGAGAGAGGGAGCUUACCGUGGCAAAGAGGAGCUCCAGCGCUGGUAAUGGUGCAACUGAAGGUGAGGUGGCGAGGGGAGGCGGCUCGGGUGGUGUAGGGGGCGGCGUGGUGGUGGUUGCGGCGAAGGAGGGUCCCGACGUUCUCCUGGUAGCGUCAGGAGGGUCCGAGGGCGAAGGGAGGUGGGGCGACACGAGCUCCUAGUUUCGGCCUGAGCAGGACCUUCGGCGAGGGUGGAGGGCGGUGCUGGGGCAUGGAGACAAAGGGGUCUUGGGGAAAAUGGAGAGGGGAGGGGGUGAGGAUCUUAAAUAGGGCCUCGAGGGGCGAGGGGAAGGAAGGUACGCGGAGAUCGGGGAAAGGAAUCGACAAGGAAUCUUCGUGGAAGUUUCACGCGGCACGGAAGGAAAGGAGACGACAUGUGGAAGAAGGAAGGUAUCGGGCCGGAUCAUAUAUUCCUAACGGGCCCAGAUGCCUUUCCAAAGAAAACGAUUUGUUUCCUUUUAAUAAAAACCUGAAGGUAAAACUUAAAAAAUUAAAUAAAUAUACUUCCAAAUAUAGAAGUAUUAUAUACCAAAAUUAUCAGAAAAAUAAAUCCAAUAAGAUGGACAUUUUUCCAGGGCUAAAAUAAAAACUUCAGAAGAAAUAUUAUGUUUUCAGAAAAUUGCCUAAAUGAUUUAUUUCCUUUUACAAAGAUUUUUCAAAUGACCUCCUAAGUUUUAGGGUUCAAAUAAUUUUCAAAAUGCCCUUGGUUUGAAGGGUCAUGUUCCUCCUGUCAUAUUUUUUUAAUAUAUGUAUUCAUUUAAACAUUGAAAUAGCAAUAGGAUCAAAUACGAAAAUGAAAUCCAUAUAGGAAAUCUUUUAUUAGUUUUCAAAUCCACCUUUCAAAAUCUUUAUAGUUGAAGAAGUCAUGUUAUCUUCUCUCACUGAUUUUAAAUGGAUGAAUUUGAAUUAAAAGAAAAUGGGAAAGUCCUUUUAUUCCCUCUCAUUCAAAAGUUUUAAAAUGUUUUCAAAUUUCACUCAAGUUUCAAUCACUCAAACAAACAAACAAUCAAUCUAGUAAUUAUAUUAACAUUCCAAAAUUUGGGAUGUUACAAACCUACCACACUUAAAAUGAAUCUCGUCCUCGAGAUUCUAAGAGGUUAGAAAGAAAAGGUUAGGGUUUGGGGGUCUUCUAAAAAAUCCAAUCUCGUGCAAAGUGGGAUGCUACCACACUUAAAAUGAGAGUUACCGGUCCCUCAAAUUUCAAACAAUCCUGUGGGGUCUUGGCAUAUGACUCCUCACAUUCUCCAUACCAACUCCUUUGGUGAUGCUCUUGCUUUAUGCUCAUAACAUUUCCCUCAAAAUCGAGGGUUCUUCUGUUGAUAAAAGCUUCUUCCAUCACUUGGUAUUCUUAACUGACAAGUCUCGUGACCAUUCUAAAUAACCUAUCGAUGAUUAUCAUGGUGGUCUACCAUUUGUGGGUAUGCUGCAGAGAGAAGGGUCUUGGCUUCAUCCUCACCCUAAAAUUUCCGACGCGUGACAACACUUGUCAUGUACAUGGGCUUUCAUCAUACCAUUCUAAGGCUUAAACAAAAGCUUCAAAGAACACCAUCUCUCUCUAUGGGUAAGUGUUGGGAAUGUAACCAGUGGAUGACCCGCCCUAGUUGGGCCGGGUUANNNNNNNNNNNNNNNNNNNNNNNNNNNNNNNNNNNNNNNNNNNNNNNNNNNNNNNNNNNNNNNNNNNNNNNNNNNNNNNNNNNNNNNNNNNNNNNNNNNNAAAUAAGCUUUGUACGAACCUGUGAUGAGGAAGACAUAAAAGCGACAGACUGCAUAAUUAAGUUCUUUAUCACAGGAGGCAAUAUAAAGUGACGUUCCUCCGCACUAAGAGGACACGCAUUCAAACCUCAAAAGCGCAUGACAACCUCUGCUUCCCUCUGCGAAGAGCCUAUCUUGUACCUUUACUUUUUGCCCUUGUAAGAGUCAUGGUGAUCUUCACCAAUUCCCUAUUUUGCCUUUGUCUUGGCUACCGUCACAUGCUUUGGAAAGAUCUAUAUUCAUAUAUCAACUUGGAGUUGAGUACUUAUGCUUUAUUUAUUGUUGACUUUACCCUUGAGGUAAAUCGUUGGGAGGCAAAACUAUAAGCCCCUAUCUUCCUCUAUGUCCAGCUGAAACUUUGACACCAUGAGUACCACGUGAGUUGUAACAAUUGUGGAAAACAAAAGAGAUGAUUGAGUAUGUGGGUUUGCCUUACAAGCUCUUAUUUGAGUCUUUCUGAUGUUAAGAUAAAUUGCAGUUGCUUCAAUGACUAUGGACUGUUGUUGGUUACUUCUCGGUAAGGUUUUUGCUUCAUACUUUGCUUUGUGAAGGAAUUGUUACUUUCCCAUAAGAAUCUUUAUGAUGUAUUGCUGUUCUAUGUGUGAUCAUGAUGCCCUCAUGUCCGUAUUAUGUUUUAUCAACACCUUCAUCCCUAAACAUGUGGACAUGUUCAUGGAACUUGGUUUUUGCUUGAGGACAAGCGAGGUCUAAGCUUGGGGGAGUUGAUACGUCCAUUUUGCAUCAUGCUUUCAUGUUGAUAUUUAUUGCUUUAUGGGCUGUUAUAUUACUUUGUGGUACCAUAUUUAUGCCUUUUCUCUCUUAUUUUGCAAGGUUUAUUUGAAGAGGGAGAAUUCAGGCAGCUGGAAUUCUGGACUAGAAAAGGAGCAAAUCUUAGUCCACUAUUCUGCACAUCUCCAAAUGCCCUGAAAAGUUACGUGGAAUUUUUUGGGAUUAUAUAAAAAAAUACUGGGCCAAAGAAGUACCAGAGGGGGGCUACCAGGGCGCCACAAGCCGUGCCACCGCCACCCCCGGAUGGCAAGCUUGUGGGCUCCCUGACGGCCCACUGGCCCGCCUCUUUUGCUAUAUGAAGGGUUUCGUUCCAGAAAAAUCAAUGGGGAGCUUUUUUGUGGUUUCACCGCCGCCACGAGGCGGAACUUGAGCAGAUCCAAUCUAGAGCUCUGACAGGACGAUCUUGACGGGGAAACUUCCCUCCCGGAGGGGGAAAUCGUCGCCAUCGUCAUCACCAACACUCCUCUCGUCGGAGGGGAGGCAUCUUCAUAAACAUCUUCAUCAACACCAUCUCCUUUCCAAUCCCUAGUUCAUCUCUUGUAACCAAUCUCCGUCUCGCAACUCCGAUUGGUACUUGUAAGGUUGCUGGUAGUGUUGAUUACUCUUUGUAGUUGAUGCUAGUUGGAUUACUUGGUGCAAGAGUUUAUGUUCAGAUCCUUGAUGCUAUUCAUUACACCUCUGAUCAUGAUUAUGAUUAUGCUUUGUGAGUAGUUACUUUUGUUCCUGAGGACAUAGCAUAAGUCAUGCUGAUAAUAGUCAUGUGAGUUUGAUAUUCGUUCGGUAUUUUGAUAUGCUGUAUGUUGUCUUUUCCUCUAGUGGUGUUAUGUGAAUGUCGACUACAUAACACUUCACCAUAUUUGGGCCUAGAGGAAGGCAUUGGGGAGUAGUAACUAGAUGAUGGGUUGCUGGAGUGACAGAAGCUUAAACCCUAGUCUAUGCGUUGCUUCGUGAGGGGCUGAUUUGGAUCCACUAGUUUAAUGCUAUGGUUAGACGUUGUCUUAAUUCUUCUUUUGUAGUUACGGAUGCUUGCGAGAGAGGUUAAUCAUAAGUGGGAUUCUUGUCCAAGUAAGGGCAGUAUCCAAGCGCCAGUCUACCCACAUAUCAAACUAUCAAAGUAACGAACGCGAAUCAUAUGAACAUGAUGAAACUAGCAUGACAGAAAUUCCCGUGUGUNNNNNNNNNNNNNNNNNNNNNNNNNNNNNNNNNNNNNNNNNNNNNNNNNNNNNNNNNNNNNNNNNNNNNNNNNNNNNNNNNNNNNNNNNNNNNNNNNNNNUGUCAGAUCUGAGGCAUGCGCCUCCGAUCUCCCUCCCUCCUAGUCGCCGCCGGCGUCCCGGCAGACCGCCGCCGCGCAGAUCCGCGCACCAACCGCCUCAACAAAUCCCCACGGGCAGAGCGAGAGAGCCCGCCCUCCUUCUCCUUCCCCUCGUGCUCACAAGUAUCCCCCCUCUCUGUAUCGGUGGUGGUGCUGCUCCUCCUAGAGAGUGCUCUCCUCUCUUCUCUCCCUCGGCUGGAAUGGCUGCUGCUUCUCUGGUGUGGCCUCCUCCCCUCCCCUUGUGGCUCGCUUUCUAGGCCUCAUCCUCUUUUUGUCGCUGCCCAUCCCCGCAUCCGACGGCCAGGAUCCGCCCGACGCAUCCGACGGCCCCGACCCCCGCGCGCCUGCCACCGUGGCCGCCCCCACCGCCUACCACCCAACACGCGAUAAAAUCUCGUGGACGCUUCCUUACGCCACAAGCAUGGCCCGAUGACCGACACGUGGCGGGGCAGCCGAGCGGGGUGAAACCCACCGGCAACGGGAGGUGGGUGGUUGAUGGAUGGCGGCACGCCCGUUUGUUCGCUUCCCUAACAAAUCUUUUUAUCCUCUUGUAAAAACUCAACACUCCACGCAAAAUAAAGCAAGAAUAAUACAAUACGAGUACAUAAAGAUGAAAUGGCGCUACGCCAUCGGCUUUGGCACGGGACCACCGCGCGCGGGGUCCGCGUGGACGGAUGGGCCGCCUGAUCUGGACAGUGCGGUGCGGUUUAACCGGGCUGACGUGGCGCCUGCGCGCACCGGUUGGUUGCUACGGGUGGGUUAAAAGGGCACGAGGAAAGUCUCCAGGCAGCAGCAGCGGCAGUGGAGGCGGGCGGGGCCCACGCGCGGGCCCGGGCAUCUCCCGUCUCAUCCGCUUUUCUUUCCUUUUUCUGUUUCUCUUUCCUAACGUUCUGCUCGUGGGCUCCGACGUGGCGGAGGGGGUGACGUCGGCGGGGCCCGCCGGCCACCAACCUUCACCGCACCACUGGCCUACUUCUACUCUGAUGAAUUAUUAGUAAGAUAUUCCUUGAAAACACCCAGUAGUUUAAUAUCAUUACCACGGAGGAGAUCCGGAAGAUGUCAUUGUAUACGCGGAUUGGCGNNNNNNNNNNNNNNNNNNNNNNNNNNNNNNNNNNNNNNNNNNNNNNNNNNNNNNNNNNNNNNNNNNNNNNNNNNNNNNNNNNNNNNNNNNNNNNNNNNNNAAAUAAAGCAAAUAGGGAAUUUCUGAAAAAACAUUUUUUAAAAGUUUUUAUUUUGGCUUUAAAAAAAUGUUAUUCGGGUAGAGAUUUAUUUUCUGAUUUUUUUUGGUAUAUAAUACCAUAUAUAGAAAUUUUGAUUUAUUUUCUUUUUUAGCUUUUAUGUUUUUCUGUUCUGGAAAGAUUAGAUAUUAGGAAAGCCUUUUUAUUUUUUUUUCUAACCACAGCCGCCGCCGGGCGCUAGAUAGCCAACUGGGCCGAGCCACUAUUCCAGGGAUCUCAAAUCCCUUAUGCCCCCAACCGGCCCGAUCCCUCUACCCCUUUUCUCUCUGCCCAAGGGGCCCCAACCGAAGCCUUCUCUCCCCCACGUCGGCACUUCUCCCUCCUCCCUCGUCUCCUUCCUUUCCUCUGCAGACCGACCGAGCGCCUCCUCCCAGCUCGGGAAUUCCCUACCCCAAGUACUCCCUCUCUCUUACCUUAGUAGCACCCCACCCUGCCUUUCCCUCUCCCGCUGCCUUCUCUUCCCCGUCGGUUUCUUCUUCCUCCUCCCCUACCAUCCCAGUACCGAGACCGACCCCUCCUCCCUCGGGAUUCCCUUUCCCUCACCUCCCCUCCCACUCGGCCCCUGGCCGAUGCCUUCCCCCACGUCGGCCAUCACCUUCCAUCUCCCUCCUCCCUCUCUUUCCUGAAGUGCUCCCGUAACAGAGACCGAGACCGACCAGGACAUCACCAGCGAUUUCUUCCCCAGCGCCCUCCCUCUCCUUCCUUAACACCCCGCCCCCAUGGCCUAUAUAACCCCAGCACCUCGGCCACCCCGUUCCCGUCCUAACCUAGUCGCCCCGCCCCUCGCCACUGCCACUCGCCGGAGCAGCAGCAGCCCCGCUGCCACCUCGGCCACCCCACAGGAGCGCCCGUCACCCCACCUCGUCGCUGCAUCCCAGCACCNCGAGCAGCAGCGCUGCACCCCACCUUCGGCCUACAGGAGCAGCAAGCUGCACCCCGAGUCCCCCNNNNNNNNNNNNNNNNNNNNNNNNNNNNNNNNNNNNNNNNNNNNNNNNNNNNNNNNNNNNNNNNNNNNNNNNNNNNNNNNNNNNNNNNNNNNNNNNNNNNGCAGCAGCAGCAAUUGUUUCAAAAUCAUCUGAACUCUCGCCCCAGGUCUGCUGCACCUAGCAAUGCAAGUGGAUACUCUGACCGUUUGAAUGCAACGAACUUUCAGAAUUUAAUGUAUCCGUCAAGCACUUCUCAAGGCGGAGUUCCUGGUCAAUCACCUCAAUUGAAGGCAUCGUCGAUGAGAGUGUCAGCUCCACCUUCAGCUGCCUCUGUCCCUGCUGCAUCCUCACCUUCUAAUUUGAUUAUGAUGAAGAACAGUGGUCUCCAUCAACAACAAGCAAAAGCUCUGCAGGCUCUCUCCACCCCAAAUCACCAGUCACAAAGCAUGAGUUCGUCGAAGAUUGGGCACUCCCUUACUAAUCUUUCUACUGGAGGAGGAGGGGACCUAUCUCGAUCUUCAAAUGCUCCUGUUGCUUCUGGUUCGCCAUCUAAUUCAGUCUCCAAAAGUACUGGUGGUAGCCCACCUGCAUCUGGAAGUGCGAAGGGUGGCCAGCCAGUUGUCCAAUUGUCAUCGCCUCAACAACAUGCAGCCAAGAACUCUCCUUCGACUUCUGGAUCCAAGUCAGCCUCCACAAAUCACUACAGCAGUAUGCCUAUGCCAUCUAUCCUUGGUCAGCAGCCAAACAUGGCUCACUCUGGCGGUAAGCAGCAGUCGCAUGGACCCUCAUUGAAGCAACAGCAGCCAUUCUCGCAAGGCCACUUCUUCAUCUCCAAUGCGUUCGCACCACCACAAGGUCCGCCUCAGCAUGUAAAUGCUGGAGCUGGUGCUGGCCUCUACCAAAAGCGCUCGACUGACAAGACGCAGCAGCAGCAACAGCAGAAUGCUGUAUCUGGUUCGUCUGCUAUGCUCUCUCUUGGUUCCAUGUCAAUGUCCACAGCUGCGAUUCCAGCUGAUGCAGGGAAGGCAGCUGGCAGUAACAUGAAGGCCAAUCUUCAUCCAGCUGCUGGUGGUUUUAUGCACCUUGCCACAGCGGGGCAAUCUGCGAGUGGUUCGCCUCACUCUCACAUGUCAGGGGCACAAUUGACCUUUUCAAUGCCGAUGCCAGUAAAGCCUACCAGUGAUCAGAAGCCUGCUGCUGGUAAUGGACCUAUAUCCUUCUUUCCCCUGCAGACGUUGUUCCAUGUAUCACUGAGUUCUUUCCACUAACAUAAGCUGUUGUGUUGUCAGGUAAGUAAAGGACCCAGACGCCAGAGCAUGGGAAUGCUGCUAAUCUGAUUGGGCGAGCUAACUGCUAAUUCUGUGGAAAGGUUGGCGCGUGGAAGAAGCGAUUGCGCGACAAGAGGCUGCGCAGCCGCGAGAGCCGGAGCGUCGUCGAAGAAGAUGAUGAUGCACCCAUUCCAUCCAUGCAGGAGCGCUGGCAAUCGAGUGAAACUCUAGAACGGCUGAUGGGAGUGAUGCUUGUGUGUAGUAGGUUAUCCUCCCAUGGUGGAAAGCUGGAGGUGCAUAGAAACCCCUUUUUUUUAGCAGUUUUAUGCAAGGAUGUCAAAAGCUAGCUGGUCUCUCUCUCUGAACUUCUCUCCCCUCCCCUCCAACUGCUGCUCUGGUCUCUUUAGAUUUGUUCGUUUUUGUUGUUGUCUUGACUGAAGGAAGAAGAUUUAAUUAGAAUGCAGGACAAGGGGAACUUUUGUGAUGCUGCUGCUGCUUCUCUUGCUUUUCCUCUUUUCGGGGGGGGGGGGGGGGGUUCUUCUUUCCAUGUUUUAGAAACAACAACUGGGGCAGACAGGGAAAUAUUUUCUCAAGUAGUAGUAUUAGUAGUAAUUGAUCAAUGAUUGGGAGGCUGCAUAGCAUGGCAUGAGAAUGACCAUGACUUGCCUUUUGGGUGUGCGUUGUAAUUAGCUAGCCUUGUAGAAGGAAUGAAUCAAUCAAGUGGUUGAUGAUGGAUAGACAAUCUUCUUAUGGUUUUGCUGUAAUAUUUCAGGUACCUGAUCUUUUUUGUUGCAUCAGUCGGUUUCUCUGGAUCGUCGCAAUUUUUCACAGGUGGUGAGGGGCUUGGGAGGGAUGGUUAGGGUGGUGGGCAGCAACGGCGCUGGAGGCAGGCGGAUGGGGCAGGGUAUGAGGCGGCGGCGGAGGAGGAAGAAGAUGAAGGAGAAAGAGAUGAACAUGCCGCGGCAUGGAUAUUGAUCUGGUGGUCAGAAAGGAGAAUGACUGAUGGAAAUAGACGGUUAGAAAACAAAGGAAUUCUGGCCUAUGUGACGAGGACUCCGCACCGAAUGCUCUCCCGUCCGAAAGUGCCGCUCUUUCCGGUCACGCCACUCCGCCAUUUGUUAACUUGCGUGGACGGACGCGUGCUGCCACUAUCUUCUUCGUACUCGUGCCUAUCUAUCUAUCGAUCUACUCCUAUUAUCCAUCACACUGGGGCUGGAUGAUGAUGAUCUCAUUCACAUGGAUCGCUCUCCUCCACCAAAGCUCCGGGCCGUCGCACGUGUCCGGCCUGAUAGCCACCCGACGUGCUGCAGGCUGAAAAGUAAGUGUCUGGAAUUUUUUGCCUUGCCCGGGGGACAUCGCUUUCCUUUCGCUUGGCGCAAUGCAAUGCAAUGGUGUUCUCUCCCUCCCGUUUCCUUUCCGGAGUGGGUCUGCACGCACGCACGCACGAACGAACGGAGCCUUUGUCCAGAUGCGUGCACCGCUCCGGUUGUUGGUGACAUGUGAUUAGUCGCGUGCUGGAUUGCUUGUUUAUUUAGGUUUAACCUGGCCGNNNNNNNNNNNNNNNNNNNNNNNNNNNNNNNNNNNNNNNNNNNNNNNNNNNNNNNNNNNNNNNNNNNNNNNNNNNNNNNNNNNNNNNNNNNNNNNNNNNNGAAUAAUAUCUCUUGCUUUGCAUUGUGUGAUGUUGGAGCUAGUGCUUCCGUUAUAACAAAAAGAAUGUAUGAUAUGCUUGAUUGGAAACCUUAUGAUCCAUGUUCUUUUGGUGUUCGUCUUGUUGAUUCUUCCAUAAAGAAACCUUUAGGGAGAAUUGAUGAUGUUCUUAUUAUUUUCAAUGAUAAUUAUGUGCCCGAUUAUUUUCUUAUUAUGGACAUUCAGUGUGAUCCUUCAUGUCCAAUUAUUUUGGGAUGUCAUUUUCUCUCCACCGUUGGUUCUAUCAUUGACAUGAAAGAGGGAAUUAUUAAAUUCCAGUUUCCUCUUAAAAAGGGAAUAGAACACUUCCCUCGAAAGAAGAUUAAGUUACCUAAUGAGUCUGUUACUCGGGCAAGUUAUUCUUUUGGAGUUGAUAACAAUUGAUCUUCUAGCAUUAUGCCUAGCUCAAAGGCAUAAAAGAAAGCGCUUGUUGGGAGGCAACCCAAUUUCUUUUUACUUUCUGUUUUAGUGGUUUUGAUGCUUGUUACUACAGUAGCAACACCAUUGUAUCUUUAUUUUUAAGCUUGGUGCCAAGUUAUAGCCUUCGAUUGUAACAAAGUUCAACAAUUGUGACAUGCUGUCCCUAAACAGAUUAUGUCUGCUUGACGGAAAAAAUCACCAAAAAUGACCAGAUCAUAUUUUUUAUCUGAAUUUUUUUGACAUCAUGCUCCAUAUAAUUGCAUUUCUGGAAUUUGUUCUGAGUUUUUUGAUUUGAGUUGCACAAGUGCCCCGAAUAAAUUAUUUACUACCUGAUGUUCUGUUUUUCACAGAUUCCGCCAUGUUUUGCGUUUUCAUUGUUUUGCAAAUCCUAAGCUUAAUUUUUAUUAGCAAAAACCUUUUGGAAAUCAUGAGAAGCAGUAGAUUUUCAUGAAAAUCUUUAUUUCCAGUAGGUAAUGAAUUAUUUUAUUAAAGGUACUAACCACUCUAAUCAGCUUAUGAUGAAUUCGUAUGAAGGGAGUUUUCAAGUAUGCCAUGGGAGAUGAUGAAAGGAGUGUCAAGCGCUCGAGCUUGGGGAUGCCCCCAUGCAUCCCAAGAAAUAUUCAAAGGAGACUCAAGCAUCUAAGCUUGGGGAUGCCCCUGUGCACCCCCUUCUCUAUCAACAAUCAUCAGUUCUUCCAUCUCCAUGCUAUAUUUUUAUCACUUCAUAUGAUAUGUGUUAUACUUGGAGCGUCUCGCCCAUUACUUUUUAGUUUGUUUUAGUUUUUCUUGUUGUUCAUAACAAGUAGGAACCUUGUUUGGGAGAGAUACACGCUCCAUUCCACUCUAGAACACAACAUAGGUUUUCAUGCUUAUCUUUUUUGUGUGUUCUAUAUCUUUUUGUAUCUACUGUCAUGCUUAGCUCUUAGUUUUCAUGCUUAUCUUUUUAAGAGCUAUUAUUUAGGUUGCUUCUGCAACUAUCUUGAUUUAUCAUGCUUAUCUUAUUUAGAGAGUUGGCUCGUUGCACUGAGUUGUGUGUCUUGCAUGAGUAGGUAAUUGAGGUUGCUAUUUAAGUAUAGUAGUAACUUGCAAUAGUUUUGAGGUAUUGAUUUGAGUAAUGUUUGGACUAUUGGUGCCAAGAGCUUGAGCCUAUUAGUGAUAGGUGUCAUAUUUUGGGAAAUCCGUGUGUUUUUCAAAAACUAAAAAUAGGUUGAGAACUCUAGCUACUAAAUUGAUCGCUAAUCUCUAGAGGGGUUGGAAUAUAUAGAGUACCCUCACGUUACCACGAGUCGAGGAUACGCAAGGAUAACCAAACCCCCAAACACUCCUCCUCGAGGUACUUGUCUCUUUGUGAAUAUCCUAACUAGAUAGACAGUUACCGAGAAUAAGUGUAUGAGUUCUUCGGACUAAUGUGAGUAUUCGAUUGUUGGCACUUCCACCAUCCAUAUUUUUCUAGCCUCUUCGGUACCGUGCAUUGCACUUUAUCACACUGAGAGUUGGUGCAAACUCCGCCGGUGCAUCCAAACCCAUGACAUGAUACGCUCUGUCAUACAUAAGCCUCAUUAUAUCUUUACUCAAAACAGCCACCAUACCUACCUAUUAAGGCAUUUCCAUAGCCUUUCCGAGAUACAUUGCCAUGCAACAUCCACCGUCUCAUGACUUGAUCUUCAUGUCAUACAUGAUUUUGCUUGAUCGUAGAGCCGCAUGAUAGUUGGGCCUUGCUCCAAUUAUUGCUACAUGACGCGCUAGUAUCAUUGCACAUCCUGCUACACUUGCAGAGGCAUACAUUUGCAUACAUCAUGAUAGUUUUCACUUGUCUUUAUGUUGAGUACUUCUUAUAAAGUGUGAUGAUUUUUCUUUUAUUCUUCUAAAACAUAGAGUGUUGCCCUUAACUGAGGAAAAGAUCCCAAAGAGGAUACACAAAAAAUCCCAAAGAGGACAAAUGAGAGAUAAAAAGAAAGAGCCAAAGAGGCCACACAAAAUAAAAUAAAAAGAGAGGAAAAGAAAAAGAGAUAAAAGGAGAGAAGGGGGCAACACUACUAUUCCUUUUGAAAGAUCCACACUCGUACUCCAUUGCUAUAUUGGUACUACAUAGAUAUUAUCAUUCAUGCAUAACUAUGUCGGGAUCCUUACACUAUAGAACUUGGUUUGCAUAUUCCAAUGAUGAGCCUCCUCAAAUGAAAUAUAGGUCUUCAUGAGCAAACAAGUUGGAUGCACCCCCACUAGUUCCAUUGGAGAGCUUAUCUUAGCUCAUAUGUGCACCCAUUACAUGGCAAUCCUUACUCCUCACAUCAUAUCUAUCAUUUGGCUUUCACUUGCCUAUGUUGUCCUCAUUGAUGUGAGCCUUUCACACCUUUUUGUCUUCCUUCCCCAUCAUUAUUCUUUUUGCCAUCCUAAGUGCCAACAUAUCUUGCUUAUGCUCAUCCAUUGCAUGAGUGCUCAAAAUCGAAAGGGAGAGGGUCAUUUUGACUUGUGCCUGACUAGUGGUUUGGGGAUGAGUCAAAAUAAGAUUCGAAAGGAGACCAAGUGUGAGGUUUAUUAGAUUGAGUUCUCAAUUAAAAAAAUAUUUUAUGAUCUCAACCCAUCUCCCACUUCUUGCAUGCAAACACCAUUUGGAGACAUUUGAGUUGCGGACAUGAAGAGCUCUUGCACCUUUAUGUUCUUACUUUACUAAACUCAAUAUUAGAUAUAAUCUCUUGCUUGUUAUUGUCUUGACUUGAAUUGCAUAUCUCACUUGAUUUACUUUGAAGUUCUUAUAUGUGUGUUAGCAUGUCACCACGGAAAUUAUUGUGUUAUCAUUUAUGUACUCGAGGACAAGCAAAAAUUAACCUUGGGGAUGUUGAUACGUCCCAAACGUAUCUAUAAUUUCUGCUUUUCCAUGAUCUUUUGGGUGACAUUGUUAUAUCUUUUUCUACACUUUUAUAUCAUUUUACACAUAUUUGGACUAACCUACUAACUCAAUCCACCCAGUGCUAGUUUCUGUCUGCUGAUGUCUAUUUUGUACUGGCUUUUACCCAAUUUUCCGAAGCUCGAAAAAUUCCAGAAACAAUAUAUAAAAAAUCAGCGAAACAGAAGCUUCCGGAUCAACGAAGAUCGGCCGGAGGGGGGCCAGGGGCCUCCCAGGUGACCUGCUGGCGCGGCCAGGCCCUAGGUCGCGCCACCAGGCCGCCUGGGUGGGUCCCAGGUCCUCCGGUGCCCUCCUUUGGCUGAUGACCCUUCGAAAACUUCCAGAAUCGCGAAUUUAUCCAUCGUUCCGCUGCCGCAGCACUUCCAAGAUUGGGAGCAUCAGGAGACCUCUUCCCGGCACCCCGUCGGAGGGAGGAUUGACCUCCGGGGGCUUCUCCACCGCCAUGGACGCUUCCCGGACCUGUCGUGAGUAGUCCCCCUUGGACCAUGAGUCCAUUACCAGUAGCUAUGUGAUGUCUUCUCUCCAAUCUUGUGCUUCAAUGGUUAGUCCUUGUGAGCUGCCCAACAUGAUCAAGGCAUCUAUGUAAUUGUCUUACUAUUGUUAUGCUCGGUUUGUUGGGAUCCGAUGGAUUAUGAGAUUAUGUUCAGAUUGUUAUGAGUUAUGUAUUUGAUUAUCCUUUCAUAUUAUGUUCCUUAGUGAUUCAUGCAUGUUCUCCGUUGCUUUGUAUUGCUUUAGCUGAGUAGUAGAUUGUAACUCCAAGAGGGAGCGUUAUGCAUGAUUGUGGGUUCAUGCCCCUCGAUGUCUAGCUUGAGUGACAGAAACAUGAGACUAGGGGAUGUGCUUAUUUCCACCAAGGAGAAAACAACGGUGCUUGUGACCAUGGUUGCAAGGAUUGUUUACCUUACGCAUAGUUCGUUAAUGCAGUUGUCCAUUCUUUGAGUUUACACUUUGGGUGGGGCUCGCAACUUAAUACCUUAGAGAUGUUCUCGAUAGAUAUCUCAAGGUGGAUGAUUAGUAAGUAGAUAUUGAUGAAUAAACAGUCUACUUGUCUUGGUGUACUGCCCAUUACUAUUGAACCUCUAACUAUCAAGUAGCAUAAUUAGCAUUGCGGUGCACUCAUAAUUCUGUCAAUUGCCCAAGUGUAAUUUUUUUACCCAAGCGUAGUUAUUUAUCAUCUUUUGGGAGAGAUACAUCACUAGUGAACAUCAUGUGACUCCGGUCCAUAUCACUAUCAUUGUUUACACAUCCAUCAUUUACCGCUUUCAUUUAAUUUUCCGUUGCAAUCAUUAUUACCUUCCCGCUUGUGUUUUGAUCCUUUGCAAACUACAAGGCCGGAAAGAUUGACAACCUCUGUGUACUCAUUGGGAGACCUCUGUGUACCCAUUGGGAGAAAAUAUAUUUGUUGUGUGCGCGGGUCCACGUCUUCUACUAACGCCAGGGUGGGAUACAGCUACUUGUUGAUGCUAGGAGUCCUACUGGUUCGAUAAACCUUACAGUCUCCAUGUAAGGGAAAACUUGCCGCUGACUACAUCACAACCUUCCACUUGGGGUAACCAACGGGGUGCGAGAAGUAUAUACAUAAUCUCGUCAUCAGUAGCUACACGCUUCUUAGGAGCUGAAGGCUUCUUUGGAGCUGAAGGCUUCUUUGGCAUAACAUCAGCCAUAAGAUUCUUCUUUGAAGGAGGGACCUCAGCUGUAAUUUCUUCCCCCUCAUCACCAGCAUCUUCUCUUGGGUCUCCAUAAAUAGAAGUUGGACUUCCAACAACAUGAACAACUCUCUUUCUGGCUCUUUUCUGACCUAGCUUCUUAUCAAGCCUAGCCUCUGGAGCUUUCAUAUCAACAGGUCGGGCAUACUCCUUCCUCAUAGUCUUCCUGACUGCUGUUUUCUCUUUCUGCUUCUGGGGAACAAUUUCCUCUUGGAUAAAGUCAACAUCUUCUUUAUCUGAAUUUAACUUCUUCCUUUACCUGGUAGCUGCCUAGGGCAAGCCAUGGGAGCUAGGUGUUCCUGGGUCAGAAGGUGUCCUCUCUGGAUUAGUGUGUAACUCCAUGUCAGCACUUGGCUCACUAAAGUUGUUCUAACUAUCCUCUAAUCCUGACAUACUGUCAAACAGCCAAGUAGACAGGCUGACAAGCAGACGCUGUGAAAUGAUAUAGAAGAUCCGGAAUGGAUGAGCAUCACAAAGUUCAGAAGUUUUGAAAUUAUUGAACUCUGAAAAGUUAGGUUUAACAUUCAACAAAAAGGGAUUUCGGUUCCACCGAGUAAAAGUUUUUGGAGCCACCAAGACUGACGUUCUCAUUAACAGAAACUUGACACCCUUUUCGGUUUCACCAAGAACGUUCUCAGUAACCCUAAAAUAAAAUCGGUAAGACCAACUUUUCUGAAUCGGUGACACCGAGAUUCAAUCUUGCGGACGGCUAACUCUAAGAUUUUCAUUGUUCUCUAAUAUACGAGGUUUUUCUUGUGGUUGGGAUGAUUGCGGUAGUGGACAGAUUUCAUCAAAGCCUAUUUGCGCAAGAAUCAGAAUUGCGAGCGCAAAAAGGGGCCGGAUCCAUACCUAGCUCGGUGAUGGAUCCGGUACGGUGAUGACGGCGGUGAAGAUUCCCGUCGAUGGUGAGGACUCCAGUGGCGAGCGCGCACGGGAGGUUCAAGGUGAUGUCUAGUGGACUUGGGCGUUGUAGCGAGGAGGUGCGGGAGGGGACGUUUGAAGCAGUUUUCCAAUCGUCGGGUCCGCGGGAUAUAUGUCUCCUAGCUGUCGAUGACACCUAGAUGGGAUUUUUGGUGCCACCGAGUUCCAUAACAAUCAGUAGAUAGUGCAACUCGGUGAGGCCGAAAAUGAUACCGAGAUAAGAAAACCUAAUCAACCCUAGGCUUCCAUGGGACCGAGAUUUUGAGGUUGGUCACAUCAAGAUACAUUUUGGGAGGUUUUAUAAUUCAGCCCUUGUCGAGACGGAUCUCCGAAUGCUCCUCACACAUAGUGUCCCUAAAGUUCUUGCUCAAAUUUUGUCAUGUAGCAUGAAUAGAAUUUAGGACGAGAAAGCAUAGAUAGCUAGAGAGAGGUACCUAUGAAUUCUUGUACAUCCAAUUGGCCAAAUAAAAAGAAAAUCAAAUAACAACAAUUGUAUAUCCUCGAAUGGGGAAAAUAUGCAUACCAACAUGAUCACACAAUAGGAUGUCAAAAGAAACAUGGUAAACAUGCACAAACACUCUAGCAUCUAUCAAGCACUUUAGCGAUGACGAAGUCAUCUAUAUAUGAGUAUAUUGACUUAGGAUCCAAGUAAGAAUAAUUGAUCAAAGGUCAUACUCAUUGAUUCAGCACAAGAGGGGUUACGACUUUUACAUAAAGCAUUAAUGUUUUCACAUAUUUAGGAGAUGCUUAUACUCAUGUUUUAGAGUGAAGCUCCUCGUUGAUGUGACAUGCCCCUAAGAGGGAUAAACUAACCUUGGGUUUUUUCGUAGAAUACUUCAAGUAGGUAUAGUACUGGUGGAUGCUCAUUGUUGAUGAAGAUCAUCUUGAGUUGGGAGCAAUCGUUGUUGUUUUUUACACUUUUCACCUACAUGGGUUACUCCCAAAGAAUAGGGAACAUGUGAAAGCAUAUCUAUGGACAUGGAAUGAAAUACAUCUGAGAUGAUGUCCAAAGAUGCAUUAAUUACCUUUUCCUUUUCUUACCUUUGAGGGAAUGUGUGACUCCUUGAACUAAUGCAUAUGGUUGGAUUUGUUUGCAUGUAGUUCUUGCCAGAACGAAUAAGAGUGAAUGUCAUUGGAGAAUUCACCCCUCAAGAACUUUCUAGUUCUUCCUCUUGGGGAUCCACAACAACUUGAUGGGGAUCCCUGGAGUUGUGGUAGCGCUAGAUGAAUUAGAGCUAGUAGUGUCCUUGGGAAUCCACUUGACCUUGGCUUGGGGUUCUUCCUCAAAUGAGUCAAUCUUCUCUUGAAGGUUGCCCUUGCCUUUGUGGUCUUGUGGAGGAAGGUCAUCUUGAGACCUUGUUCCCUUGGGGAGAGUAGGGUGAUACUUCUAAUCUUGAGGAACAAACUUUGGGAUGGGAUAUGGACUUUCUUCCCAUUCAACUCCAUUGGCAUGGAAGUAUCCAACACCUUGCUUAUUCCGAUGCCCUCCUUGCUUGCGCACAAUUUCCUCAAAUUGCUUAAUUCUGGCAAGACUCUUGAAGACACCUUUCUCUAUAAUCCCUUUCAAUAAAAUGUUUUCUUGCUCAAGUGUAACUUGGCUAAGAGAACCAUUAGUGGAAUCAAGAGAGCUACUAGUAACAACAUCAUUUGAUCUAACUUUAGCACUGUUGUUACUAGAUGAAGAAACUUCCUUGCCUUUGUUACCAGUGUACUUAGGUUCAACUUGUGGAACAAAGGUAGACAAGAGUAAUUGUUUGGCUAGAUAAGAAGAACUCUUCUUUCGAAUAUCAUCAUUGAUUGCUUUUAGAAACGCAUGCUCUUUCUCUAAAUUUAGCUUCGAAGCAUAGCUUGUCAUGAGUUCUUGCAAGCUCUCUAUGAUCUUAUAGAGUAGUUUCAUGAGAAAACUUAAGAGUGUUUAAUUCUGUAGUUAGUCAUUCAAUCUCUUUCUUAUCAUCAUCAUUCGACUUCUCUUGACUAGCAUGAUUAUUAUCAAGUUCAUUUUCAGUGUUAUCACUAGUCUUAUCAAGGAGCAAGUCAUCUUCAUCACUAUCAAAAUCAAAGUACUCGGGGUGUGAUACCUUGGGGCCUUGGCCCAUGAAGCAGUUCGCACUUCCUUCGUCUGGUGAAUAAACUAAGUCGUCGGAGUUGGAGGAAAUGAGUGCAAGACCAGAAACACCUUCAUCUUGACUAUAGUUGGAGUUGGAAUGGUAGCUUCUAUCGGAUUUGUUGUCAGACUCAAAGCCGGAGACCCAUUCACCAACGUGAGCUUGAUGUCUUGUUCUUGAGCUGCUCUUGGUGUACUUGCCCUUCGUCUCCAAUUCCUUUCCUCUCCGGGAGUAUCUUCUUUCAUAACGAUAUUAUUUACUCCUUCUCUCUGUGCGUGGUGACUCAUCUCUUGAGAUUCGUCUUCUAGGUAACUCUUCUCUUCAUUUGUGGGGAGUCAUGCACUCAUUGGAAUAGUGUCCGGGCUUCCCAUAAUUGUAGCAGUUUCUAUGAUGACUAGACGAACGCUUCUCAUCGUAUCUUGAGCUUGAGCUUUUCUCUUUGCCUAUACUCUUGUAGAACUUGUUGAAUUUUCUGACCAUGAGCCUAAUCUCUUCAUUGGUAACAAGGUUGUCAUUUCAAGUAGUGGGAGUAUCACUUGAAGCUUUGUAAGCACUACUUGACUUGUUGUGCAACUCAUCUUUGUCCUUGAGAGACAUUUCAUGAGCAACAAUCCUUCCAAUGACUUCACUUGGCAUGAUAUCCUUGUAGUUUGGCAUCAUUUGGAUUAAUCUGCACACAAUAUCGUAUCUUCCAUCCAAGGUACUAAGUAUCUUAUUGAUGAUGAAUUUGUCGGUCGUCUCCUCGCUUCCUAAGCCGACAAUCUUAUUUGUGAUCAGACCUAGCCUAGAGUACAUGUCAGCGACUCCUUCACCAUCCUUCAUCUUGAACUUGUCAAGCUCACUUUGAAGCAUAUCCAACUUAGAUUCCCUGACAUAAUCGGUAUCUUUGUGCAUAUAAAUCAAAGUAUCCCAAAUUACCUUUGCAUUCUCAGGGCGGCUGCUUUUGUUGAAUUCUUCAUGGCACAAUCAGUUGAACACGAUGUCACAGGCUUGAGCAUUGUAUUACAACAUCUUCAAUUCUGUCGUUGUCGUAGCACGAUUCGGUUCUCUUCCUUCUCCGAGGAAAUCACCUUGCACAACAACAUGAACAACAUCCCAAACGGCAGGAUUAUGCCCAAGAAUAUGCAUUUUCAUCUUAUGCUUCUAACUAAUGAAGUUUGUACCAUCAAAAUAUGGACCACUAUGGUUAUAAUUUCCCUCACAAGAUGACAUACUAUCCUAGGUUGUGAAACCAAUGCAAUGGAGACCAAAGCUCUGAUAUCACUCGUAGCAUCCAAAGUAUGUCUAGAGGGGGGUGGUUAGACUACUUGACAAGAUAAAAACUUAGCAUUUUCCCAAUUUUAGUUGUGGGCCAGUUUUAGCAAUUAUGACUAGUCAAGUUCACCCUACACAUGCAUAUCUAAGAGUAUAGCAGCGGAAAGUAAAGACAUGAAAAUGUAAUGUAGAAGGUAAGGUAAGAAGAUCAAACGCAAAAGGUUGACGCGACAAUUUUUUGCAUGGUUCCGAUAGGUGGUGCUAUCGUACGUCCACUUUAGUGGAGAAUUCAACCCAUGGAGGGUAACGGCUGCGCGAGUCUACGGAGGGCUCCACCCACAAGGGGUCCACGAAGAAGCGGCCUUGUCUAUUCCACCAUGGCUUACGUCCACACAGGACUAGCCUCACUCGGGGUAGAUCUUAGCAAAGUAGGCGAUCUCCUUGCCCUUACAAACUUCUUCGUUCAACUCCACAAUAUGAAGUAGAAGGCUCCCAAGUGACACCUAACCAACCUAGGAGGCACCACCCUCCAAAAGAUAAUAGAUGCGGUAGAACGAUGAACUCCUUGCUCUUGUGCUUCAAAACAUAGUCUCCUCAACACUCAAUCACUCUCUCACAAAUUUGUCAUGGGUAGGAGAGAUUAAUUUUGUGGAAAGCAACUUGGGGAGGCCAGAGAUCAAGUUUCAAAUGGUUGGAUUGGAAUCUCUUUAUCUCAACACAUAAGUAGGUGGCUCUCUCUCAAAAAACGGAUCUGGCAAGUGUAAGUGUGUUCUGAGUGCUUACAACAUUACAACAUUAUUACCCAACUCGGUGACACCGAAACCCAACCAUUACAACAUUAUUACCCAACUCGGUGACACCGAAAUGAAUCUCGGUAGUACCGAGUUCCACUAAAUGUGGCAACUUUUGAAUUCUCGGUGAGACCGAUAUAUAAAUCUUGGUGGUACUGAUACAAUGACCUAGAGCAAUUUCCAAAUCAUGGUGAGACUGAUUCCAAUCUCAAAAAUUCUGAUUCUUGGAAUUAGCUAAACAGAAAGUUGGUCACUGAUCUCGGUGGCACCGAUAUGGAAUGUUGGUGGUACCAAGAUGGUAGGGUUUGUCAUAGGAUCUAUCUGGUGAAAAAUCGGUAGGGCCGAGUGGAAAAAUUGGGUGGCACCGAUUUUGUUGGUUUACUUUUGACAGAGAUAUGUUGUGAGAAAAUGAGUGAAUAUUUUUGGUGGCUAUCUCUAAGCACUUGAGCAACCAAUUUAUCAUAAUACCUCACCAACUUUUAAUAGUAUUGGCUUUCCUAUGGACUCAAAAGUGAUUUAUCACAAAUGUAAAAUGUAGAGUCUUCUUGCUUGAAGCUUGAGCCAAUCCUAUUCCUUUCCUUCAUCAAGGUUUUUUGUUCUCACAACCCUUUAGGCAAGGUAUAUUUGAACUUUUUUGAAAUAUACUUGGAUAAGAUCAUUAGUCCAAUGAUGCAUAUGUUGUGAUCAAUUAUCAAAACCACCUUAGGGAGGAGUUGUGCUUUCACUCUCGUACUCUUGUAACCGGCUUACCCAACAAGUCACCUUCUUAUAAUCUACAAGAUGAGGUGCAUCAUACUCCAACUCCGCCUUAUCCUCCGGCUGGUCUUUUCAAACAACCUAUCAAUCCUAUUGAUUCAAAUUUCCACGAAUCACCCCCUUCAUCUGGCGACUCAUCUGCCAAAAACUUGUCACCUUCUUUGUAUCAUAUGUUUUCUUGCUAAAACUCUGAGUUGCAUAUACUUUAUCAUGCCCUCUUGUUUUGUAGGGUGAGGGCUAAGAAGAGGAACCCUUGGCGAUUCAUUUAUCAAUCCUGAAGUUCUUGAGCCAGAAAAUCCAGACACGACGGCUUCCAAAGCCACCAGGCGUGUUCAAGAACAUCAAGAAAUCCAAGUUGAUUUACCUCCUCAAACUGAAAUAGGAACAAUUGCUACUUCACAUAUGGAUGUUGAAACUGACCCGAAAACUCGUUCUGAUCCUCCCAUUCCUUAGGGAACCCUUCAAGAUGUUUCUUGUGACAAGAAUGCGGAGGUGGCCAUCAUUGGGUUGAGUUAUACUGCUCCUGGAACCUGUGAUGUGUUGGCAAAGCUUGUUACUAAGGAGGAAGUUGUCCAGUCUAUCAAUGGGAAGACUAAACUGGAGCUUCCAGGUUAUGAGACUUUCAAUAUUGAAGCAUUGCGCGCUGGUUAUCUUGAGCGUCUUUAUGCAAGCUGACAAGUGAAAACUGGCCUUGUGAAUAUGAUGAAUCUAAAAUAUGGGGUAUGCUUCACCUUGCUGUGUAUUCCGUGUUUCAUAUAUCCUCAUGUAGCUCCCAGGGGCUGACUCGUCUUCUUGAGAUUAGUCGGGUCUUGAUGAUUUAUGGAAGAAUUCGACAUAUAGCCCCCAAGGUCCGACUCAUCUCCUUGAGAUGAGUCGGGUCUUAAUGUUUUGUAAAAGAAUUCGACCUGUAGCCCCCAAGGGCCGACUCAUCUCCUUGAGAUGAGUCAGGUCUUAAUGAUUUGUAAAAGAAUUCGACUUGUAGCCCCUAAGGGUCACCUCAUCUCCUUGAGAUGAGUCGGGUCUUCUCCAUCAUAUAUUCAGAAAAAAGCUUAUAUGCAUUAGCCCCCAAAUGCCAAGUAUUUUGCUUGCAAUCUGCUUGGGACUUGUUUACAAUCUUCCUUGUCACAAUCAUCAUAUUGUCCUACCUCCGGCUUAUUGUUACUCCAAUUUUUGUAGGAAGCUAUGAAGGCCACUGAGUUAAAAGUCACUCAUUUGACAAAAUCUCUUGAGGUGGGACAGACCGCUCGAUCGGAGCUUGAGGAAAAACUUCAACUAUCCUUGGAAGAGGCGUAAAAAAUCAAGGUGGUCUUUGAGGUAGAAAGCAAAUCCAUAAAACUCAAAAAGCCACCUUGACCAAAUGUGCUAAAAAUGUUGAAGAUCAAUUGAAGGUUGUCUCAAAAGAGCUAUUCGGGUUAAAAAGGCAUAUUGACAACAUGACUCGAGACAUCUUUGGUUAGUAUACUGAGAAACUUUGUCAUUAAUCCGCCUAAUACUUAUUUAUGAAUACAACCUCGUGAAGAUUUGUGAACUUGAAUUUUUGUAGGGCACCGUACGUGCAAUCUUCAAGAUAACUGCUUACUAAAGGUCAAAGUCGUAUAUGCGUUGACAGAGCAGCUUUACACCGGAAGCCUAUGCAAAAUCAUAGUUGUCAUGGGGAACAAAGAGCCGGUGAAACUCGAAGAAGAUGUACUGGAAUUCCUCUCUACGAUACCAAGGAAAAUUGGAGAACUCAGGAGAUCAGCCACCCGAGCUGGAGCCACAUAUUCCUUGAGUCGAGCUUUGGAUUACUCAACGGAGCUUGACCCAGCAUAAAUGGGUGGGGGGUUCCAGUGCUAAAGGCAGACGGAUCAGCUUUUAUCGAGGAUGACUAUCGUCAGUGCGUUAAGGUGGCUCGGGUCUUUGCGAGUGAACUUGUAAAUGACAUGUCAUUGAAGAGUCAUCAUCGAGUGUAUGACUCAAACAACACUCGAGUCCAAACACUCGUAUUUAAAUCGAUUAGGUCGACUCUGAAGUGUCAUGAGCAAUACUUCGCCCCAGAUGUUGACUCAUCUCCUAUUUUGAAUGAACAAGCCAUAUUUCAAGUCUUGACCCACUACAACCGGAAUUUGGAAGACCUUCAGAUCAUAGAUUCGGGGAAUCAAGCAAAGGACCAGCCGGAUACAUCUCACGCACAAGACCCUAACAAAGCUUAACCCAGAAAAUCUAAAGGCCGGGUUACAAAAAAAUAACUUUCAUUCCACCAUUUGGGCUUGAAGUUCCUUGUAAUAUGGUUUAAGACAAUAGUUGUUUUGCCUGUAUCGUGCCUUUGUGCACGUUAUCAAACUCCUUGAUCUUGUCAUGAUGGCAAGGAAUCUAUAUCUAGGCGAGUUUUUGUUAACUCGCCUUAUAUCCUUAUGCACAUGAGUUAGAUAACUUUUGGUAGUUUAAUCUGUUCUGUCUUGGCUGACCCUUGCUUAAUAUUUGAUUGCUUCAAUCAACGCGGAGCAGGUUAUCAUAUCUCGGUCUCUAACAUUCUUUCACGAUAUUUGCCUAUUGAGCCAUAUAACUUCAAACUAUCCAUGAUAGUAUGAUUACUCUAUAACUGGGUCACUCUUUUAUGAGCCAGAAAAAUAGUGUUUUCACGUGAAAAGAUAAAAUGAUGAUAAUAUAAUAAUAAUUUGGCUGAGUGAGACACGGUAAAAGGAGACCGGCUUUCGAGGCUCAAGUCUUGCUUCAAUGAAGCAGGUAUGAUAACCCAUGGUUUAUCCUAGCUUAUGUAUGUCGGCUCUCACGUGACAAACCAAUUUUUUAACCUUGCUAAUUUAGGGUCCAUAGUGGAUUAACUAAUCAAGAGUACAUGGACUCACUGAUGAGAGUCACAUCAAACAUACAAGAAGGUUUAACCAUUUUGUGGUGUCUUUCCAGAUCAAGAGGGUGAGAAAUCUAAACUCGAUGAGUUCAAAGCCCCCAAGUGACCUAUGAUCGAUAGAAAAGCCCAGCAUAUGAUUAGAGGAGACAAUGCUUCUACUUCAAAACAUAUGGAGUUCAGAUAAUCUGGCUUUAUUCCAUUGAUCAUGAUGAUUUGUUUGGACCAGUAGCCCCUAAGUAACAUGUUUUGAAAUAAUAAAGACUCAUGCUCAACUUGUAGGCUGAAAACAACAUAGGCCGUGAGAUUCGAGGAUGCCACCUUUAUUACGUUCAAAACUAUAAAAGUAUGUAUACAAAUUGGGGGGUUAUAGGAAAUAAUGACCGAGUGGCUCUAAGUAUAAUAAGGCCGCAUGCGAGCAAUGUUCCAGGGCCGGGUUGUCUCUGCUUCAAAGGUGUUCUUACCGGGUCGUAGAUCGAUCAGGUAAUAUGAACCAUUGUUGAGGUUUUUGUUGAUGAUAAAUGGGCCUUCCCACGACAAUGAAAGUUUGUGCAUCCCUUUUUGAUCUUGAAUCAGGCGGAGCACCAAGUCGCCCUCUUGGAAUGUGCAGCUUUUAACUCUAUGGCUAUGAUAGCGAUGUAGGUCAUGUUGGUAUAUGGCUGAACUGGAUGUUUCUAAGUCUCACUCUUCCUCCAAAGCAUCCAAGAAUCUUGUCGUGCUUGUUCAUUGUCACCAUGUACAUAAGCAAUGACUCUAGGAGAGUCAUGACGAAUAACACUCUAUAAUACCGCCUCAGCACCAUAAACCACAAAAAAAGGCGUGUAUCGAGUGGACCUGUUUGGAGUUGUACUGAUACUCCAGAGUACUAAGGGGAGUUCCUCAACCCAACAACCCAGGGUACGUUUUAAUGGGACCAUAAGCCGGGGUUUGACCCCUCUCAGAAUCUCCUCAUUUGCUCUUUCAGCCUGCCCAUGGGAUUGUGGAUGCGCUACUACUGCGAGGUCAAGCCGGAUGUGCUCCUUCUGAAAAAACUGCUCCAUAGCUUCUUUGGAUAAGUUGGUGCCAUUGUCCGCGAUAAUGCUAUGAGGAUAGCCCAAACUAUAGAUUAACUUCUUCAAGUAUUUGGCCACUGAUUCCGCAUCGCAGUUGCUGACGGGUUCUGCCUCUACCCAUUUAGCGAACUUAUCAACCUCCACCAGCUCGUGGGUCUUUUUAUUCGGAGACAUUUUGAAUGGACCAACCAUGUCAAGCCCCCACACUGCAAACGGCCAUGUAAUUGGGAUCAUGCGCAACUCUUGAGCCGACACAUGAGCAUGUCGAGCAAACUUUUAACAUCCAUCACACUUGCGUAUGAGGUCUUCUGCAUCUUCAUGAGCCGUUAGCCAAUAAAACCCAUGUCGAAAGGCCUUUGCCACCAAAGAUCUUGAGCCGACGUGAUGUCCACAGUCACCAGCGAAGAUUUCAUUGAGAAUUUCUUUCCCUUCCUCAUGAGGCACACGGCAUUGAAAUAAGACAGUGUUGCUCCGCCGAUGUAACUCGCCCUUGAUUAUGGUCAUCGACUUCGAUCGUCGAACUAUUUGGCAGGCCUCGACUUCCUCGGUCGGAAGUUCUCCUCGAGUGUGAUAAGCCAAACAUGGUACCGUCUAGUCUAAGGUAGCACGUAGAGCCGCCACCAGCUAUGAUUCCGGAUUAGGAAUAGCUAUAUCCUCUUCAGACGGUAAUUUCACCGAGGGGUUGUGCAGGACAUCCAAAAAUACAUUGGGAGGGACCAACUUCCGUUGAGAACCAAGUCACAAUAAAGCAUCUGCUUCCUCAUUGAGCCGGCAAUCAAUGCGAUCGACUUGAUAGCCAUGAAAGUAACACGCCACGUUAGUAACUGCUAGUUGAUAAGCCGACAUCAAAGGAUCUUUCCAAUCCCAAGUCCCUGAAACUUGUUGAGCCACUAAAUCUAAGUCUCCCAAACAGUUGACCCGACUGAGGUUCAUUUCUUUAGCCAUCCUUAGCCCAUGCAAUAAGGCCUCAUACUCAGCUUCAUUAUUAGUAUGGCGAAACAUGAGCCAUAAAACAUAGCAGAACUUGUCACCUUAUGGGGAAGUUAACACGACCCCAGCCCCGGAUCCUUCUAAUUGCUUGGAACCAUCAAAGUGCAAGGUCGAGUAGGUGUUAUUUGGCCUGUCUUCUGGCAUUUGUAGCUUUGUCCAGUCAUUGAUGAAAUCCAACAAUGCUUGGGAUUCGAUGGUCGUUCGGGGCAUGUAUUUCACCUGAUGUGGGCCGAGCUCGAUUGCCCACUUAGCGAUCCGUCUAGUGGUAUCUCGAUUUUGUAUGAUAUCGCCAAGGGGUGUUGAACAGACCAUAAUGAUUGGAUGCUCCUAAAAGUAGUGUUUUAACUUUGGGCUUGCCAUAAAGACCCCAAAGACCAGUUUCUGCCAAUGUGGAUAUCGUUGCUCGGAAAGGUUCGAGACUUCACUAACGAAAUAGACUCGUCGUUGAACUGGAUAUUCCUCUCCUUCUUCCUUCGGUUUGACAACAACUGCAACACUUAUCAUCUUUGAGUUGGCAGCAAUGUACACGAGCAUGGGCUCUUUGUCGCUCGGGUGACUAAAACCGGCGACUCAGCCAACUACUUCUUGAGAUCUUCAAAGGCUUCGGUUGUUGCGUCAGUCCAAACAAAAUUGUCCGCCUUUUUCAACAACUGAUAGAGAGGGAUUGGCUUCUCCACCAGGCGGCUUAUAAAUCGGCUCAAUGUUGUGAUACGGCCCGCCGGGAGUUGGACUUGGUUUAUGUUAGUCGGCCUACCCAGUGAGGUGAUCUCCUUUAUCUUGUGAGGGUUAGCCUCAAUGCCUCGUUCAGAGGCCAGGAAGCCCAGUACCUUACCCGCAGGGACCCCAAAGACACACUUACCCAGGUUAAGUUUCAAUUGGUACACUUGAAGGUUAUCAAACGUCUCCCCACGACCGUCCAAGAGUGUCUCCUUCUUCUGAGAUUUCACCAUGAUGUCAUCAAAAUAAGCAAGAGUGUUGCGGCCGAUCUGUGAGUGAAAGCAAUUCUACACAUAUCGUUGAUAAGUCGCCCCUGCACUCUUAAGCCCGAAAUCCAUAGAUACAUAGGAGAAGGCACCAAAAGGGGUUAAGAAAGUUGUAUUCUCCUGAUCCUCGUUAGCAAUUUGAUCUGGUGAUAACCUGAGUAUGCAUCCAAAAAGCAUAAUCGCUCGCAACCCGGCGUAGAGUCAAUGACCUGGUCGAUACGUGGGAGAGAAAAAGGAUCUUUGGGACAGGCUUUGUCGAGAUCUAUGUAAUCAACACACAUGUGCCAUGUGUCGUUCUUCUUUAGGAAAAGCACCAAUUUAGCCAACCAUUCAGGGUGAAAAACUUCAAUGAUAAAACCGGCAACUAGGAGCCGGGCUAGCUCUUCUUCUAUAGCCUUGCGUAUCUCCUCGUUAAAACGACGGAGAUAUUGAUGUAUUGGUUUCAUAUUUGGAUCCACAUUAUGAUGGUGAUCAGCGAGUUCCCUCGGUACUGCAGGCAUGUCAGAAGGCUUCCAUGCAAAGAUGUCCCAAUUCUCACAUAUGAACUCGAUGAGCGGGCUUUCCUAUUUAGGAUCCACACCAGUCCCAAUGUUGAACUGCUUGGAUGAGUCACCUGGGACGGAGUCAAUCUAUUUGGUAUAUUUUGCCGGCUUAAACUUGCGAAGUUCUUCGGACCCAGUAGUUGGCUUACUGAGAGGACUCAUGUCAGUCGGGUCAACAUUAGCCGUCUAAAACUUUAACUCCUCGGCAGCGCAUGCCGACUCAGCAUAGGCUGCGUGCCCUUCCUCACACUCCUGAGUCGUCUUCCUGUCACCUCUCACCUUGAUAAUGCCAUUGGGACCCGGCAUCUUGAGCUUGAGGUGGACAUAAUAGGGGUGAGCCAUGAAGCGUGCAUAAGUUGGCCUUCCGAAGAUGGCAUGAUGAGGGCUCUGUAUCUUCACCACUUCAAAAGUCAAAGGUUCGACCUUUUAGUUAUGCUCAUCACCAAGGGCACGUCAAGCUUAAUCCUCCCAACUGGUUACGCCGACUUCCGAGGGACGAUGCCAUGAAAAAUGGUGGUUGAAGUUUCCAAACUGUUGUUGGGGAGGUUCAUCCGCAGAAAGGUGUGAUAAUAUAGUAUGUUGAUGUUGCUUCCUCCAUCCAUUAGGACCUUUGUGAGGAUAUAUCCAACCACUUGAGGUGCUACCACCAGGGCCAGAUUUCGAGGGUUGUCGACCCACAGGGGAUGAUCCUCCCGGCUUUGGGUGAUCGGCUGCUCAUACCAACGGAGAUACUCGGGAAUAGCCGGCUCAGCCAUGUUGAUAGCUCUCUUUGUGACCUAUGUGUAUCGUUUUCAAGUAUUGGUGGUCAAGACAUGGUACUGACCACUACUUGGUUUCUCAAGAAGACGGUUCCGGAAAUCCCGCGUGAUAUAGCAGUCUUCCCAUCAAUGAUUGGUCGGCUUCUCCCGAGUGCCAUGCUUGGGCCAAGGCUCCCUGAGCGCAUCCUUGUAGUUGCGCGCCUUAUUCGCCUGAUGAACCUUUCCAGAGCGGUCACUCUGACACUGGUUUUUGAAACUCACUUUGGUACUGACCGCAGCUUUUGACCCGCCUUCGGGCCGCUUCCGCUUGUUGUCACCUAAGCCUUCAGCGUUCCCACUUUUGAAAGGACGAACUAACCCCGUGUUAUCCACAAAGGCACGGCUUCGACCGGCUCUAUGCCAACUGGGUCGAACAUGGCGAGCUGACUCGACGAUGUUGGUGCGGAUGUCCGACUCGGGUGUUGCUUCAUUGACCUUGCCAAUGAAGAUGUGGAUCUUUCCGAAGGGGACCCGGUACCCGUACUCGAUUGAGUCGGCAUCGAGACCCCAGCUUGAAUCAUUGAUGUAGAUCUUGUCGUGGAGACUCCUAGUCAUACGACCCGCAACGUAUCUCCCGAACCCUAGAAGAGCUCCCUCCAAGAACUUAACUCCACCUUGUGAUUGCCCCAUGGUGGGCGCCAACUUUCGUGGUUUUGUCGCAGCAGAUGUCCUCGUUGAAGGACUUAGAGCUGAGGCCAUCGUCGCGAUGUAGCGACUCGAAGGGGUUGAUCGGGAACGAGAGACGGAUUUACCCAGGUUCAGCCCCUCCAGUGGAGACAAAAGCCUACAUCCUGCUUUGGUGUCUAUAUUGAUGGAGAUCUUGAUUACAAGGAUGACGAAUAACUAACCUAGCUCUCGAGAGUUUCUUGCUUGAGCUUUUCGGCUCGCGGGCUCCCCCUUAUAUAUAGGCAGAGGCAUCGAGUUUACAACAGAGUUCAGGUCAAUAAAUGCAUGUGACAUAUUACAAUUCUACCUUGUCUUGUUUCCCAAGUUAGGAAAGCUUCUGGUGUCUCCUACCUCGUGGGCUUUGAGUCGCUAUCUUCAAGUACUCGGCCGCCAAGCGGCUCGCUUGGUAAGUCUCCUUGUUGUCCUUCUAUCCUUUCUGCAGCCCAUUGCGUACAUACAAGAAGAGUCGCCUACAGUCUAACCCGACCCAAACUGCGGGUUAUACCACGGGGUCAUAUCCCCGACAAACUCCGACUCCGUGUAACAUCCCAAAUUUUGGAAUGUUAAUAUAAUUACUAGACUGAUUGUUUGUUUGUUUGACUAAUUGAAACUUGAGUGAAAUUUGAAAACAUUUUAAAACUUUUGAAUGUGAGGGAAUAAAAGCACUUUCCCAUUUUCUUUUAAUUCAAAUUCAUCCAUUUAAAAUCAAUGAGAGAAGAUAACAUGACUUCUCCAACUAUAAAGAUUUUGAAAGGUGGAUUUGAAAACUAAUAAAAGAUUUCCUAUAUGGAUUUCAUUUUCGUAUUUGAUCAUAUUGCUAUUUCAAAGUUUAAAUGAAUUCAUAUAUUAAAAAAAUAUGAGAGGAGGAACAUGGCCCUCCAAACCACGGGCAUUUUGAAAAUUAUUUGAACCCUAAAACUUAGGAGGUCAUUUGAAAAUAUUUGUAAAAGGAAAUAAAACAUUUAGGCAAUUUUCUGGAAAUAAAUUUUUUUCCUGAAGUUCUUAUUUUGGCCGUGGAAAAAUGUCCAUCUUAUUGGAUUUAUUUUUUGAAAAUUUUGAUAUAUAAUACUUCUAUAUUUGGAAAAUUAUAUUUAUUUUAUUUUCUAAGUUUUACCUUCCGGUUUUUAUUAAAAAGAAACAAACCGUUUUCUUCGGAAAGGCAUCUGGUCCCGUUAGGAAUAUCUGAUCCGGCCCGAUACAUUCGUUCUUCCACCUCCCGUCUCCUUUCCUUCCCUGCCGCGUGAAGCUUCCACGAAGCUUCCUCGCCGAUUCCUUUCCCCGAUCACUGCGUACCUUCCUUCCCCUCACCCCCCGAGGCCCCAUUUAAUAUCCUCACCCCCUCCUCUCUCUGUUUUCCCCAAGACCCCUUUCUCUCCACGCCCCAGCGUCGCCCUACACCCUCGCCGGAGGUCCUGCUCACGCAGAAGCCAGGAGCUCCUGCCGCGCCACCUCCCUUCGCCCCACGACCCUCCUGACGCUACCAGGAGAACGCCGGGACCCUCCUCCGCCAGAACCACCACCCUGUCGCCCCCCUACACCACCGGAGCCGCCUCCCCUCGCCGCCUCACCUUCGAGCGUGCCAUUACCAGCGCUAGAGCUCCUCUCUGCCACGGCAAGCUCCCUCUCUCUCUNUUCUUUUUCCCACAGUUGGAUCCAUAAUAUACGCUCUAGAUUAGAUUAGGAUACCCUUUCGGAUUUAGUUAGAAAACCGAUCGGUUCCCUGUUAGUUAAUUUAAAACCGAAAGGUUUUCCUUUAUAUUGUGACCGUCCGUUAGUUAGCCUAAAUCGCGCACGAUCUCCAGCCAAUCACAGCCUGCCACGUCGCCUUUUCUUUUAAUCUUUUUCUAUUUUUAAUUCCGAAACAUAUUUGGACCUGAUUUUAGAUUGCUUAUAACUUUUAAUCUAUAACUCCAAUUGAGGUGAUUCUUUUUGCAUUGGAUCACAAAUUUUUUGUAUUUUUUGUAGUUAUAAAAUUUUACCAUGUUUUAAAUUUUAAACUUUAAAUUUAAACAGAUUUCGUUUAAAUCUUAUUUUGUUAAUAUCUGGAGUUUAAAAAUAGAUUUUUAGUUGAUUCUUUUUGCUACUGAUCACUAGUGAUCUUAUUUAUCAGUAGGUAAAACUUCAAAAAAUUUGGAGUAUUUUAAAUCAUUAUUUUAUGUAAAAUAGAUUUUGUUUUAGUUCUUUCUAGGACUAUUGCUAUUUCUUUUGCUAUAAUUGUUUUUAAUUUAUUUUCUUUUAUACUUGUGAAAGGUUAUAUUUUGUUUCAUUUUAGUUAACGGUAGGUUUUCAACAACAACAAAAUUUUAUUUUAUUUGAUAGCAUGAAAUCAAUUCUAGUUCGAUAAUAACUUGCAAAUUGAUUUUGUUGCUAGUUUGAUGUCCUAUUUGAAAAUACUUUCAAAAUAAUAUAGUUUUAUGAAAAAUACUAUAUGUUAUCUUAGUUAAUUUUAUAUUUUCUUUUCUAUUAUUUUACUAUUUUAGUGUUUUAUUUUCUGAUAAGUUUAAUUAGAAGAAAAACUAUUUAGUGAUUGUUGUAGUAGAAGACUCCAUAGUUUUUCUUUGAACUUCCUUUUGGAUUUCUAUUUGAUCAUUCUUAUUGAUUUUAUUGCAUCAAAUUUUAUUGUUGUAUGUUAUAUUUAUUUCUAGGAUGAUUGCUAGUAGGAUUGCUUAUAUGAAUACUAUGUUUGAUUAUAUAGAUAUCAUCGGAGAGUGACGAAUAGUUCUAUCAAGUUAUUUCUUGAGAGCGAUAUUCUUGUUCAUCAACCUUACCAGGCAAGUUCACAUUGAUCAUAUUUUUACCUCUGAUUUUAUUGCAUUAGUUUCAACCUUAUUCACCCAUUGCAUUCAAGUAGGUACUUGGAAACUUUGGUUAUUGAGUAGUAUGUUAUGAUAGGCACCCCUAAACCCUUGUUACUUUGGCGGGGACGUUAUUUUGCUAUGCUCAUGGUAGACGGGGUUUGGUUGAGUGUUUAUCAUGGGUGUUGUGAGAAACUUAAUAAUGAAGACCUUAAGAAUCCAAGACUUGCAAGACCUCAGAACAAAAUAUACCUCUGGGUGAAGGACGGUUCAGAUGGGCUCCGUGGGAAAAACCAGCGGAGGACUUGGGAUGCAUGCAGAAGCGCCAUGACAUCUUUCGGAAAGCUUCACCCAGGCUCAAAGAGAUGGAUGGAUAUUUGAAGACCCAAGUCUUACCUGCAGAGCCACAAGUCAUUAUGGGCUCUGGCUUGGUUGGACAACGUGGUGACUUUGGACGAGCGGUACUACGAGAUGUACAAGAACGGUAGGAUUGGAUGGGCACCGACAGUGGCUCAGAGGAACCCGUUGAAAGACCAUGUUUUGAUCAUCCGGUUCUCAAACAUCCUGAAGUGUGAGGACUCCAACGGAGGCGAUCAAAUCUUGUGGGGAACGUGUGCAAAACUCUGCUGAGUACUCAAACGUAAUUGAUUAGCCGUGUCCACGGUCAUGGGCAACUUGAGUCGAAGGAACUAAAGUUAUUAGGAAUUCUCAACACCAUUUAAUAUUGAUGUGGGUAAUAUUUAUAACUUGGGUAUGAGAAUUGGUUGGUGGAACCAUCUCAUUAACAACGAACAAUGUAGUAAAUCUUGCUUUGACCCUCUCUUGUUGUAGGAAAAUUUGCUUUACGCCAAACUUAAAACUACGGCCCCAUGUGUCGUAUAUGCAUAUAGUAUAGAUGAUAUUUUCACCCCUCUCUUUUCUGACUUGCCGGCAUAUUCGAUAUGCUGACCUACACGGCUGCAACAUCUUAUGUUGUAGAUAUUGUAUUCGACGAGUAAGAGUAUGAUUCAAGGUUACGGUCUGCACUCAACUUGUCGUUGGUGUUUAUUGGGACUCCACUGCCUUUGACUGUUUCCGCUGAGAUUUUGAGGUAUAUAUCAGUUUUAGGUUAUUUUACAUGUGAUUGCACUUUGAUAUAUACAUUGAUGUACUGUGUGUUCCAGCAUACUGAUCCAGUGAUGGCACGGAACACACAGAGGCUUGACUCGUUUUGAGUCGGGUCGCUAUAGAUAUGGUAUCAGAGAACAUGUUGAUUGUAGGACAUGACCCUAGAAACUGGAAAUCCCUUAGGAAAGCAUCUCUCUAAUAUUUUAUUUUCAAGAACAUUCUUUACUUCUCAUCUCUUCUGAUUUCAUCAAAUGUUCUCUCUCACCUCAAAUAGUUAGACAAUACCCUUUCCCCUUGGACCACAUAAAGGAUUAGCUGAGUCCCACUUCAAAGUAAAGAGCAUUUCACCAUGCAUUUGAAAAACUGAAGCUGCACCAAUUGAAGACUCUCAAGAACCGAAGAAUUUGAAGACCCUGAAGUGUUCCAAUAUUUAUAUGGCCAUUAGAAGUCCAAACACCUGUUAUAUACCCAUGUUAGAUACGAUGAUUUGUGAGCCGUCAUUUGUGUGUGUUUUCCGACAGCCACAAAUAAAACCUAUUCUCAAAAAUAUUGUUUGUAUUGUGUGUAUAUCCCUCUUUCCCGCUCUCUCUCUUACCCAUCUCAUCCCCAAAACCUUGGACCAAAUAGAUGACAUAUGAAGCUGGACUUGUAAUCUCUGGACCAAUGACCCAGCUCGAAGUUGAAAUAUGGAUUCAGAACAUGGAGAACCACUUCAGGAGCAAUUUAAUUUCAAGGAAGUAUGAAGUGGCACAUGCUCUUCAGUACUUUACACAAAGUGCUGCUAUCUGGUGGAAAAUGCAUCAUGACAUACAAGGAUUUAGUGGAGCAGAAACUUAGGACGAAUUCAAGAAGACUCUGUUAAGAGCUCGUCUCAUUCAGAAGUGCUAUGAUAGCCCGAUGAAGAAACCUUGUGCAUGUAAGAUCUGUGGAGAAAUAGGACACACCCAGGGAGAAGACAAGGAUGGAUGCCCUCAUUGUGAAGAAAAUCACCUAGGGGAGGAAUGCCCAACUAGUCAGGUGACUUGUUUCUUGUGUGAAGGAACCACUCACUACCCAGCCCAGUGUCACGUUUACCACAACGUACAACAAGUUGUCAAGCAACAGAAAUAAUCAAUGAAGGAAACGCUCAAGAAGAAGAUUUUAGAAGAACAUGUGAUGAAGGAAAAUAUUGGAGACCCUGAUGGACAAGGCCUAACCAUAUUUUUUCCCAAUGCAUGUUACUCAUGUGGAGAAGAAGGACAUUUUUGAGAGGAUUGCAUGAAGGAAAGCCAUAAAUAUCUGGGAGACUUCUCGACAGAAAAAGUAGAGUUGGAUCCACUUGAAAUAGAAGAACUGGCCCGAAUGAAGGAUUUCGGAAAGAAGAGAAAGUACACCAGCCAUAGUCAAAUCCCGACACAUAAAGACCUGAGUCAUAUCAGAUGUUUCAAGUGUAAGGAAUUGGGCCACUACAGCAAUAUGUGCCCAAGAAGGAAGCAGGAAACCCAAGGAGCAACAGCAAACACCAAGAAGCCCCGAGACUUGUCGGAACGCAUUCGUUUUCAUUGCAAGGAAGCAUGACAUUAUGCUAGUAACUGUCCACAGGGAAAGAAAUCUAAAAUGGAGUAGUUAAGUUCUGACAAUGGCAAUAAGUGUAGCAUGAAGCCCUCUUGUUAUCAUGAGUUUAUGGAGUUAAAUUUUGUAAUGGAAGUCUCUGAGAUUGUAAUAACUUCAUGAAUCAAUAAAAUUUAUUGUGUCAUGAUGUCCUAUGUUGAAACUAUAUGCGAUGUUUCUCUAUGAACAAAGAUCUCUGACCAUUUAUGAGGAUAUGAGAAAAUAUGGUAUAUGCAGGCAUGAGUAUAUUUCAUUUUAAGUGUGGUAGUAAUCGGUAAAACCACAGGAUCCAAGGAAUAGGAAUGUACCAUGCAUACCGAGGAGUCAAAUCCACCGAAUACAUUUGAAGGAAAUGUUGGACCAUAUCAAACUAUGUGGGUGACAAAAUUUGUAACCAAGUACUUUUGAAGUGGAAUUUCGAGAAUAGAAUGAGGAUGAAAUGAAGGAAUUACUAUGAUGAAACAAUACCUAAGGAUAAUCAAACCAAUGGAAAGGAAAAUUAGUUCAAGGAAUACAACAUGUACCAAGGAUGCAUCCCAAGAUUUUCAAAAAGGUUGCCCCAAGAGCAUGAAGGGAUAAGCUAUGACGUGUCAGCAAACGUUUUCUUAGGAGCACGCACAAAACCUAAGAGUGGUAAAAAUACGAUAGAUGUUUCGUUCAGCUUGCAGAACCAAUGGAUUCGUCCGAACUUCAUUCAUGUACAAGAGAAAUUGUGCAAUGCUUGUGAGGAUGCCCAAGUGUUAGAAUGCAAGAUUUGCUAAACCUUAUACAGAGCAAUGAUUUGGGUGUGGAAUAGAUUGAUCACCAUGAUGACUUACUCUUAUCAUUCUCUUGCUAUUCAGAAUGGUAAAUCUGAGAGACUUACUGUCGUGGUUUUUUCACGGCAGAUGUCCUCGUGAAAGGACUUAAUACUGGAGCCAUCGCACCUUGGUGGUGACUCAAAGGGGUUAAGCGGGAGAGACACGGCGAUUUACCCAGGUUCGGCCCCUCGGGAGGAGGUAGUAGCCUACGUCCUGCUUUUGUGUGUAUUGAUAUGGAUUCGAUUACAAGGAAGGCGUAACUCGCCUAAACCUAGCACUCGAUGAUUUCUCACCUGUCCUCUGUCCCCCGGGACUUCGCCUUUAUAUAUAGGUCGAUUCCCUAGGGUUUACAAGGAUUCCUUCCUUUCUACAACUCGUGACCAUUGCGGUCUCUAAAUCGCCAUCUUCCAAAGCUGGGAGACCCGCCAAGAGCCAUACUCGUCGUACGACCUCGAUUCGGUCAAAACGAGGCCCAACUAAACGUUUAGAUGAAUCGCCCAAUGGAUAACCCGGCCCAACUAGGGCGGGUCAUCCACUGGUUACAUUCCCAACAUUAGGCCCCGAAUUGACUUGAACCUUUCCUCUUCAUGCCAAUACCUCUGCUCCAUUAAAGGCGAUUCAUUCCCUACUCUUCUGCGUCUGUCAAAAAAUUGUACACCCGCCAUUGCCUUUGGGCACUGAAAAUCCCUUAAGUUGCCAGAUCAUUACUAAGUGGCCUUUUCUUAUUCCUUUUUUUUCGGGAAGACCGCCACAACUCCAACGGAUCUUUAGCGCAUUGUUAUCCGAAAUAUUCGGCACGCAUUUAUAGCGAAUCUUUUAUCCCCCGGCGGUUCCCGCUCAUGGCGCCUCAAUUCCAACACCUGCCUUGAUAAAUAGGCCAGGGGGGACACAACUGGCGCUUCCCACCUACCAGUCUUGUCACCUUCCUCCCCACCGGUGCAGCGAGAAAAACUUAUCGCCCCGAGGAAUCCGCCGCCGACCGUGCUUUCGGCCUUCACACGAGGAGCUUCGGUGCCGCCUGUGGGCUUUCGCCGUCGUCCAUUCUUGCGCCGCAACCAACACAUCCGCCGUCGUCAUCGUCGACCGCUUCGCCGUCGUUAACCUCGCCAUUUACCACGAACUUCGCCGCCGCUGAAAACCUCUUCGCCCGACGGGACGCCAGUGCUUCUCCAGCAAACCCCAUCACCAUCGGCUCUUCUUCCCCGACAGCAUCAGGUUAGGCCUCCACCUAAUUUUAGGAGUAGAUUCACUCUCCGCUUGAACUCCCGCCAUUGUCGUGUUCUUGAAGCUCCUUGCAUAUAGAUGCUACCUGCUCUAAAUCGAUUAACACGAGCGUUGGUAGGAUAGCUAAUAUUCCGAAUACUUUUACUUAUCCGUCUUUACUCGUGAAUAUUUGAAAAUAAUGUUUCCGCCAAGCGAAGGGCGUCAUCCGAUAAUAAACUGUCGCGACCAGUCAUUUUCUUUAGGUUUUCUCUUCUGUCUGGUAGAUCCAUUCCUUAUUUACUGUUUGCAAAAAGUUGUUUGUAGUCCUCAUCUCCUGGUACUUCAAAUGAAACGCUUUUACCGUCUUCAGAACGUAGCCCUUGAGAAUAACCACACUUCCAUAGGUCGCCAUAGUGACCCAACUCGCCCCUUUGAUCUGGCGGGUCAAACCUUUCCUUAAUCAAAGUACUCGGCGGGUUAAAUGAACUGAUUUCAUCCCAUACAGUAGGUGUCCAAGGCAUGUAAUAUCAUACUUUACUUAUUUGUAGCAUGGGCGCCGUCUUCAAGAGUGACUGGCUUCCUACCAAGGUUGAUGACUCCAUAUUAGCCGAUUAUGUGAAACCAGGCAGUUUGGAUCCUCAGGAUGUUAUUGGCUGGCGCACCGGGUUCGGAGAAGAUCUCCCUAACCCCAAAGAAGGGGAAAUAAUCGUUUUUGUUGAACACCUGGAGCGAGGUUUUAAGCCGCCCGGAUCAAAGUUUCUUAGGGACGCCUUGACUUUCAUGAACGUCCGUCUCCAGGAUCUGGGACCCAAUUCCAUAAGUAAUUUGUGCCAAUUCCAAGUUCUUUGUGAGGCUUAUCUGCGGAUCGAGCCUUCUGUCCCUUUAUUCUGGCAUUUUUUCCAUCUGAAUCACAAAACGGAAUUCCCUAACGGCCCCAGCUUGGAACUUGGUGGCGUCAAUAUCCAGCGCUGCAGGGCUAGCCCAUUCCCCUCACUCACCAUGCCUAGCCAUCCCAAAGGCUGGGGCGAGUCUUGGUUUUACUAUCAAGAGACGUCUCCUGCAGGCGAGAACAAGCUUCUGGGUUACAGGCCAACUCGCCUUCCGACCAACUUCAAGCUUCCAGACAAGCUUACCGAGGAGGAGGAAUCGGAAUUCAUCCCAAUACUAUCUGAAUUAAGAUCUUUGACGAACAACGGCCUUACCGGGGUCGACCUAAUCCGCUGCUGGGUUGAAUGGCGUAUCCUCCCUCUGAGCCGCCGGGAUGGCCUGAUGUGUGAAUUUGAUGGCACCCUGGAUCAUCCUCAAUGCUAUUUUCGCACAGCUUUAAUGGAAAAGGAUAUUGUUACCAUUAUCAAAAAGCUGACUGGCGAGCCUGCAGGAAAAUGCGGCCAGAUCGGCCUUAAGCCUUUCUUCAAAAUCAACCUGGCGCCCAAGGUAAACAAACCUAACCCGCCUUUGGUCUUUAUUCUUUAUGCUUCAUUUGUAUUGUGGUUUCGUAACAUAUGCCAUUUCAGAAAGGCGAUAAAUUCUGGUCCAGGAAGCCCAAAAGGCAAGCCAUGAAAAAUGUCAAGCCGCCCUCAAAGAAAACCAAGGGUAAGGGCAAAUCUGUUGCAGCUGAACCAUCCGAAAUUGACGAAUCUCAAGUCGGCGAUGCACUUUCGGAGGUAAAAAUUCGUCCUCUUUUCACUCGCCAUCUAUUACUGUUAACCUUUGUAUUUAUAUCUCUCCAUUUCCUUGAAAUAGAAUGAAGAUAACGAAAGCCAGGAGGACUCUGUUGAGGUAAUUUCUGUUUCCUCCGAUUCAUCUCCUUCUCCACCUAAGUCGGCCAGGCAAAUUUGUGGGAAAGUUCCCUUCUCAAAUCCAAAUGCUUAUUUGGACCCAAUUUUCCUACUGAAGAAAGCACAGCAUGCCUCAAAUCGGAAAACACGGAGUCACUCCGGCGAUCUGGUAUCUGGCUUACCAGCAACGAACAAAAGAAAACCAAGCGAGGUACUCUUAUGAGUAACCAUUCUUCAUGUCUCUUUGGAUCACGCUUGUAACCCGCCUGUAUUAUUGACGUAUAAUUCUUACAGAACUCUCCUCCCACUUCUGGCGACUCAGUGAUGUUGACACUUCCACCAAUGAUUCGAGUUCCGGGGUAAGUCUUUUGAUAACCUUGCCUUGACUUUUGAGAAUAACGAGCUUUCAAUUCCUUAACGUGCUUAUUCCCUUUUUUUCAGGGCACAGGCCAAGAAGAGGAAACCCAGUGGAUCAACUCCUGACGCAACUUCAGAACCCACGAAAGAAUCAACUCCGACUCAAGACAAUCCGGAUCAAACUGAGCCUGCGACUCAAGCGGAUCUUCCUGAGUCGCCGAAGGAAACAAUGGAUGCCCCUAAGCCGCCGAGCCCAUUGACGACAACAGAAGACCCAGAUGUUGUGGUUAUUACUGGUUCUGGCUUUUCUAAGCCGGCGGCGACAGUUUUGUCCAAACAUGUAGCAUCCUCCUCUCAAGCCAUUCCCGAGUCUGGGCUCUCCAAGGCGAAACUUUCCGAAUAUGCAAAUUUGGAGUUUAAGGAACUCUGCUCUGGCUUUGCAAGUCGCCUGGAAGUGAGCUAUGAGAUGGAGAAAAACCUGCUGCAGAUGUUAAACAACAAACAUGAGGUAAAUUUUGUUAUACUAUAUUAUUCCCAUUAAGCCCCAAGGGCCGGGUCAUCAGUAAAAAGAUGAGUCGGGUCUUGAAAAUUUAGAAAAAACUUCGCGACCAGUAACCCCCAAGUGCCGGGUCAUCAGCAAAAAGAUGAGCGAGGUCUUGAUUUUUGUAUAAUUUCAUCUGAAAAAAUUAUACAUUAGCCCCCAAGUGUCAGGGAUAUUGCUUUGCAGUAGUUCUGAGACUUGCCCUUAUUUUAAACUUUCAAUAGGAAAACCAUGCUCAGACCGAAUCGGCGCUGAGCGAUUUAAGGAAAAACUUAGCUGGACAACAAGACGCCCGAGCUAAGUCGGAGGAAAAAUGCCAAUUGGCCUUGGCCGAACUGGUAAAACUCAAGGCCGAGUUGAAAAAAGCUCAGGCUGACCAAAAUGCCGCCUUGAAGAGAGCAGAGAAGGCUGAAGCUAGGCUGGUCACUGUACAACAGGAAUUGUCCGGCUUAAAGCGUCAUAUCUCCAACAUGGCGCAAGGCGUCUUUGGUAAGCUUUACUUAAACCUUUGAUCUCCUCCUCUCCUUUUUUUUUAAAAGAACACUUAUGAUAAGUCGCUAAUCAUCAUGAUUCAGGUCUGAGAGCCGCCAACCUUCAAGAAGACUGUCUGUUGAUGCUGAAGGCGAUUUACACGCUGACAGAGCAAUUGUACACAGGCAGUGUCUUGACUGUUAAAGCUGUGAUGGGUGCCAAAGAACCUAACACUUCCAUCAAGAAGGUGCUUGGCUGCUUGUCCACACUUCCCCCUCAGAUUGGCGAGUUAACUCGGUCAGCCGCCCGGAGAGGUGUUCUGACUGCCCUGAGUCGUUGUUUGGCGUAUGCUCCAGAAAUCAACUUAGAAGAAGUAGCCGCAGGCUUUCCUCAGCUCAAGGACGAUGGGUCAGAAUUUGUUGAAGAGGACUAUCAGCGAGUCGUCAAGGACUCUCGGCUGGCUGCAACUCAACUUGCCGCAAGCCUUGAUUUAACAAAAUACCAGGCGGCUUAUGAUAGCAGAAACAAGAAGGUCAGCCCGCCAACCUUCAUGACGACCAGCCUAACUCCUCGGCGACCCAAGAAUCCUUUCCACUUGGAAGCAGACUUGGCAUCAAUUCUGACUGAUGAAGAUGACUUUGCUGCUUUGGCCAAGUGCAAUUGGGUAUUGGGCGACUUGCAAAUCGAAGUCGGCCAGAGCUCACAUCAGGAUGAUCCCGACGCGCCAGCAAAGUAAACUUUAUUGAAGUUGGCCUGAGAGCCAUGUAAUAGAUCCUUUUUCCGUAAGUCAGUACUGUUUUUGAUGAUACCUUUUGCAAGAACCUUUAUAUCGCCCUUAAGGCGAUUUGAAAUAUUUGACCCGCCUUUAUAAGAGUCUUCUAUAACGCUUAAUUUGCCAUGGAUGAAACAAUUCUUAUCACCCUCCUGUCUUAAGCUUUGAGAAUAGCAUAUGUGAAAACAAACAAAUUAUAGAUAUUUUCAACAAGCAUCAGAAAGAAAGGGCUUAAAACCUUCAGGGCUAUGCCACGACGAAAAAUAGCAACAGUAAUUUCGUCGGCUCAUAAGGUCGCGACAGGGGGAGGCGAGUCAGAAGGCUCGUGCACCCACCCUAAAUGCAGGUUUCGUCGGCUCAUAAGGUCGCGACAGGGGGAGGCGAAUCAGAAAGCUCGUGCACCCACCCUAAAUGCAGGUUUCGUCGGCUCAUAAGGUCGCGAUAGGGGGAGGCGAGUCAGAAAGCUCGUGCACCCACCCUAAAUGCAGGUUUCGUCGGCUCAUAAGGUCGCGACAGGGGGAGGCGAGUCAGAAAGCUCAUGCACCCACCCUAAAUGCAGGUUUCGUCGGCUCAUAAGGUCGCAACAGGGGGAGGCGAGUCAGAAAGCUCGUGCACCCACCCUAAAUGCAGGUUUCGUCGGCUCAUACGGUCGCCACAGGAUUACACAAUUUGCUUUUUAAUGAAGAAGCCCCCAAGUCGGGGAGUAUUUUAUUACUUCAUAAUGAAACUGAAAAACUUACAAAGUGUAGAGCUUAAGAGCUCAAGUGUAGUAAGGCCGCAAAUGGGCAAUAUUCCAGGGGCGAGUUGACUCAGCCUCUGUGGUCGGUCGAUUAGGCCGAAGAUCCACCAAAUAAUAAGAACCAUUGCGGAGGUUCUUGCUGACGACGAACGGCCCUUCCCAAGGGGGUGACAACUUGUGCAUGCCUGCUCGAUCUUGUAUUAGACAAAGCACUAAGUCGCCUUCCUGAAAGGUCUGACUCUUAACCCGGCGACUAUGAUAACGCCGCAGAUCUUGCUGAUAGAUAGCCGAACGGGCCGCAGCCAGGUCGCAUGCCUCCUCCAAGGCAUCCAAAGAAUCUUGACGCGCCAGCUCAUUAUCUUUCUCCACAUAUGCGGCGACUCUAAGAGAGUCAUGCCUUAUGUCAGUAGGGAGAACAGCCUCUGCUCCAUAGACCAAAAAGAAAGGGGUGAAUCCCGUGGACCGGUUCGGGGUGGUCCGAAUACUCCAGAGUACCGAAGGUAACUCUUCAACCCAACAGCCUGGAGUCCUUUCCAGGGGAACCAUGAGUUGGGGCUUGAUCCCUCGCAAGACCUCCUGAUUCGCCCGCUCUGCUUGCCCGUUGGAUUGCGGGUGAGCGACUGCAGAAAUAUCAAGUCGGAUAUGUUCUCGACGACAAAAAUCCUGCAUCGCCCCUUGGGACAAGUUAGUACCAUUAUCAGUGAUAAUACUGUGUGGAUAUCCAAACCGGAAAAUCAGCUUCUUCAAAAAUUUGACCGCUGUCUCCGCAUCGCAAGCUCCAACAGGUUCCGCCUCAACCCACUUGGUGAAUUUAUCAACUGCCACCAAUAGGUGGGUCUUCUUGUUGGAGGACAUUUUAAAGGGACCAACCAUGUCCAGCCCCCAGACUGCAAAAGGCCAAGUAAUGGGAAUCAAUCUUAAUUCUUGAGCCGGCACAUGAGCCUGCCUCCCAUAACAUUGGCACCUCUCGCACCGACGAACUAUGUCUUCUGCAUCUGCAUGAGCCGUCAACCAAAAGAAAUCAUGACGAAAAGCCUUUGAUACCAAAGAACGUGACCCGGCGUGAUGUCCGGGGGGGGGCUCCGGAAUGAAUGUCAUUUAGGAUCGUGCAUCCUUCUUCGGGGGAAACACAUCGCUGAAAAACCCCAGAAGCGCUCCGUUUAUAUAACUCGCCAUUAAUGAUGACCAUGGAUUUGCUGCGCCGAACGAUCUGGCGAGACAAAACUUCGUCGGUGGGUAACUCGCCGCGAGUGAGAUAAGCCAGAUAAGGGAGAACCCAAUCCGGACUAACACGGAGAGCCACCACGAGCUGAGACUCGGGAUCUGGUAUCGCCAAUUCCUCCUUUGAGGGUAAAACCACGGAUGGUUUAUGCAAGAUAUCCAGAAAAACAUUAGGGGGAACCGGUUUUCUCUGGGAGCCGAGUCGCGAGAGGGCGUCAGCGGCCUCGUUGAGGAGCCGGUCAAUAUGGUCCACCUGAUAGCCAUGAAAAUGACCCGCCACAUCAGACAUAGCUCGUCUGUAAGCCGCCAUCAUGGGAUCCCGAGAGUCCCAGGUACCCGAAACUUGUUGCGCCACCAAAUCGGAGUCACCAAAACACCUGACUCGUGUUAGGUUCAUCUCUUUUAUGAGUCGCAAGCCGUGAAGCAAAGCUUCAUAUUCCGCCGCAUUAUUAGUGCAGGGAAACAUGAGUCGGAGAACGUAACAGAACCUAUCUCCUUGAGGGGAUACUAACACAACACCAACCCCUGAGCCUUCCAGCUACCUGGAUCCAUCAAAGUAAAUAGUCCAGUAGGUAAGGUCAGGCCGGUCUUCCGGAGCCUGUAGCUCUGUCCAGUCGUUAACGAAAUCAACUAGUGCUUGGGACUUGAUAGCUGUGCGGGGAGUAUAUUGUAUGUGAUGAGACCCAAGCUCUAUCACCCAUUUGGCGAUUUGCCCAGUUGCCUCCCGAUUCUGGAUGAUGUCACCAAGGGGAGCAGAACUAACCAUUAUGAUCGGGUGCUCCUGGAAAUAAUGCUUAAGUUUUUGACUCGCCAUAAACACCCCAUAGACCAGUUUUUGCCAAUGCGGGUAUCGCUGUUUGGAAAGAGUUAACACCUCGCUGAUAAAAUAUACUGGGCGUUGCACUGGGUAUUCCUUCCCUGGGGUUCUUCCUUUCUUUCAACGACCACAGCCACACUUACUGCCUUGGAAUUUGCCGCGAUAUACAGAAGCAUAGGCUCCUUUUCAGUGGGGGCUGCCAGGACCGGCGGGUUAACCAAUUGACGUUUCAGGGCCUCGAGCGCCUCAUCUGCCUCAUUUGUCCACACGAAUCGAUCGGACUUCCUCAAUAAUUGAUAAAGAGGAAUCGCCUUUUCCCCUAGGCGACUCACAAAACGACUUAAAGCCGCAAUGCGACCCGCCAGUCGUUGAACUUGAUUAACAUUCGCCGGCUUUCCGAGAGAGGUAACCGCUUCGAUCUUGUCCGGGUUAGCCUCGAUGACGCGCUUCGAUACCAAGAAACCCAGCAAUUUUCCUACAUGUACACCAAAAACGCACUUGGUAGGAUUUAGCUUCAUCUCAUAUACCCGUAAAUUAUCAAAAGUCUCCUUAAGGUCUUCCAAUAGUGUCUCCCCCUGGCGGGUCUUGAUCACAAUAUCGUCAACAUAGGCAUGGACGUUGCGACCAAUUUGGUUACGAAGACAAUUCUGGAUGCAGCGUUGUUAAGUCGCCCCCGCGCUUUUGAGUCCGAAAGGCAUGGACACAUAGCAAAAGGCCCCGAAGGGGGUUAUGAAGGCCGUCUUCUCCUGAUCCUCUACGGCCAUCUUGAUCUGGUGAUAUCCUGAAUAGGCGUCCAGAAAUCACAAUCGUUCGCAUCCCGCCACCGAGUCAAUGAUUUGAUCGAUGCGGGGAAGAGCGAAGGGAUCUUUGGGACAAGCUCUGUUGAGAUCCGUAUAGUCAAUACACAUACGGAAAGUGCCAUUCUUCUUGAGUACCAACACCGGGUUAGCCAGCCAUUUGGGGUGAAAAACUUCCACGAUGAACCCGGCGGCUAAAAGACGGGCGACUUCUUCUCCAAUCGCCUUGCGUCGUUCCUCGUUGAAUCUGCGAAGGUAGUGCUGGACAGGUUUGCAUUUUGGGUCAACGUUAAGAUGGUGCUCAGCAAAUUCUCUCGGUACACCAGGCAUGUCAGAAGGUUUCCAUGCGAAGAUGUCCCGAUUCUCACGGAUGAAUUCGAUGAGCGCGCUUUCCUAUUUGGGGUCCAGACCCAUCCCGAUGGUGAACUGCUUGGAUGAAUCGCCAGGCACGAAAUCGAUUGUCUUGGUGUCAUCCGUCGGCUUGAACUUGAUGGGCGACUCAGAAUCUGUAGUUGGCUUCUUGAGUGGUGACAUGUCCGCCGGGUCAACAUUGGCUCGAUGGUGUUUGAGCUCUUCCGACGCACAGGCGACUUCCGCAUAAGCCGCGUCCCCUUCUUCACAUUCCUUUGCGAUCCUUCUAUCUCCAUCAACUGUGAUGGGUCCUUUGGGACCAGGCAUUUUGAGCUUGAGGUAGACAUAGCACGGGCGGGCCAUGAAGCGGGCGUAAGCCGGUCGCCCGAACAGCGCAUGGUAGGGGCUUUUUAGUUUGACCACCUCGAAGAUUAGAGACUCCGACCUGUAAUUCUGCGCAGUUCCAAAUGCCACUGUGAGCCUGACCCGGCCUAUGGGAUAAGCCGACUUGCCCGGGACAAUUCCGUGGAAAACCGUGGUUGAAGGCAUCAAGUCUUUCUCCAAUAGAUUCAUCCUCUGGAAGGUGUCGAAGUAUAGGAUAUUGAUGCUGCUGCCACCAUCCAUUAAUACCUUUGACAGGGUGUAACCCCUCACUUGGGGAGCCACGACCAACGCCAGAUCGCUCGGGUUAUCUACUCUUGGCGGGUGAUCCUCCCUACUCCAUGUUAUGGUCUGCUCAGACCAAUGGAGAUAUCUGGGGAUCGCCGGCUCAGAUACAAUGUACGCCCGGUGACUUACCUUUUUAUCUCGCCUGCAAGCAUUAGUAGUGAAAACGUGGUACUGCCCAUUACUUAGCUGUUUGGGGUUGCUGCGGAAGCCCUCAUUAUCAUCCUGGUCCUACGGAGCCCCCUGUGGAGGCGGCUGCUGGAAAGCUCCCGGCGGGUUGUACCGCCGCUGGUGGUGCACCGGGUACUGGCCGCCGCCUGGCUGCGGGCCUCUGUGAGCCCCUUGUUCGGGAAAGCCGCCGAAGGGGUUCUGUCUUUGGUUGGACGCGGCGAGUUGGUCCUGGCGCCGGUCUGGUAGUUUCCUGAGUCGCCAAGUGCUCUGGCUCCUCCGAUCCCUGCGUGAACCCCACAAAGACCGGGCGAGUUAAAUUUUGCGUUAUGACUGGGCGGACGUACCUGGCCGGCUCGACGAUGUGGGUGGAUAUGUCCGGCUCAGGAACGGAUGAUCCGAUCAUGCCGAUGAAGAUGUUGAUCUUGCCGAAGGGGACCCUGUAGCCAGAUUCAAUCGAAUUCGCUUCAGGUCCCCAUCGCUGGUUGUCGAUGUAGGGUAUCCCACGGCGGCUCCGAGUCAUGAGUGCCGUCGCGUAACUCCCAAACCCUGGUAGGGCUCCCUUUGAGAACUCAACUCCACUGUGCGUAGGCCCCACGGUGGGCGCCAACUGUCGUGGUUUUUUCACGGCAGAUGUCCUCGUGAAAGGACUUAAUACUGGAGCCAUCGCACUUUGGUGGUGACUCAAAGGGGUUAAGCGGGAGAGACACGGCGAUUUACCCAGGUUCGGCCCCUCGGGAGGAGGUACUAGCCUACGUCCUGCUUUUGUGUGUAUUGAUAUGGAUUCGAUUACAAGGAAGGCGUAACUCGCCUAAACCUAGCACUCAAUGAUUUCUCACCUGUCCUCUGUCCCCCGGGACUUCGCCUUUAUAUAUAGGUCGAUUCCCUAGGGUUUACAAGGAUUCCUUCCUUUCUACAACUCGUGACCAUUGCGGUCUCUAAAUCGCCAUCUUCCAAAGCUGGGAGACCCGCCAAGAGCCAUACUCGUCGUACGACCUCGAUUCGGCCAAAACGAGGCCCAACUAAACGUUUAGAUGAAUCGCCCAAUGGAUAACCCGGCCCAACUAGGGCGGGUCAUCCACUGGUUACAUUCCCAACACUUACCCAUAGAGAGAGAUGGUGUUCUUUGAAGCUUUUGUUUAAGCCUUAGAAUGGUAUGAUGAAAGCCCAUGUACAUGACAAGUGUUGUCACGCGUCGGAAAUUUUAGGGUGAGGAUGAAGCCAAGACCCUUCUCUCUGCAGCAUACCCACAAAUGGUAGACCACCAUGAUAAUCAUCGAUAGGUUAUUUAGAAUGGUCACGAGACUUGUCAGUUAAGAAUACCAAGUGAUGGAAGAAGCUUUUAUCAACAGAAGAACCCUCGAUUUUGAGGGAAAUGUUAUGAGCAUAAAGCAAGAGCAUCACCAAAGGAGUUGGUAUGGAGAAUGUGAGGAGUCAUAUGCCAAGACCCCACAGGAUUGUUUGAAAUUUGAGGGACCGGUAACUCUCAUUUUAAGUGUGGUAGCAUCCCACUUUGCACGAGAUUGGAUUUUUUAGAAGACCCCCAAACCCUAACCUUUUCUUUCUAACCUCUUAGAAUCUCGAGGACGAGAUUCAUUUUAAGUGUGGUAGGUUUGUAACAUCCCAAAUUUUGGAAUGUUAAUAUAAUUACUAGAUUGAUUGUUUGUUUGAGUGAUUGAAACUUGAGUGAAAUUUGAAAACAUUUUAAAACUUUUGAAUGAGAGGGAAUAAAAGGACUUUCCCAUUUUCUUUUAAUUCAAAUUCAUCCAUUUAAAAUCAGUGAGAGAAGAUAACAUGACUUCUUCAACUAUAAAGAUUUUGAAAGGUGGAUUUGAAAACUAAUAAAAGAUUUCCUAUAUGGAUUUCAUUUUCGUAUUUGAUCCUAUUGCUAUUUCAAUGUUUAAAUGAAUACAUAUAUUAAAAAAAUAUGACAGGAGGAACAUGACCCUUCAAACCAAGGGCAUUUUGAAAAUUAUUUGAACCCUAAAACUUAGGAGGUCAUUUGAAAAAUCUUUGUAAAAGGAAAUAAAUCAUUUAGGCAAUUUUCUGAAAACAUAAUAUUUCUUCUGAAGUUUUUAUUUUAGCCCUGGAAAAAUGUCCAUCUUAUUGGAUUUAUUUUUCUGAUAAUUUUGGUAUAUAAUACUUCUAUAUUUGGAAGUAUAUUUAUUUAAUUUUUUAAGUUUUACCUUCAGGUUUUUAUUAAAAGGAAACAAAUCGUUUUCUUUGGAAAGGCAUCUGGGCCCGUUAGGAAUAUAUGAUCCGGCCCGAUACCUUCCUUCUUCCACAUGUCGUCUCCUUUCCUUCCGUGCCGCGUGAAACUUCCACGAAGAUUCCUUGUCGAUUCCUUUCCCCGAUCUCCGCGUACCUUCCUUCCCCUCGCCCCUCGAGGCCCUAUUUAAGAUCCUCACCCCCUCCCCUCUCCAUUUUCCCCAAGACCCCUUUGUCUCCAUGCCCCAGCACCGCCCUCCACCCUCGCCGAAGGUCCUGCUCAGGCCGAAACUAGGAGCUCGUGUCGCCCCACCUCCCUUCGCCCUCGGACCCUCCUGACGCUACCAGGAGAACGUCGGGACCCUCCUUCGCCGCAACCACCACCACGCCGCCCCCUACACCACCCGAGCCGCCUCCCCUCGCCACCUCACCUUCAGUUGCACCAUUACCAGCGCUGGAGCUCCUCUUUGCCACGGUAAGCUCCCUCUGGGGGGGGGGGGGGCUUUUUCCCACCGUUGGAUCCAUAAUAUACGCUCUAGAUUAGAUUAGGAUACCCUUUCGGUUUUAGUUAGAAAACCGAUCGGUUCCCAGUUAGUUAAUUUAAAACCGAAAGGUUUCCUUUAUAUUGCGACCGUCCGUUAGUUAGCCUAAACCGUGCACGAUCUCCAGCCAAUCACAGCUUGCCACAUCACCUUUUCUUUUAAUCUUUUUCUGUUUUUAAUUCUGAAACAGAUUUGGACCUGAUUUUAGAUUGCUUAUAACUUUUAAUCUAUAACUCCAAUUGAGGUGAUUAUUUUUGCGUUGGAUCACAAAUUUUGUGUAGUUUCUGUAGAUAUAAAAUUUUACCAUGUUUGAAAUUUUAAAUUCUGAAUUUAAACAGAUUUGGUUUAAAUCUUGUUUUGUUAAUAUCUGGAGUUUAAAAAUAGAUUUUUAGUUGAUUCUUUUUGCUGCUGAUCGCUAGUGAUCUUAUAUAUCACUAGGUAAAAUUUCAGAAUUUUUGGAGUACUUUUAAUCAAUAUUGUGUGUAAAACAGAUUCUGUUUUAGUUCUUUCUUGGAUUAUUGCUAUUUCUUUUGCUAUAAUUGUUUUUAAUUUAUUUUGGUUUAUACUUGUGAAAGGUUAUAUUUUGUUUCCUGUUAGUUAACAGUAGGUUUUCAACAACAAGAAAAUUUUAUUUUAUUUGAUAGCAUGAAAUCAAUUCUAGUUCGGUAAUAACUUGCAAAUUGAUUUUGUUGCUAGUUUGAUGUCCUAUUUGAUGAUACUUUCAAAAAAUACAGUUUUAUGAAAAAUACUUUCUGUUAUCUUAGUUAAUUUUCUUUUUUAUUUUCUAUUAUUUUACUAUUUUAGUGUUCCAUUUUCUGUUAAGUUUAAUUAGAACAAAAACUAUUUAGUGAUUGUUGUAGUAGAAGACUCCAUAGUUUUUCUGUGAAGUUCCUUUUGGAUUUCUAUUUGAUAUUUCUUAUUGGUUUUAUUGCAUCAAAUUUUAUUGUUGUUUGUUAUACUGAUUACUAGGAUGAUUUAUAGUAGGAUUGCUUAUACGAAUAUUAUGUUUGAUUAUAUAGAUAUCGACGGAGAGUGAUGAAUAGUUCUAUCAAGUUAUUUCUUGAGAGCGAUAUUCUUCUUCAUCAACCUUACCAGGCAAGUUCACAUUGAUCACAUUUUUACCUAUGGUUUUAUUACAUUAGUUUCAACCUUCUUCACCCAUUGCAUGAAAGUAGGUACUUGGAAACUUUGGUUAUUGAGUAGUAUGUUAUGAUAGGCACCCCUAAACCCUUGUUACUUUGGCAGGGACGUUAUUUUGCUAUGCUCAUGGUAGACGGGGUUUGGUUGAGUGUUUAUCAUGAGUGUUGUGAGAAACUUAAUAAACAAGACCUGAAGACUCCAAGACUUGCAAGAGCUCAGAACAAAAUAUACCUCUGGGUGAAGGACGGUUCAGAUGGGCUCCCUGGGAAAAACCAGCGGAGGAUCCGGGAUGCAUGGAGAAGCGCCAUGACAUCUUGCGGAAAGUUUCACCCAGGCUCAAAGAGAUGGAUGGAUAUUUCAAGACCCAAGGCUUACCUGCAGAGCCACAAGUCAUUAUGGGCUCUGGCUUGGUUGGACAACGUGGUGACUCUGGACGGGCGGUGCUACGAGAUGUAGAAGAACGGUAGGAUUGGAUAGGCACCGGCAGUGGCUCAGAGGAACCCGUUGAAAGACCAUGUUUUGAUCAUCCGGUUCUCAAACAUCCUGAAGUGCGAGGACUCCAACGGAGGCGAUCAAAUCUUGUGGGGAACAAGUGCAAAACUCUACAGAGUACUCAAAGCUAAUCGAUUUGUCGUGUCCACGGUCAGGGAUAACUUGAGCCGAAGGAACCGAAGUUAUCAGGAAUUCUCAACACCAUUUAAUAUUGAUGUGGGUAAUAUUUAUAACUUGGGUAUGAGAAUUGGUUGGUGGAACCAUCUCAUUAACAACCAACAAUGUAGUAAAUUUUGCUUUUACCCUCUCUUGUUGUAGGAAAAUUUGCUUUACGCCAAACUUAAGACUACGGCCCCACCUGCCAUAUAUGCAUAUAGUAUGGAUGAUAUUUUCACCCCUCUCUUUUGUGACUUGCCGGCAUAUUCAAUAUGCUGACCUACACGGCUGCAACGUCUUAUGUUGCAGAUAUUUUCUUCUACGAGUAAGAGUAUGAUUCGGUGUUACGGUCUGCACACAACUUGCCGUUGGUGUCUAUUGGGACUCCACUCCCUUUGACUGUUUCCGCUGAGAUUUUCAGGUAUAUAUGAGUUUUACGUUAUUUUACAUGUGAUUGAACUUUGAUAUAUACAUUGACGUACUGUGUGUGCCAGCAUACUGAUCCAGGGAUGGCGUAGAACACAUAGAGGCUUGACUCGUUUUGAGUCGGGUCGCUACACUCUGACGGAGAACUGGUUAGACCCCUAUUUUGGUAACUAUAUCAUAGGGUAUAUGUGAUUACUUUUGUUUCUACCUUUUUGGAAUGGAAAGCGCGAGGUUUAUGUUAUUUCAAUCCAUGGAAUCAGAGUAAGAUUCGAUAGAUCCGUGUAGUGUACAUAUUGAUAGUUAGUUAAGUAAAUGAUAAGUGAUGUGGAUAAGUGAUAUUUGUACAAACAAUUAUGCUAAUAAUCAGUCUAAGGGUUAUAGUAAUUUAAUGGUUGAUUUGUACAAAUUAUCAUUUUUCUAAUAAAACGUCUAGGCUUCUGAGUGUGCUAAUAAUUCGUAGCCAGAUUUUAGAAUCGAUUUGAAUGGCCUACAUAGAUGAGUAUACAUGUACCCCGUGUGUAAAUAAAUAUUGUAUAAGAGCAUUUAGAUCACUAGUUUAGUGAUAUAGGAAGGAGUACUUACUUGAAAGCUCUGAGUUCGUUUGACAAUAAUCAGUUCAUGCAUUUAUAGUCAUUAAUUAAUAUUUUUGUUGCACGAAGUUGUUUGUGAUAUAAUUUUAUGCAUUUCAUUCAUCAAUGCCAUGAUUUUUUUAUUACAUGUAUAGUUGCUCUCUGACAAUGUUGAUAGCGACAAAUAUGACCAGAGGGGGUACAAGAAACAAAAGUUCAGAGAGCUCCAUGCGGGAAAGCAUAAUCGUCGUAUCAGGAUCGGGAAUGGGGGUUUCAGAUGCCCGUUCUGCAUCCAAAGGCUUAACUCCGCAUUUGCAAGUGUUCUGACGCAUGCUAGAGGACGAGCCGUUGGCUCCUUCAGGUAGAAGUAUUCUCCCAGAGUGGCGCAUGCCACGUACGUGGAGUACGUGGAGAAAGUUUAUGUUGUUGUUGGGUACUAUUAGGAUUGUGCUAUAUAUACAUGUACAACACUACCCUAGCUAUCUAGUUUGUGUGCCUUAUAUCUAUGCUUGAGUAUGUUUAUUAUGUGUUGAUCGAGAUGUUGGUGAGACAUUGUUUGAUGAACUAGUACGUAGAGCAAUGUAAUUGCGAUCUUCGGCUGCAAUCGGUUUGGUUGAUGGAAUAUUUAUGCUUAUCUUAGAGUUCCUAUACAAUUUACUACUUGCAACUAUUUGCCCACAACAUGCACAACUACAUAUGAGUGUCGGCAAAACAAAUUACACUAUGCAUAUUUCGUUGAAAAAUGCUAGACUUACCUUGAAACUUCUUGAACACGGUAAAAAUAUCACGUGUCACACGAAAAUGGAAAUUUCAAACCCAUUUACAAACAUGGUUAUUUUCACGGAUUGAAACCAUGUGCGAUGACUAACAUUAUGCUCCGGCAUGUGUGUCAUGAUUGUCCAGAAUGCAUUCCCAUGGAUCGCACAUCUGCAAACGUAGGAUUUACAGAGAUCACGGAUCAGGGCAGUCCAUACCCCUCACAGCACACUAGCACUUGCUGCACACGGUUUUGUCUAUUGAACCAGUGCCUUCAGAGCGCAUUAUUUUUUUGGCCCAGAAAACCAUCACCAUCCCCGCAUCGCAAAACCCUCCCCCUUCCCCAGUCACACCGCACUCCUCCCCAACUCUACAUGUCACCACCUAUCACUGCGGCGACCACUUAGCUCGACGCGUGUUGCCCCCGUCGGCUGCUGCCAAAUCCCACCGUGUUUUGCUACUGCCUCUUGCCGCCAGCUACUUGUAUGGAUUUUCUUGAUACUGCUCGUCGUCGACCCAGCUCCAUAUGAUUUGGGAUUCUGUGGUACUCAGGGUUUCUCUCAUAGAGAACCUAGUAAAUAAUUUACUGAAAUAUUUUGUUUGUCUCUUAUCACAGUCUGUUUGUGCGUGUUAAUCACCAGGUGAAACUCAUCGCCGUGGACAUGUAAUUGACUUGAUUUAAUUACCAUUCUGGCAUGUGUUUCCCAUGUUGGUCUCAUAACAAACGAACUACAUAAUGGAACCAAUAGUGACCAUUCACAUUAUCGUACACGGUUGUCAUUCAUUACCCGUCUGUGAAACUUUCACCUCAUCACACACCCUGCUUAGUGUUGAACGUGUGUGCUGCUUUUAGUCAUUGCACACACUACACAGUUUCAAGGGAACAAGCUCACGGAAGAUAUGUUGGAACCGCUUGUAGACGGCGUAUGGCCAAAUGAAAUGCGAGUAUGAGCGCUGGUCAAGCUUGCUCUCCAAUCCUCCACUCGGAACGCGGUGAUGAGAAAUGCCAACUAUAGACCGUCCAACCCCCAUUUACUCCACCACUCAUUUAACCUCUUUUCUCCCUUCAACCUUUCCCCACAACGCAAGAAGUACACCCACGACUCCAAAUACAGAGAGGAUAUCAUGCUCGGCUCCAAUGGCGAUGCUCCCAGCGCUUGCUGACGACGAGUGGCAAUUCACCAUUUGUGCCUACAUGGACACCCACGUAAGGUUCAAGGGCCUCUCGGUGGUGUACACCAAUGACCCGGUCUGGGUGGAGAACUCCAUCCACGCCAUGGAGCAGUUAUUUCCCAAAGACAAGUAAAAAGUGGUCGGCUUCGACCUCGAGUACACAGACAGACGACUUGGGUAUGAUCAGAAGGUUGUCGUCUCCCAGUUGUGCGUGGGCAUUACAUCCUUGUCUAUCACUACUGCCUAGCCACAAGUCAUUGCGAGCAUUUCUCCAUGAUUAUCAAUAGCCUUGAGUACAUAUUCGUUAAGGUGGAUGAUACAUCUCCAACGUAUCUAUAAUUUUUAUUGCUUCAAGUUGAUAUAUUAUCAUUCUAGAAUACUUCUCGGGUAUUUAUUUACCAAUUUAUAUUAUUUUUGAGCACUAACCUAUUGACCCAUUGCCUAGUGCAAGUUGUUGUUUUCUGCAUGUUUUUCACUUUUCAAGUUUUCCAAACCAAACGAAGUCCAAUUGACCUGAAAAUUUUUGAUGAUUUUGUUUGGACCAAAAGAAGAGCAACAAGCAUUGGAGGAAGGUUGGGGCCCACAUGAGGGCCCCAAAAGACAACCCGGCACGGCGUGAGGGGGUCAUGCCCUGUUGGCUUGUGGGCCCCUUGAGGCCCUCCCGGCUCCGUUCUCUAGCUUAUAAAUUCUCAUAUACCCAAAAAACAUUAGAGGGAGUCCCGAAACACUUUUUACGUCACCAUGGGUCUCUGUUUCGAUGGGAGGCCAUCUGGAGCUCCCUUCCGUCACCCUGUCGGAGGGGCUCUUUAUCAACCUUGCUUCCCUCAUGAUGAUGUCUGAGUAGUUCACCACAAACCUAUGGGUCCAUAGCGAGUACCUAGAUGGCAAUCUCUCUCUCUUUAUCUUCAAUACAAUGAUCAUCGCAUCUUCGCUUUGAUCCACAUGAUGUAAUUCCUUUUGUGUGGUGGGUUUGUUGGGAUCCGAUGACAUGUGGGUUUUUGUUCAGAUUAUUCAUGAUAAAUAUUUGAGUCUCCUCUGAAUACUUAUAUGAAUCUUAUGUGCAUGAUUAUGAUAGCUUUGUAAUUCUCUUGAUCUAUUGAAAUAGUUUGGCCAACUAGAUUGAUAUUUCUUCAGUGAGAGAGGUGUGUAGUAGUAGGUUCAACUUGGUAAAUUUGUAUAUCCCACUAACAGAAGGGGACAAGAUGUGUAUUUGUGUUGGUGCUACUAAGGAUAAAACGUUGGGUUUUAUUCACAUUGUUUGAGUUUACUUUGUCUACAUCAUUUCAUUGUUCUCCAAGCAUUACUCUGUUUUACUUAAUACUCUAGAUGCAUGUUGGAUAGUUGUUGAUGAGUGGAGUAAUAGUAAUAGGUGAAGUUAGGAGUCGGCCUAUUUGUUUAUGGACGUGAUGCCUAUCAACACAUGAUCAUUGUCGUGAAUAUUGCAUGACUAUCCGCUUUUCUAUCAAUUGCCCAACAGUAAUUUGUUUACCCACUGUAUGCUACUUUUCAUGGGAGAUGUCGUUAUGGAAAACUAUGGCCCCCAGGUCUAUUCACAACGUAUAAAAAAACUUCAAUACCUUGCUGCCAUUUAUUUGUUUUCAUUUUAUCUUGCUAUCUACAAUUAUCUACACACCUCACUUGCAAAUAACAAGAACAAGAGGAUUGACAAUCCUAUUACUUGCGUUGGGUGCAAGUUGUUUGUUCUUUUGUGUGCAGCCACUGAAGAUUGUUGUGGUUGAUAUUCCUAUUGUUUCUAUAAAUCUUGGUUUCGUAACUCGGGGAAAUACUUACACACAUUAUGCUACGAUAAUUUGUUCCUCUUCACGGAAAACCCAAUGCAGAUCACAAGUAUUAGGAAGGAUUAGUGGCGCCAUUACCAGGGAAUAUCAUCAUCAACUGCCAAGUAACGUCACACAAAUUUUCAUUCACUUGUUAUCCUUUUUAUUUUCUCGUAUAUUUAGUUUGUCUCAUAAAAAAUACGGGGGCAAAAAUACAAAAAAUAUUUACCUUUGCUUGUCACUAGUUUGCAUCUUUGUUGUCUAGUUUACUUGCCUAGCUAUGUUAUCUUUAUGUUUGUCACGCCAAAAUAGAAAGUAAAAUGCAAAUAUUAAGAUAAAUGGAUCCUCAUAAACUAACUAAUCUUUUCAAAGUACAUGUUUAUGUUGAAACAAUUGCUAGUGAGAGUGCACAAGAUUAUCUUUAUGAGGUCUUGCUUGAAAAUCAUGAAUCCAAAUAUUGUGAAAUUUAUAAAGUGAUUCAUGAUAGUUCCUUGAAUGAAAAGCAUGAUUGCUAUAUUGUUGAAUUUUAAUAUGAUCCUACAUGUAAUCAUUAUUAGAGAGGCAAAUAUGGGUAUAGAAAUUUUCAUGUUACUCACUUCCUCUCUUGAUAUUCGAAUUGUUAAUGCUUCAUUCUUCCUACUUGCUUAUGCUAGACACUUCUUGUAUUGACAAAUUGUUUGCUUCUAAAAUGCAUAUGCAUAGGAAGUAUGUUAGACUUAAAUGUUCUUGUCACAUGUUUUAUUAUGCUCUCUCUGUUAUUCACUUCUUGUCUUUUAUGUGGGCAUCAUUGAAAUUUCAAGCCUAUCUUAAUGACUAUAAAGAAAGAGCUUGUUGGGAGACAACCCAAUAGUUAUCAUUCAUUUAUGUUUGUUUGUUAUAAGAUGAUUAUUUUCUAUGCAAUUAUUGUGUUUUUAUGUUUUAAUUAGUGUUUGUGCCAAGUAAAGCCUUCAGGAUGAUUUGUAUGAUGAGUAGAAUUGAUAUGGUGCAAAUUCAGAAACUUUGACGUACACUGUAGAAUUUCUUUGAUUUUACUCGGACGUAGUUUUAAGCUGAAUUUUGUACAAACUAUUUCUAUACAAAUUCCGCAGGUCUUCUUAAAUUUUCAGAAUUUUUGGACUUACAGAAGUAUAGAUUCAUUACACAUUACUACAGAUUUUUAUGUUUCAGUCAGAUUCUGUUUUUUUGACCGGCUACUGUAGGGAAAACAACCCACAGUCAUUUCUCUCUAUUAAUAAAGGGGUUAAUAUGUACAAAGGAGGGCUAAAAUGUACAAGAGAUGUAGGGGUGUGUGGGAUACAAACCUCAAGGAGGUAAAAAUGCUAUCCAUCUAAGGAGAUCAUCCCUAAAACUAGGUUUAAUCCUGUGUGCUAGAAGUGAAAUAUCCAGAAUAAAGCCAGCCCUCCAUUUUCUGAGCCGUGGUUGCUAAUGAUGAAAAACCUUUGCAUUUCUUACAGUCCAUAUGUUCCAGCAAGCAAUGAAGACCACUUCAGUGAAGAAAGGGUGAUGAAAGUCUCUUCUUGCAGCUAAAGAAGCACUCCACAUAGAAUUUCCCUGCCAUGAGAUGUGGAGAUAAUUCCAGAUCCUGGCACUGAAGAGACAGUUGAAAAACAAAUGAUCUCUGUCCUCCUUGAUCCUGGCAUGGCAAAGAACACAAAGAUUAGAAUCAGACACCUUCCAGUGAAGCCUCUCAAGCAUAUCUUGAGUGUUAAGUCUGUCCAUAAUCAUCAGCCAGGCAAACAUCUUGAUUUUCAUGGUGCAGCAGCUCUUCCACAUCCAGCUAAGCAGGGGGUUUGGUGUGAUGGGUUGGUGGAUAUGGACAUAAUACUUCUUGGCAGUGUAUGGUUUAGAGUCUUUACUCCAGAGCCAGAUAUCAUCAUCAUUCUGGUUUAUAUGAAUAUCCUGAAGCAUAGAGUUUACAUAAUCCAGCUCUUUGUAUGCUUGUUCAGAUAGAGGAAAGUGGAACAUGUAGAGCAUAUUGUUCUCAUGAAAAGCAUGGAAAACUUCCUCAGCAGUGCAAAAAGAAUCCACAACAAAGGAGAACAGUCUGUGGAACCUAGCAGCCAGUGGUCUGAUAGAAUCUCCAAUCAACCAGGAAUCAGACCAAAACAAGAAUGUAUCACCUCUAUUUGGUUUAACAUAAGCCACAGCUCUGAAUUUAUCCAGACGUUUGCAGAUGUCCUUCCACCAGAAAGAGCCACAAAGUGAGGUACCUUGAGGAACUGUGUUAUGAUAAUAUGUGUUCCAAAUCAGUUUGACCCAGGGAAUAUCAGCUUUAUUCAAAAACGUGUAUGCAUGUUUUAGGAGCAGGGCCUCAUUCUGGAUAGCAAGAUUCAUAAUCCCCAACCCACCCUUCAUCUUAGGUCUGCAUGCAAGGUCCCAGGCAGCAAGAGAGGGGGCAUGAUCUUGAACAUUCUUUCUCCAUAAACAUUGUUUUUGGAUUCUUUCUAACUGCUUAAGGAUUCCUGGAGGAACAUUUAAACUGCACAGAAAGAAGAUAGGUACUGAUGAGAGAGCUGAGUUUAGAUAUUGCAAACGGCCCCCCUGGGCCAGGAAGGAAGAACUGGCACUGAGUCUUCUCUCCAUGUUAUCCACUAAUGGCAUUAGAUCAAUUAUCCUUGGUUUAGUUGUUCCCACAGGUAAACCAAGGUAGGUGAAUGGCAAAGAACUCACCUUGCAAGCAAUAGCAUCUGCCAAUCUUUGCAGUUCAUCUUGAUCUAUGCUGAUGGGGAGCAGGGCAGACUUGUGAUAAUUUACCUGAAGACCAGUGGAUUGGGAGAACAGAAGUAGCAUUCUUUUGAACUCAAGCAACUGAGAUUCUUCUGCAGGUAGAAUUUUGAGAGUAUCAUGAGCAUACUGCACUAUGGGGAAGUCUCUGUCAUGACAAGGAAUUGGCAAUUGAAUGAGACCAUCCUCUAAUAGCUUAUUGACUAAAGUUUGCAAAAAAUCUACAGCAAUUGCAAAAAAGAAGAGUGGACAUAGGGUCUCCCUGUCUGACCCCUUUCCUGCACAUGAAUUUUCUUCCAGGAACUCCAUUGAGAAGAACAGAGGAGGAGCCAGAAGUGAGCAGUUGUUGCACCCAUAGGAUCCAUCUAUCAUUAAACCUCUUGUAUCUGAGAAUCUGAAAGAUGAACUCAUGUUCCACAGAGUCAAAAGCCUUUUCAAAAUCCAGUUUGAGGAUGACAAUAGGUUUCUUGGACUGAUGACAUUGGUGCAAGUACUCUAGUGUCCAUCCCACACAAUCUUGGAUGGUUCAGGAUUUGAUAAAGCCAUACUGGUUUUUGUGUAUACAUUUCAUAACUUGUAGUUGCAGUCUAUUGGCCACCAUUUUAGACAAAAACUUAAGUCCCAUUCCUGUGAGAGAGAUAGGACUAAAGUCACCAACCUGCUCAGGGGAGCUUUUUUGGGAAUCAGAGUUAUAUAUGAUGAGUUCAUGUUUUCAAGCUUGGCAAUGCCACCAUGGUAAUCAGCUGCAAGUUGAUAAAAUUCAGGGCAAAUAAUAGACCAACAUUUCUUGAAGAAAUACCCAUUGAAACCAUCACGACCAGGGGCCUUAUCAAUGGGCAUUUCUUUCACUGUCUGAUCCAUUUCAGCCUUGGUAAAAGGUUCUGUGAGCACAUCCAGCCCAUCCACCUUCUGAAUUAGGGACUGUAGGUCAAAAGCCAUAUUAAUACCUUGGGAGGAGCCCAUCCUAUCCUUGAAAGAGGUCCAGAAACAACCAGAAAUUUGCUCAUGAUCAAAAAUAACAAAGCCAUCAUUCGGCUUAAGAGAUGAAAUGGAAUUUUUCCUAUAUUUUUCAGUUGCCAUGCCAUGGAAAUUUUUUGUGAUUUCUUCUCCAACUUUGAUGUAACGAAUUGUAGCCCUUUUUCCAGUAAAGGAACUACAUAUGCAAGAGAUAAUCCAAAUGCAACUUGACAAUCACCCUGAAAUUAGCCUCAGGCCUAUACAGGGGUCUUAACUCCUCUAGAUCAUCAAGAGAGAGAACAACCUGGUUGCACCUAUCAAUAAGAAGCUUGAGCCGAGAGAGGUUAGUUUGCCAUUUCUCUAGGGCCUGCCUUAGGUGUUUGAACUUAUCCAUGAUGAUGGCAGUAAUAUGCCCUUUCCUGGAUGGGAUCUUCCAAGAGUCCCUGACACAAUCCAUGAAGCCAUCCAAUUCAACCCAAUAGUUUUCAAAAUGAAAGAGAUUGCAUUUUGGGAUGGAAGUGUUAACUGUGACAACACAGGGGACAUGAUCAGAUGCAGUUUUAGCCAAAGGGAGGACUUGCGUCAGAGGAUAUGAUGAAAUCCAAGAAGCAGAUGUAAAAAACCAAUCCAAUUGCUCUAGCAGGGGUGAAUCUUGCAUAUUUGACCAGGUGAAAGAUCUGCCCUUAAUAGGUAAUUCCAAUAGCCCAAGGUGGCCAAUGAUCUCAUUAAAAAUGAACAUGUCAUUUACAUCAACCCCAGGAAGGUUUCUAUUUGAUGGAGAUCUAAUAAAGUUAAAAUCCCCAAGAAGUAACCAGUUGUCGUCAGCAGGGAUGUUGAGAUUAUAUAACCAGCUGACAAAAAGAUCUCGAGCCUCACCCUGACAAGGUCCAUAUACAUUGACCAGGGUCCAAGUUUCUGCAGAGUGAUUGGAUGUAAAGGAGAUAACAAGGCCAAAAGGUUGACACUCAAUUAAGGUUCCAGUAAGAACAGAGGAGCUCCACAAAGUGAUCAGACCCCCAGAGGCACCACGGGAUGGCGAGUAUGCAAACUGGUCAAAUCGUUUAGGACAAAAACUUCUUGCUGAUCGAAAAUCAAUCUGUUGCAUUUUUGUUUCCUAUAAGCAUACUAUAGAGGGGGGGGGGGGGGGGCAUCUAUUUUGUUGCGAACAGCUCUCUGACGAUGAUCAGAAUUGAGGCCACACACAUUCCAGCAGAGGACAUGCCAACUUCGUGUAGAUCUACUAUCCAUAAUAACUAAUAGAUAUAGCAAAUGUGGAGUUACAUAAUAACUCACACAACCAAGGUUCAGAACGUUGUAACAAAAGAUAAACAGUAGUCUGACAGACCGCAUAACCAUCAAAACAGGGCAAUAACAACAUAGUUUUAAACAUCAGAAGAUGGGGUCUUGGAUGCAGCAGGAUCCUCCAUAAGACGAUCCACCGAAAGCUUCCCCGCAGCAAUUCCAAGCUUCUGGCCAGUUGCUUGCAAAACAGGAAUUGGUGUUGCUGGCGGAGGCUAUUCUCCCUCCUGAUUGUCCAUAGGCUUGGCCUUGGGCUUCCUAUUCUUGGGAGUGUGCAUUGGAAGUUCCUGCAGCACUGGUUUGAAGCCGUCGCGCUUGAUCGAGCCUCUCGUGCAGCGGCGAACCGAGGAGUCGACAAUGGGAGUGGCCUGCUUGCGAGAAACUUUCUUCCUGACAGCAGGUGAAGUAAAAGCGAACUCCCCUGAUGGUGGAAGAAAGUCUUCAUGUGUUACCUCAGUAGUAGUAGUAGGGAUGGUCUCGAUGGGCACCAAGCUUGAACCUGCAGACUCAACAUCAAAAGCAUACGACCACGAUCGCUUGGGGAUCAUGAUUGGCAGCACUGGCGGCUUCUGAAUAUGGCGAGGGACAUGCAUAGUACAUGUCGCGCCCAUAAGAGAUUCAAAAGACCUGGCCCAACAUAGCACAGGUGACAAUGGUGGACCAUAGAAAACCCUUGUUGCUCUAACCACCAGGUUUGAUUGUUGCAUCAGUGGACGAUUGUAUGGGACGAUCGCCAAGGGGUUAAACAGAGGCGCCUCCUCGGCAUGAUCUGCUUCCACAGGCUCUUCGUCGGCGACAACUUCAGCUUCUGGUGCAGCAGCGCCAUUGGGAGGGGCAGCUUCAGGAGCAGCCUCGUCAACCGCAGGUUGGACAAUAGGCAUGUCCACAACAACAUCAUCAGCAGCAGCAAGCUGAAGGUCAAGGAUGACCAAUUCAUGAACAGAAUCAGAGGAUGUUGGUUGAUCAAUAGCCAUGGAUUCCUGAUCUUGUACAGGUGCAUCAGGUUGUGGCUCUGGCUCUGCUGCUUCUGGUUCCCAACCCCAUCCUCCACCGACUGGGGCUUGUGGCUCUCGCUCUGGGGGAGGUUGUGGCACCGCGUUCCAUCCCGAAGCUGGGUAUGGUGGCAGAGCAAAUAACAGAUUGUCAUUGAUCAGUUGACCAGGAAGUGGGUGUGGGUUGCCAUUGAGGGGCAUGGGAUCUUCGUCAUUAGGCAUCUGUUCACCAAAAUUUGCGCCCAAGAUGUAAACUGGCGCAGACCAGGAGACCUUGGCCCCUCCCCAUGCAGCAUAUUCUGAGAAGGUGACACUCCUUGGCACCAUAUUAUCUUCAGGAAAAGAAGCAAAGAUAAUGGAUCGAACCAAAUACGGGUCAUCGCUGACCCAAUGAUGGAACUCUCCAAAAGUGUUAAAGGCAGCCCGAAGAUCAUUAGUAUUGCGGAAAUCUAGCGGAACUCCAAGUAGCAUCAGGCAUCCUUGGCGGAAACCUGUCUGCCCCCUAAAACCUGCACCAUCACUAUGACGCAUGAAACGAACAAAGGUGUCGUUCCCUAGUGCUUGAGGGACCAUUUGAACUGUAGCAAAGCUUUCUGUCGCAUCCCUAAGCUCGAACACACCAACCCCCUCAAUCCAUGGCUAGGUCGAGCGAACAUGAAAACCCCUAUUGAGAAGUAGGGCGGUAACUUCCUACCGUACCUGGGCCACCAACUCAGCAGGAGGGGCAGGCAUUACUUCGGCGAUGAUGAACUAUUCAUGCCUACGGUUGAUGGGGUUGGUAGGCGUGAUGAAGGUCCUUGGGAGACGAUCAGGGCCUCCGUCAAUGAUGUUGUGGCCCUGUGAAAUGAAGCGUUGGGGAUCAAGCUCGAAGUUGGCCAUUGUAGUCGAAGAAGCGGGAGGCGGCGGCGUCAAUGGCGGCGUCCCAGAGGGAGUCCGGGGAGACGGUGGGCUUGACAAGACCGGGAGGAACUGCUCGGCAGGCUUUGCAGCUUCCCCAAGAAUAGCAGAGGUUCCUGAGAUAUCUGCAACAGGGGAGGUGGUGGGGCACUUGCGUUUCCAAGUAAGACAAUUAUCUCGCAUAAAGGAAGUGCAGUCAGAUUUGGCAUGUCCCGCAUUUCCACAGGCAGGGCAAAUUAACGUGGCGGUACAGUUGGAAGCGAGGUGCCCUUGAGACAAACAAAUCAUGCAAGAAUAAAUCUCUUUAACCAUGCCAUUAAUCAAUUCAUCGAAGAGUUGGUGGGCCUCCUGCGAAGAUGGAAUAUCAGGCUGAUGACAAGAUUCUGGCCCGGCAGAAGAUGUCGUUGCCGAAGACCCAUUAAUGGUUUCGUAGAGAGGCCCACUAUCAGGGCAAUCCAACGAAAUAGAUUCAAUAUGAUUUGAAACCCCUCCUAGCGUGGUGGGAUUAGCCGAGAUUGCAUCAUCCGAGGAGGAGAUCCCAUUAAUUUCGCCACCUUCCAUUAGGGUACCGGAUGAUCCGAGACGGGAAACAUGCUGAUGAACUGAACCAAAGGUGAUGUGCGGCGAGGCGGACAUCCACCGGAGCUCUAUCGGAGAUGGAGCACUAAUAAUAACACGUUCCUGCGGAGCGAUCGAAUAACCCGCCUUGGACAGAGUAAUAAGCUCAUCUUGAGAAACAUGGCACUGAUAACCUUUGCAAACAUCAUAUUGCUGUAACGCUGCAAAAGUUAAUUUUUUGCGAGCAGAAGAUCCCAACUUAAGAGAGGAAUUAAUAGGUUUGGAAUGCAUUGCCAUCAGACCUAGGGUUGCUCUUCGUUUGGUCGGGCUAACAAUGAUCCAUUCUGCAUCACAUUGCUUCUUCCAUAACUUGAAUUCCCACCGCCAAUUAGGGCCACCAUACCCCCAAAGAUGAAAGUAACACUUAAAACUUGAGCAUUUGUACGAGCGUAAAUCCAGAAUGUAGAAGCCAACUUGCUGGCAAGAGACCUUGAAGGAGAAAACCGAGUCCGCAACUUGGGAAACCCUAAGUUCUAUGGCGGAACCUCCAAUAGCUGAUUCAAUCGCAGCAGCGACAGAUUCCUCAGAGAGGCGGAAAGCAUGGCGGCCAAAAGAGGCAACCAUUGUGAAAGAGCGAUGAUGUUUCGAUGGAUGCACCGGAAAGCCAGAGAUGCGAUAAACCUCAUCCGCGAAAGCCAAAUUAGGAGAAAAGUCCAGAUCCAAAGUGGAGCCAGCCAUGCAAGCCAUGGAGAACCACGUAAAGGUGGGGUGCUAAGGUUCACCUGAUAAGAUGAGCUGAUGACGAGGAUCAAACACCGGCUAGAGGUCCAAAUCGCCAUGGAGUCACCGAGGUGGGAGGUGGGGGAGGUGGGAGUCGCCACCAUCCGGGUUAGGUAACACUUGCCUGCAUAGUUUGCUUGUUUUUAUGAUCCCAUGGAUUUUAUUGGGGGGUAUAAGCUAUGGAUAAGUUAGAAUACAGUAACUUAUGCUAAAAUAAAAUAAGACUCAACUUAUAACAACACCUGAAAGUAUUUGAUAUGUUGCUUAUACUAACGGAUCUCACGAAGUUUUGUUGAGUUUUAUGUGAUUGAAGUUUUCAAGUUUUGGGUAUUAUCCCGAUGGACAAAGGAUUGAGAAGCAGAAAAAUCCUAAGCUUGGGGAUGCAAAAUUCAUCCUAGGGUAAUAUUCUAGGAAUACUCAAGCAUCUAAGCUUGGGGAUGCCCCGGAAGGCAUCCCCUCUUUUCGUCUCAAUCCAUCGGUAUGUCACUUGGAGCUCCAUUUGUAUUCAUCGCAUGAUAUGAGUUUUGCUUGGAUCAUCGUCUGCUUUUGUUUUCUUUUAAUUUUAGUUUGCCACAAUCAUCGUUUGCUGGACACACCUCUCUGAGAGAGUUACCACAUCAUCACGAUUUGUUUCAACACUUUAUGUGCUUCACUUAUAUCUUUUGAGCUUAGCAAUUGCUCUAGUGCUUCACUUAUAUAUUAUUGAGCAUGGUGGCGUGUAGAUUUUUAUAGAAAUAAUAUGCUCUUGUUCUUCACUUAUAUUUUUUUGAGACUUCAAUAAAUAGUGAUGGAAAUUUGCAUGGGUCAUAAGACUAGAUAAAAAAUAAUGGGUGCUCAAUGAGUGAUAAUUAAAACCAUCAUGUAGCACAUAUGGAGAAAUUAUGGGUUAAUGAUACUGAUGUGGUGAUAUGAAAAAGGUGUGAGUGCAUUAUUAUUAAUUCACAUAGGUGUUGAUAUAAAGAGAUGUUAAACUUCUAGUUCAUCUAAAAAAAUAAAAGGGCAUGGUGAUGAUGUGUGAGCACUUCUAUUCCUGGUUGAAAGCGCAACUUCUCCCUAAGGUGGUUUUGGUAAUUAAUAACAACAUAUGUGUCAUUGAACUAGUGAUCUUACCCAAGUAUAUUUCAGAAAAGUUCAAACAUGCAUUGGCUAAGGAUUAUGAGGAGAACCCCUUGAUGCAAGUAAAGGAAUAGGAUUGGCCAAGCUUCAAGCUACAAGACUCUACAUUUUAUAUUUGUGAGAAAUCACAUUUGAGUCCAUAGGAAAUCUAAUACUAUUAAAAGAGGGGUGAGCCAUCUAUGAUGAAUUACUUGCUCAAGUGCUUAGAGAUAGCCACCAAAAAUAAUCAUCCAUUCUCCUAGAAAUGUUCUCUCUCCAAAGCUUAAACAUCAAAAUUGAUACCACCAAGAUUUUCUAUUUGGACCUGCCGAUUUUCCACUAGACAAAACCUUUGCCAACACCUAGAAUCUCGGUACCACCAACAUUCCGUUCGGUGCCACCGAAAACCAGUGACCAAGUUUUUGGUAUGUAGUUUUCAAGAAUCAGAAAUUCUGAGUCUUGGAAUCUGUCUCUCCAAGAUUUGGAAACUUCCCUAGGUCACCAUAUCGGUGCCAUCGAGAUUCCUAUAUUGGUCUCACGAGAAUUCUAAAGUUGCCACAUUUUGUGCAAAUCGGUGCCACCGAGAUUCACUUCGGUUUCAUUGAGUUGGGGAAUAGUCUUGUAGCGAUUGGAUUUUGGGAGAUGCUUAUAUAUACCUAUCCACCACCUCCAUUCAAAGAUGAAGCACUCAGAACACACCAACACUUGCCAUAUCCAUUUUUGUGAGCGAGAGCCACCUACUCAUGUGUUGAGAUCAAGAUAUUCCAAUCCAUCCAUAUGAAACUUGAUCUCUAGCCUCGCAAAGUUGCUUUCCAACCAAUCAAUCUCUUCUACCCAUGCCAAAUUCGUGAGAGAGUGAUUGAGUGCUGAGGAGACUAUCUUUUGAAGCACAAGAGCAAGGAGUUCAUCAUUCUAACACAUAUAUUACCUUUUGGAGGUGGUGCCUCCUAGAUUGGUUAGGUGUCUCUUGGGAGCCUCCUACUUCGUGUUGUGGAGUUGAACCAAGAAGUUUGUAAGGGCAAGGAGAUCGCCUACUUCACAAAGAUCUACCCUGAGUGAGCUAGUCCAUCGUGGGUGUAAGCAAUGAUGGAAUAGACAAGGUUGCUUCUCCUUCGACCCUGUGUGGGUUGAGACCUCCAUGGACAUGAGUGGCCAUUACCCGCCGUGGGUUCAAGUCUCCAUCAAUGUGGACGUACGAUAGCACCACCUAUCGGAACCACGCCAAAAAUUGAUGUGUCAACCUUUGCGUUGGAUCUUCCUAUCCCUACCCUCUACUUACAUGUGCAUGUCAUUAUUUUCCGCUGAUAUACUAUUAGACUUGCAUGUGUAGGGUGUGCUUGACUUACUACAACUUGUAAAACUUGCCCACAACUAAAAUUGGGAAAAGGCUAAGUUUUUAUUUGGUCAAGUAGUCUAAUUACCCCCCCCCCCCCGCUCUAUACAUACUUCGGAUCCUAUAAGUGGUAUUAGAGCUUUGGUCUCCAUUGCAUUGGUUUCACAACCUAUGAGAGUAUGGCGUUUAGUGAGGGAAAUUAGCAUCGUAGAGCUCCAAAUUUUGAUGGUACAAACUUUGCUAGUUGGAAGCAUAAUAUGAAGAUGCGUAUUCUUGGUCAUAACCCUGUUGUUUGGCUUGUUGUUCAUGUUGGUUUGCAAGGUGAAUUCUUUGGUGAUGGAAAGGAACCAGAUCGUGAAACGACUACGAAAUAAUUGAAGAUGUUUAAAUACAACACUCAAGCAUGUGAAAUUAUGUUCAACUGCAUAUGCCCUGAAGAGUUCAACAAGAUUAGCUGUAUUGAGAACGCCAAGGAAAUUUGGGACACUUUGAUUGAUAUGCAUGAAGGUACUGAAUCUGUCACGGAAUCUAAGUUGGGUGUGCUACAAAGUCAGCUUGACAAGUUCAAGAUGAAGAAUGGUGAAUGGGUCAUUAAGAUAUACUCUAGGCUUGCUCUCAUCACAAAUGAGAUUGUCCGCUUAGGACACGAAGAUAUGACCGACAGAUUCAUCAUCACAAACAUACUUAGAUACAUGGGUGGGAAAUAGGAAACCGUGUGUACAUUGAUCCAAAUUAUACCAAACUACAAAGAUCUCAAGCCAACGAAAGUCAUUGGAAGGAUUGUCUGUAAUGUCACUCAAGGACAAAGAAAAGUUGCACAACAAGUCAAGCGGUGCUUACAAAGCUUCAAGUGAUGCUCCCACUACUUCAAAUGACAACCUUGUCACCAAUGAAGACAUAAGCCUCAUGGUCAAUAAAUUCAAAAAGUUCUACAAGAGUAGAGGCAAAGAGAGAAGCUCCAACUCAAGAUAUGAAGAGAAGCGUUCAUCUAGUUGUGACCGGAACUGCUACAAUUGUGGAAGGCCCAGACACUACUCCAAUGAGUGGUCCCCCCCCCACAGAAGAAGAGAAGAGUCACCUAGAAUACGAAUCUCAAAAGAAGAGUCACCUCGAAGAAAGAGAAGGAGUAGAGAAGAUCCUUAUGAACAAAGAUCCUUAUAAUUUCAGAUCUAUAAACCAAAAAUACCCAAAAAAAUGUUGCCAUUUAUUUACUUUUGUUUUACUUUUAGUUCUAGCAAUCUUUUAUCUAUCUCUAUGAUAUCUCAUCCUUGCAAAUAAAUGUGAAGGGAUUGACAACCCCUUUUUAGCGUUGGGUUCAAGUGUUUGAUUAUUUGUGUAGGUGCUAAGAUUGGGGCCUUGCUUGUUCCUCCUACUGGAUUGAUACCUUGGUUCUCAACAAACCGAGGGAAAUACUUAUCUACUUUGCUGCAUCAUCCUUUCCUCUUCAAGGGAAAACCAAUGCAAGCUCAAGAAGUAGCAUCAGCCUAUUUGUUUAUGGACGUGAUGCCUAUAUACACAUGAUCAUUGCCGUGAAAAUCGCAUAACUAUCCGCUUUUCUGUCAAUUGUCCAAAGGUAAUUUGUUUACCCAUCGUAUGCUAUUUUUCAUGAGAAUGACAUUAGGGAAAACUAUGGCCCCUGGGUCUAUUCACAACAUAUAUAAAAAACCUUCAAUACCUUGUUGUCAUUUAUUUGUUUUCAUUUUAUAUUUCUAUCAGCAAUUAUCUACACACCCUACUCGCUUGCAAAUAACAAGAACAAGAGGAUUGACAACCCUCUUGCCCGCGUUGGGUGCAAGUUGUUUGUUCUUUUGUGUGCAGCCGCUGAAGACGGUUGUGGUUGACAUUCCCAUUGGUUCGAUAAACCUUGGUUUCAUAACUCAGAGAAAUACUUACCCAUAUUGUGCUACGAUAACUCAUUCCUCUUCACGGAAUAUCUAACGCAGAUCACAAGUAUCAGUGGACACCACCAACGAUGAAAAGGUGUGCAAUGCCACAGGCUUGGCUUGUCGGAAUCUUGUGGACAUCCAACGCCAGUAUAGGGUCUUGGGCGGCAAGGAGAAGCAUAAGGACUCCCUGGUUGACCUCUCCAUGGAAAUCAUUGACCCCUACUAUAGAGUCAUGAAGGGUUUUUGGAAAGAAGAAGGUUGCGUAGCAUCUCGCCUAGGUUCGAGGACUAGAUGAAGAUCACAUCAAGUACGGGGCCAAGGAUACGUAUGUAAGAUAUGAGAUGUGCAGGCGGAUUGUUGACAUGAGGAAGUGCAUCUGUGUUGCGUCGAUCGGCACCCCUCGUCACAAGAAGUAUAGAUGAUUUCAUGAUCGUUACUACUUGUUUAGUAUGCAUGUACUUUUAAAUUGAGGCGUGCAAAUGUUAUGCGUAGUCAGUCUAUAAUGUAAUUGGAUGUUUAUUUUGGUUAUGCGAUAAUGUUGUUGUUUUGUAGAUAGAGAAAAUCACAUUUCUUACUAUUAAAGAAAGGAACACGUCGGUCGUGAUUUCAACAAUCACGGACAAUUGGGUGCGAGCAAGUGCUUGCCCAUGGCACACAGAGUUUAUUCUCAGGAAUCAUCUAUAUUUGUAUCGGUCAUCUAACACAACCCCGAUUACUAACCUGUUUGCCGAGUAUAACACACAUCUUGUUAGGCCGAAUCAUUUCUGGUACUUUUAAUUAUCGCAAACAGUUCGUCCGAGCGACCUAUUUGUCGGGUAUCACACACAACUUCAGACGUCGAAACAGUUGUGUUAUUUUGGCUCGUCAUAAAUAGUUCAUCCGGGUGAACCAUAUACCAACAAUCGCACACAUCUUGAUAUGUGCAACCGUUUGUGUUAUUUUUCAUCAUCGCAAAUAGUUCAUGACGGUGAACCAUAUGACGUACAUCGCACACAUCUGUAUUUGGUACCUGUUUGUCUUAGUUUUUUUCUCAUCCCAAACAUAUCGUAAAUGUCGACUGUAUGCCAUGUAUCCCACAUGCAACUUUUAUCUGAAUUGUGCUUGAUGGACCAGACAUCGCACACAGUACAUUCUAUUGGUGACGUAUAUAGCAUUAUACCGUUUGUGAUCCAUGCAUUGCACACAGUUUCGUCAAAGGGUCUCAGAUGCAUGUGUCGUCUUAGGACCAUCCUGCAGUAGUGUACUAGUUAGACUUUUAGAAGUUGUGGGUUUUAUGAUAUAUUUGUUUUGGUCAAAAUUUUAGAAUUUUCAUUCAAUGUUGGAAUUUCUUCAUAAAACCACCGCCUCACAUGAAGUUGCUAGAGCAUAGUACACCUUGCAUUGACCAAAAUUUAGUUAGUAUUAGCAAAGUGAAAGCCUGUGAUCUUAGAGCUGAAGAUCUGAUAUUUUGGAAAUCAUGAGAUGUAGUGAAUGUGAGUUAUUUAGCCAAGGUGUGUGUGGGGGGGGGGGGGUGUUGGCUUGGUCUUUCGAUGUUGGCACGCCCACCCAUCGAGAAGUUUUUCAAACAAAACUUCACUACUCUCCAAGGUGUAUCAUACAUGGAAGGCUUCUAAUAGGAGUCAUCAAAAAAUGUCCCCAAAUCAAAUAUACAAACUAUGGGAUAUAAUGUAACAUCCCAAAUUUUCAAUUCAGAAUGUUAUACAAUAGAUCAUCUUUGCAUAUCAUAUUUUAUUGCAUUCUUGGUUGAUCCUAGAAAUUCUACGCAACUCAAGGACCCGCGGAGAGAGUUGGGAAUUUCAUUAUUUUUCAUAAUUGAGUUUUCCAAAAUUUUGAAAAGAGGAUCGUUCGGUUUUAAUUAUUUUCUCUUCAAAUAUUUCUAAAUAUGAAAUAAAAUAGAAGGGAUAAAAUGACUUCCCCAAAAUAAAAGAAAUAUUGGAGGAAAAUAUUAAAAUCAAAUAAGAAUUGUAUUCGGAGUUUUAUUGCUAUUUUAUUAGAAUUAGAAUGCGUUUUUCAAAAUUGCAUUAUACUCCCAAAUGCGUUUUUCAAAAUUGCAUUAUACUCCCAAAUGCGUUUUUCACAAAUGCUUUUCCAAAAUUGCAUUAUACCCCAAAUAAAUGUUUACCUUGUCCGUUAUAUUUUUAGAGGACGGGGAAAAUUUAUUUCACGCUUUUUGGAGUCCGUUUGAUAUUUCUUUUUAUUUAUCUUCUGCGCGUCGGAAUUAUUUAAGAAAAAAAGUCAAACCGUUUAAACGGGUCGUGUCCGACCGGGACUAUCCCGUCGGCCUUUAUAAGCCCAGCCGGGGCGACCCAAACCCUAAUCCUAGCCGCGCCCAGCCGCCCCAUCCGCCCAGCCGCCUCGCCGUCGACCCCGCCCCGAGGUAGCCGGUUUUAAAAAAACUAUAUUUAUUUUUUUAGAUUGGUUUUAUUAUUAUUAUUCCCGGUUUAUUUAAAUAGCGGACGUUCGUCCGUACGUUCAUUUUAACGAACGAUGUUCAUCCGUUAGCCGCAGACAGCGAACGUUCGUUCGUUAGCCUGUUCGUCAGUUUUUCUUUUUCCAGGGAUUUUCCGCGAUUAUUUUCAAUCGCGAUUUCUGCCGUGAUCUUCGUUUUAGUUUAUGUUUUCGCUCGAUUGUUGGAAUUUGGUGAUUCAAACACCGAGAUCUUCAUCUCGAAACCCUCUUUCUGUUUAACCAGGGGAACAACAGCAACAACCCACCACCACCACCACCUAUUGAUCACUUAGCUCGUUUCUUAAGGCUAAAUCCGCCGGUGUUCUCCAGUAGCACCGAGCUGAUUGUUGCAAAUGAUUGGCUCCGCAAGAUUGGAAGAGAGCUGAACACUGCAGGAUGCACAGAUGUGGAGAGAGUGUGUUUUGCUGCACAUCAGCGAGAUGGACCCGCAGCAUCAUGGUGGGAGAAUUUCACAGUCACUUACCCCAUCAAUAGUGUCACAUGUGACCAGUUUCAGCAAGCUUUUCGCAUCGCCCAUGUUUCAGCAGGAGCUAUGGCCAUGAAGAAGCGCGAGUUUCGCAACUUGCGCCAAGGAGGACGCACAGUGGGGCCAGUAUGUGGAUGAUUUUAGUAAGUUAGCACGUUAUGCCCCGGAUGAUGUCACUACAGAUGCUGCUAAGCACGAGAAAUUCCUGGAAGGACUGAAUGAUGAGCUGAGCAUGCAGUUGAUGGUAGAAACCUUCAACAACUACCAGGAGUUGGUAGAUAGAGCUCUCAUGAUUGAAGGGAAGCAGCAGCAGAUUGACAACCGCAAGAGGAGGUAUGGACAAGGGAAGUACAACUCAGGAACUCAACAGAGGCCCCGUUUUACCCCGAACUCGGGAGGACACAUUCACCAUAACCAUGGAGGCCAUCAGUCCAAUGGAGGGAGUUCGCAUAAUCAUAAUGGCCCCAAGAAUGGGAAUGGGAAUGGAGGAAGCAACGUACAGAACCGUUCCAACCCAGCAACACCCGCCAAGAAGAAUCUAAGUCACAUUACUUGUUUCAAGUGCGGGAAGAAUGGACAUUACGCCACGGAGUGUUCUGAAACAAAGAAUGGGAAUGGCAAUGGAAGCUCUGGGAAGAAGCCCAACCCUUUCAAUAGGGGACAAGUGAACCACGUUAGCGUGGAGGAGGUUGAAGCGCAACCCGAUGCAGUAAUAGGUAAGUUUUUGGUUAAGUCAUUUACUGCAAUCGUUCUUUUCGAUACUGGUGUCGCAUUCAUACAUAUCAAGGGGAUUUGUGGAUAAAUAUAACCUGCCAACCCAAGCCCUUAGGUCACCCAUGUUAGUAACCUUGCCAGGAGCAGAGUACAUGGCUAGCCUAUGGUGUGAUCGGUUACCAUUAAGGAUUGGUAACUAUGUGUUCCCCUUAGACCUAAUAGUAUUAGAGUCACAAGGACUGGAUGUAAUAUUAGGCAUGGAUUGGUUAUCAAAGUAUGGAGGGAACAUUGACUGCGUCAGUAAGUCGAUUUUGCUCACCACCCCAGAAGGAAGAAGGAUUAAGUAUGUAUCCCGGCAUGUGCCGAAGAGAACUCAAGUAAACUCCUUAUCAGGAGUGGUACAGGAGGAAGUACCAGUGGUGAAGGAUUUCUCUCAUGUAUUCCCAGAGGAGUUGCCAGGCAUGCCACCGGAUAGAGACAUUGAGUUUUUUAUUGAGCUUUUGCCAGGCACAGGGCCAAUAUCUAAGAGACCGUAUCGGAUGCCCGCAAAGGAUUUGGAAGAAAUUAAGAAGCAGAUUAAGGAGUUACUGGAUAAAGGCUAUAUUCGCCCAAGUUCGUCACCUUGGGGCUCACAAGUGCUUCUAGUGGAGAAGAAGGAUGGAUCGUUGAGAAUGGUUGUUGAUUGUCGAGGAUUGAAUGAAGUGACAAUCAAAAACAAGUAUCCACUGCAGAUGAUCAAUGAUUUUUUUGACCAGUUGCAAGGGGCUAAAGUAUUUUCCAAGAUCGAUGUGCGAUCAGGAUACCACCAGCUGAAGAUUCGAGACCAGGAUAUACCGAAGACAGCUUUUACCAUAAGUUAUGGGCUAUAUGAGUAUACCGUUAUGUCAUUUGGUCUGACUAAUGCACCUGUCUAUUUCAUGAACAUGAUGAACAAGGUGUUUAUGGAGUUUUUGGAUAAGUUCGUUGUGGUGUUCAUUGAUGAUAUUCUGGUCUACUCAAAGAAUGAAGAGGAGCAUAAGGAGCAUUUGCGUUUGGUACUUGGGAAGCUCAGAGAACAUCAGUUAUAUGCCAAGUUCAGCAAGUGUGAGUUUUGGUUGAAGGAAGUUGGUUUCCUCGGACACGUUAUAUCUGGGGAAGGAAUAGCAGUAGACCCCACCAAAGUUGUCACAAUGACUAAUUGGGAAUCACCCACGUUAGUUGGAGAGAUCCGGAGUUUUCUUGGACUCGCAGGAUACUACCGGAGGUUCAUUGAGAAUUUCUCUAAGAUUGCAAAGCCCAUGACGGAGUUGUUGAAGAAAGGCACCAAGUUCAAAUGGACUGAGGAGUGUGAAGCCAGUUUUCAGGAGUUGAAGAAACGCUUGGUUACCGCCCAAGUGUUGAUUCCCCAGAUCAACUCAAGGAAUUAUCAAGUGUAUUGCGACGCUUCUCGUCAACGACUUGGAGCAGUGCGGAUGCAGGAUGGAAGAGUUGUUUCAUAUGCCUCACGACAGCUUGAAACCCAUGAGUUGGACUAUGCUACCCACGAUUUGGAGUUAGCAGCCAUAGUGCAUGCAUUGAUGACAUGGAGACAUUUUCUCAUCGGAAACCACUGUUAAGUGUACACGGAUCACAAGAGUUUGAAGUAUAUUUUCGCGCAGAAGGAGUUGAAUCUCAGACAGAGGAGAUGGUUGGAGCCCAUCAAGGAUUAUGAUAUGAGGUUGCACUAUCAUCCCGGAAAGGCUAAUGUAGUAGCCGAUGCGUUGAGUCGCAAGAUUCAUGUCAAUACACUCAUGACCAGAGGAUUACCCGAGGAGUUAGCAGAAGAUCUUCGCGAGCUAUGUUUGGAAAUAGUUCCGAAAGGUUAUGUAGCAGCAUUGGAAAUUCAGUCUACCCUGAUGGAUAAGAUCAGAGAGGCUCAGAAGACUGACAAAGAGAUUGCCGAGAUAAAGGAAAUGAUGAGCAAAGGAAAGGCUAAAGGAUUUCGUGGGGAUGAGCACGAUACCUUAUGGUUUGAGGAUCGCGUAUAUGUGCCUAAUGACCCCGAGAUCAGGAAGUUGAUUCUGUAGGAGGCCCAUGCUUCGCCGUAUUCGAUUCACCCAGGAAAUACCAAGAUGUAUCUAGAUUUGAAGGAUAGUUUCUGGUGGACCGGAAUGAAGAAGGAUAUUGCGGAGUAUGUAGCAGUUUGUGAUGUAUGUCAGAGAGUGAAGGCAGAGCAUCAGAAGCCAGCGGGUUUACUACAGCCAUUGUCGAUACUUGAAUGGAAGUGGGACAAGCUAGGCAUGGAUUUUAUCACGGGAUUACCCAGGACUUGUUCAGGCUACGACUCGAUUGGGUUGUAGGUGAUCGUUUGACGAAGGUAGCUCAUUUCAUUCUAGUAAAGACCACUUACAACAGUGCUAAGUUGGCAAAGAUAUACAUGACCAGGAUCGUAUGUCUGCAUGGAGUUUCGAGGACCAUUGUAUCACAUAGAGGAACUCAGUUUACCUCAAAGUUCUGGAAUCAGUUGCAUGAAACCUUGGGUACCAGGCUAGAGUUUAGUACAACCUUUCAUCCACAGACAAAUGGACAGACCGAGAGAGUCAAUCAGACUCUCGAGGACAUGUUGAGAGCUUGUGCGCUAGAUUAUGGAUCUAGUUGGGACGAAAAUUUGCUGUAUGCAGAGUUCUCUUACAACAACAGCUAUCAAACCAGUUUGAAGAUGGCCCCUUUCGAAGCCUUGUACGGAAGGAGGUGCAGGACACCGUUGUUAUGGGAUGAGGUUGGAGACCGUCAGUUGUUUGGACCAGAUUUGAUUAAAGAGUCUGAAGAGAAGGUUAAGUUGAUUCGUGGUAGACUCAAGGUAGCCCAGUCCACGCAGAAGAGCUAUGCGGAUUCAAAACGCAAGGAGACAGUUUAUGAAGUCGAAGACAGAGUCUAUCUUUGAGUGUCCCCACUUCGAGGAGUUAAGCGUUUUGGAGUUAAGGGAAAGUUAGCACCACGUUUUGUGGGACCAUACAAAGUUUUGGAGCGUAUGGGAGAAGUUGCUUACAGGUUGGAAUUGCCAGAAGGAUUGUCAGGAGUUCAUGAUGUUUUCCACGUUUCCCAGUUGAAGAAGUGCCACGCAGAGAUGGUCGAUAUUCCUCUGAGAGGUACAGUGCCACUAGAAGUGAUUCAAUUGGAUAGCGAUUUGACUUACGAGGAGAAACCACUGAAGAUUCUCAAGUUUGCCAGCCGAGUCACGCGCACCAAGGUUACCAAGUUCUGCAAAGUUCAGUGGAGCCACCAUACCGAGGAUGAAGCCACCUUGGAACGAGAGGAAUACCUACGGAAGGAUCACCCGCACCUAUUCUCUAGCCAAACCGAAUCUCGAGGGCGAGAUUCAUCUUAAGGGGGGUGGGUUCGUAACAUACCAAAUUUUCAAUUUGGAAUGUUAUACAAUAGAUCAUCUUUGCAUAUCAUAUUUUAUUGCAUUCUUAGUUGAUCCUAGAAAUUCUACGCAACUCAAGGACCCACGGAGAGAGUUGGGAAUUUCGUUAUUGUUCAAAAUUGAAUUUUCCCAAAUUUUGAAAAGAGGAUCAUUUGUUUUUAAUUAUUUUCUCUUCAAAUAUUUCUAAAUAUGAAAUAAAAGAGAAGGGAUAAAAUGGCUUCCCCAAAAUAAAAGAAAUAUUGGAGGAAAAAUAUAAAAAUCAAAUAAGAAUUUUAUUCGAAGUUUUAUUGCUAUUUUAUUUGAAUUAGAAAAAAAAAUGCGUUUUUUAAAAUUGCAUUAUAGUCCCAAAUAAAUGUUCACCUUAUCCGUUAUAUUUUUAGAGGACGGGGAAAUUUUAUUUCAGGAUUAUUGGAAUCCGUUUGAUAUUUCUUUUUAUUUAUCUUCUGUGUGUCGGAAUUAUUUAAAAAAAUCAAACCAUUUAAACGGGUCGUGUCCGACCGGGACUCUAUCCCGUUGGCAUUUCUAAGCCUAGCCGGGGCGCCCCAAACCCUAACCCUAGCCGCGCCCACCCGCGCCGCCUCGUCGCUGAACCGCCUCGCCGUCGACCCCGCCCCGAGGUAGCCGGGUUUUUUUAAUAAAAAAACCAUAGAUUUAUUUUUUUAGAUUGGAUUUAUUAUUUUUAUUCCCGAUUUAUUUAAAUAGCGGAUAUUCGUCCGUACGUUCGUUUUAACGAACGAUGUUCAUCCUUUAGCCGCAGACAGCGAACGUUCGUUCGUUAGCCUGUUCGUCAGUUUUUCUUUUUCCAGGGAUUUUCCGCGAUUAUUUUCGAUCGCGAUUUCUGCCCUGAUCUUCGUUUUAGUUUAUCUUUUCGCUCGAUUAUCGGAAUCUGUUGAUUCAAACGCCCAGAUCUUCGUCUCGAAACCCUCUUUCCGUUUAAUCAACUUGAACAAGAUUUUUGUACAGUGAAAUUUGACUCUAGUCCAGAUUAGUAAGAGAAUCUCGUUUCUUUCGCAGUUUGAGUUUCGUUGCUUCGUUUGUUUUGAUUCUUUUUGCCAACCGGAGUUCUUCAAUUGAACUUUCUGGUUAGAUCUCUUAUUUGAGUUUUACCCAUGCAUCUAGUUUGAGUGCUUAUGUGUGUUAUUGUUUGUUUACGAUAGAGUACCCGGAGUGCGAAGCGUACUACUACGAGUUUCUAGGUUUUGCGGAUCAUCAGCAAGGCAAGUAACACUUUGAUCAUACCUCUUACUAACUAGUUUUAUUGCAUUAGAUCAACCCUCAAACAUUGCAUGGUUAGGAUCUGUUUAACAUGUGAGUUUCGGGAAGUAGAUUGAGGUAGAACCUAUUGUCCUGUUUAUUAUCAAACCUUUGGGAUUUACUUCUACAUUAUGCUUAUAUUGCUAUGCUAUGCUCGUAGACGUGGAUUGGGUGAGUGUAUCCAUGACAGAUGUGAGUAUUGUUAAUUAAUGGUUCACUUAAGGUGGCUACUUAAAAUAACAUCUGGGUGGAUUGCUUGAGGCACCCUGGGGUACCCAGUGGUUGUGAGGGCACCUGGAGAAAUCCAAUGUGGUCCUAGGAUAUCCCGGAGUAACCGUGUGAUCAUCCUACGGUCCGCCACCCAGGCUCAAAGGGAUCAUAAGAUUAUUCAUUCUAGAAACUUUCGUGUGCAGCCACAAGCCAAUAUGGGCUCUGGCAUGGUUGAGUAAGUUGCGUGAAACUCUUGAAGCGGUAGACUAGCAGAUGUAGUGGGUUGUAGGUGGUACGGUCUACCCAGAGUAGAGAGUUAAUGCUUCAGAAAGACUGUGUCUCGAAUCUCCGACCAUGGAUGUAUUCGAGUCUUCUGGGAAAAGUUCGCAAACCUCUCUAGAGUGUACAAACUAAUCAUGGUUAGCCGUGUCCCCGGUUAUGGACAUCUUGAGUAUCUGGUUCUUGGAUUAUCAUGUUGAUCUCAUCACUCUAAAUUAAUUUGUUGGGUUAGUGAUGAUGCUUAAUUGUGAUUGAGUUGGAGGAACCUUCUCAAUGUUUAACAACAACCAUGAUAGUUAAAUAAAACUUAUUACUUUGUGGUAGGGUAAAGAUUGGCUUUAUGCAAAACUGUUAACUAUAGAGCUUUCCACCAGCCAUAUAUGCAUGUAGAUAUAGCAUUUAUUCUGUUCAUUACUCUAUGUGUUACAUUGUCAGCAUAUUCCAUGUGCUGACCCGUUUUGGGCUGCAACAUUUCAUGUUGCAGACUUUUCAGACGUUGAGUAAGGUGCCAUAGGUCGUUGUCUUUCACUCAGCUAUGUCGUUGGAGUUGAUGGACUCACUUUAUCUUCCAAGCCUUCCGCUGUUAUCGUUUUUAGAUGGCCUUAAGCCAUAUUAUUGUAAUAAGUUCUCUUUUGAGACAUUCGAUGUAAUGAAGUGUGUGAUUGAAACUCUGUUAUAAAUCCUCAAGUACUAUGCGUGUCAGCAUUACUGAUCCAGGGAUGACACGGAUGCAUAGAGACUAGACUGUUUGAGGUCUAGUCGCUACAUAUAAAUAGGUGGUAUAUAUGACGCAAUAUGUCGGUUUAGUAUAGUCCUACAAAUUGAUGUAUUAUUGUUAACUUGUAAGGAGACUUUUGUGUUGUUAUCACUACUAAACACACAAAGACUGUAAAUAGUAAAUUAUACCAAGAACCAAUGAUGUCCAUCGCUCCCUUGCCUCAUCCACCUAAAUUCUAAAGAAAUAGGAACGUCGAGUAUCCAUGUUAUAGUUGUCAAAUUAUAGGGGGCACUGCCUUUCUAAACCAUUACCACCUCCCUGUACACACACGUGUUUCUUUCUAUUCCGCGCAAAUAUUAAUUACCUUCCAAAUACAUCAUUAUCCUCUUCCAUUUCUAUCGAGCUUUCAGUUAGAUUGAAAUACGCCCCUCUAGCACAAUUGCCAAUUCACGGGUUUCAUGUAGUCUUAUUCCAAAUCGUGGGCAUCGCCUCCCCUCCCCCUCAUCUUCGGUGAGGACAGCGUGAUAGUCCCAAGCCCACCAUCGAAUUGUUUUUCAUUUUGUGGUCACUCCACCAAUAUUUCUUUCUACACUUCCCCCGCGAGUCUUAUCACCACUGAUGGUGCCUUCCCUUUCGAGGUGAUUGAUGACUUCAAAGUUCUAGAUCUAGGCAUCGAUGGUGUCCUCCCUCUUCAUGAACGCAAGGUUUAUUUCCGAGUGAUUGCCAGAUUCAAAGUUCUAGAUCUACGCAUCGAUGGUUUCCUCCCACUUCAUGACCAUGAGAUUUAUUUCCGGGUGAUUGCCAGAUUCAAAGUUCUAGAUCUAAGCAUUGAUGGUGUCCUCCCUUUGCAUGCCCGUGAGGGUUAUUUCCAGGUAAUUGAUGUGUUCAAAGUACUAUAUCUAAGCAUCGAUUGUGGCCUCCCUCUUCAAGACGGUGAGGAUUAUUUCCAGGUGAUUGACGGAUUAAAAGUUCUAGAUCUAAGCAUCCAUGGUGUCCUCCCUCUUCAGGAACGUGAGCACUAUUUCGAGGUGAUUGGCGGAUUACAAGUUCUAGAUCUAAGCAUUUAUGGUUCUCCCCCUCUUCAUGACCGUGGGGAUUAUUUCCAGGUGACUUUCAGAUUCAAAGUUCUAGAUCUAAGCAUCGAUUCUAUCCCCCCUCUUCAUGAUCCUGGGGGUUAUUUCCAUGUGAUUGUAGGAUUGAAAGUUCCAGAUCUAAGCAUUAAUGGUCUCCUUCAUCUUCAUGACUGCGAGGGUUAUUUCCAGGUGACUGCCGGAUUCAAAGUUCUAGAUCUAAGCAUCGAUGGUAUCCCCCCUCUUCAUGACCGUGGUGAAUAUUUUUAGGUGAUUGCCGGAUUGAAAGUACCAGAUCUAAGCAUCGAUGGUAUCCUUCAUCUUCAUGAUCACGAGGGUUAUUUCUAGGCGAUUGUCGGAUUCAAAGUUCUAGAUCUAAGCACCGAUGGUAUCCCCCUCUUCAUGAACGCGGGGAUUAUUUCCAGGUGAUUGCCCAAUUCAAAGUUCUAGAUCUAAGCAUCAUAGUUUAGAGUUUAGGAAUUUGUCAAAAUAGUUAAUAACUAGCUAAUAAUGAUGUCCUUUCUCUUCAUGACCUUGGGGGUUAUUUCCAGGUGAUUGCUAGAUUCAAAGUUCUAGAAGCACCGGUGGUGCCAUUCAUCUUCAUCAACGUGAGGGUUAUUUCCACGUGAUUGUGAGAUCCAAAGUUCUAGAAACAUCGAUCGUGUCCUUCAUCUUCAUGAACGUGAGGGUUAUUUCAGGUGAUUCAUGACUGUGAGGGUUAUUUCAAGGUGCUUGUCGGAUUCAAAGUUCUAGCAUCGUAGUUUGGAGUUUACGGAUUUGUUACAAAUAGCUAGUAAGUGUAUUCCUAAUAAUGGUGUCCUUCCUCUUCAGGACCGUGUGGAUUACUUCUAGGUGAUUGUCAAAUUCAAAGUUCUAGAUCUAAGCAUUGAUGGUGUCCUUCAUGUGCAUGACCAUGAGGGUUAUUUUCCACGUGAUUGUCGGAUUCAUAGUUCUAGAUAUAAGAAUUGAUGGUGUGCUCCCUCUUCAGGACCUUGAGGGUUAUUUCGAGGUAAGUGUUGAACGAAAAGUUCUAUAUUUUUGCAAGAAAUAUUGGUUAAAGUAUUUAUGUUAUUUUUUCUACAUCUGAAUUGAAAUCUUGUAUGUCCCAAGGUUCUAAGAAAGUGGGGCUGGGAAGGGAGGGGCGUGUGAUAGGUAUGUUGGAGGGUUUGUGGAGUAGAAUAGACUCGGCAUCGAUACUAGAGAAAUCAAGUGGUUGAUAGUGCGAUAAUGUUUUUUCAAUAGUGGAGGGUCACUCUUCGCAUGCAUAUGGGCUCUCUGGUUGGAUACCCCAUCCAGCACAACAUCCUCUUGCACCAUUGAAUCAUCUCAUCUUGGGAUCUCCUCUGUCACUAUCUUUCUCUAAGAUUUACACUCGGUGGUGUGACGACUAGUAAUACAGACAAUGAUACCCCUUAUGUAUGUAAAUUCAAGGAGAAUGUUAGUUCUUUCAUUGUUGUUUUUUUCUUUUUGAAAGAGUUGGGACGCUCAUCAUCUCCUCAAAUAGUAGUUCCCUCGACGUGUCGCAUUUUUAUUAGUCGGGGAAUCCUUUCAUUGGGCGUCGGCAUAAAGAUCUAGAUCUUUUUCUUUUUGAAAGAGUUGGGAUGCUCAUCGUUUCCUCAAAUAGUAGUUCCCUUCAAUGUGUCGCACUUUUCUAUUAGUCGGGGAAUCCUUCCAUCGGGCGUUGGCAUAAAGAUCUAGAUCUUCAAAUAACAUUGAACAGACAUGUGCCAAGUGUACCUUCUCUAUCUCCUUCAUGGCUGGUUUUUAUUCAAAGAAAUUUUAGAGGGUUUUGAGAGUAUUUGGAUCCUUUGGAAAUUUCCUGCAUUGAUCAUUUGAUUCACACGACUGAGAUCCCGAUUGCUCAUUCCUACCCUAUUUUAGAGGAAAACUUUAGUGCCCUCCCCUAGUAUGGCAAUUCGAUAGGAUUCAAAAGGCCACGAUGCUUAAUCGUGUAUUUUGUUUCUAUACCUGGACGUCUUCGGCCUGUUAGGGACGUAGAUCAAAAAUCUGGAGCCGACGAUCGUCAAGCAAACAUUCGCCCUUUUUGUCGGCCUCUAUGGCCCACCUGAGUUCCAUCGCUUCAGGAUUAACAUCCAGUGACAUAAUUAACGGGUGUGUUGGGCACACCUAGAAUUUUGAGGUAUUUUUCACCAUAUAAGAAUUCAACCAAAAUAAUCAUUUUAAACACCCCUAACGUUCUAUGCAAUAGGCCAAUCAACUACUCCCUAUGUUCAAAAUAAGUAAUUUAACUUUAUACUAAUUUUAAUAUAAAGUUUGUAUAAAGUUUGUAUAAAUUUAAAACGUUUAAUUUUAGACGGAAAGAGAGUAUGUUAGAGUGUGCACAUCCAUCAGUUUAAUCAUGGCUGUAUUUUAGAGUGUGCACAUCCAUCAGUUUAAUCGUGGUUGCACCGCUCUUUAGAACAACUUCAAUGGAUCGAUUCAAAUGGACGAUGCUUUUGUCCGUUUUUUAUCAGUUUGGGUCGGUCGCGCGUCCGGCGUCGGUCUUGUUUUAGAUUUAGAUCGACAGUGCGUCCAACGUGCCGACCCAUUUCAUGUCCGCACAUAAUUUUUAAAAAAGUCUCGCGGCCAUAGAUCAUGCGAGCGGCCAUGCCUCAUGCCGGCACCAUGUCAGUGUCGGCAUACAAUCAACACACAGUUCAUGUUGCGCACUCGCUAGCGGCCGGCACACAUGCCAGCACACAAAGAAGGGGUGGUACUUGAGUUAGAUUAUUCGACGCCCGUCUUGGGGUCUUGCCCAAUGUCUCUCAAACACUCGCAAAGAAGCUUGUCCUCGGCCGUCGUGUAUGCCUUGGUCCGCUUGCUCUUGCGCUUCGGCUGCUUCGCCAAGGCAGCUUGGUUGGCGAGCUCGUCCUCGAACAAAGGCUCCCCUUCGAUGUUGCACUCGUCCUCUUCCUCUUGCCUGUAGUCCUUCGAAAACUCGUGGUCGAAUGUGAAGCCGUUCAGGUCCAUGCCGACUUGAUCACGCAUGAAGGCCGCCUGAUCUUGAUCAAAGAUGGACGGCGUGAACGUCCCUCGGUCGUCUUGACUUUGUGUCUCGUCGAGAUCGUAGCCGGUGGGAUCGUCGUCCGGUGCACCACCAUCAAAGAUCAAGUUCUGCAUGUAGUCCUCGUCGUCGGCGGCCGGCAUUCCGUCGAACGGGUUGCGUGCGCCCGGCAACACGUCGGCUGGGAUCUGCCGCGGGCGUUUCUUCACGCCUCCAGAUGACGAGCCACCGGCCACCAGUGUGGUGUUGAGGUCGAUGGGCACGGGCGCGAGCGUGGAAGGCGCCAUCAUGCUCACUUCUGACGAGCACUCCCCGAAAAGGCGGGAGGCCUGCAGGUAGACGUAGAAGUCGGGCAUCGAGUUACAAGCCGACGCGCAGGGCGAGUCAGGCAGCACCAUCCGAGGGAACGCGGAUGAGUCGGUGCUGGCCGCGGCCACGACGGCGUUGACGAGGCCAUGUUGGUUAGGGUUUAACCCUAGCAUAUAGAGCGCAUCCCUCGUUGCCGCCGCGACGCCGACGUUUGUGACCUCCUACUGCGCGGCGACGACGACGACAGUCGUCGUGAUGGCUUCAUCCCUCGCGCCCGCCACGUGUCUGCGGCCCUUCCUCUUGACCGACUCUCAUGCCCGUUGUUCGGGCGUCAACGUCUUCUUCGGCUUGAGCGCGGCGGCGGACUUGCGCUUGCUUUUGUCGGAGGGGGCGGUCGUCAUGCCGGACCAGGCGAGGCCGGUGGCGGCGUCGAGGUCGUCAUCCAUGACGAGGGUGGGGUGGGAGCGCGCGCAGGCGGGAGGGUUUUUGAGGAACAUGAAAGGAAAUGAUGAAGGCUAUCACCGACGAGCAGGCCCGAGGGAAGGAGAAGGCGCGCGCAUGUCUCGUAUCCAUGCCGAUGCAAAUCCAGCUUAAAAAUGGACCGAAGAUGAAUCAGCAAGAGGACGUCAAAUGGACAUGCGUUGAACCGAUUUUUUAUGUCCGCACCAAUUCAAACGAACUCGAGCACACAAAAUGAAUCGACCCUUUUAAAGUUGUUGUCACAGCACUGUGCACGAGCGGCCUACCCAACCCCGCCGCUUGUGUCGGGCCGGCGCACGGAGCGUGCAAAUCCAGUUGCCGAUAGAGUCUGUCAAGUUGCAGAACAGCCUGGCAGCGCUAGUGCUACGUCACGACAGCGACAGGGACACCAGGUUUUACUGACCACAACUGGACACACAGAACAAGCACUGGCACGCUCCCCGUCCCAAUCAAAGACAAGAGUUUUUGGCAAUAAUGACAGGCCACGGGGCCACCCGAUGUGUGCAUGCACAAGAUAUUGCAGCGAGAUACUACUGGAGUACUACUGCUACAUGCCAUGCCAUCCCAUGGACGGAUGAGCCAUGAGUGCGUGCCGGAAAGAAAGANNNNNNNNNNNNNNNNNNNNNNNNNNNNNNNNNNNNNNNNNNNNNNNNNNNNNNNNNNNNNNNNNNNNNNNNNNNNNNNNNNNNNNNNNNNNNNNNNNNNGCUCCUCCUCUUUCUUCUUCUUCUCCUCCUCCUCCUCCUCCUCCUCCUCCUUCUUCUUGAUUUCUUCUUCUUCUCCUCUUCCUCCUCUUUCUUCUUCUUCUCCUCCUCUUUCUUCUUAUUCUACCAUAAUAAGCUCAAAAUGAAAAGAAAGAAGAAGAAGAGAUGAAGAAGAAGAGAAGAAGAAGAAGAAGGAGGAGGAGGAGGAGGAGGAGGAGAAGGCGAAGGACCUUCUAUCCUUCUCCUCCUCCUCCUUCUCCUCCUCCUCCUCCUUCUUCUUGAUUUCCUUUUCUUCUCCUCCUCCUCCUCCUCUUUCUUCUCCUCUUUCAUAUUAUCCUUGCUUUAAUUAACCCAACAAUGACAUAGUUAGCCCAUUUAGCUCCAAAAUACCGUAAUAAGCUCAAAAUGGCAUAAGAACCUUGGUUAGCUCAUGAAUAUUAUAUACUUAGCUUCUUUUCCUCUAAAAGGACAUAAUUGGAAUAUUUAGCUCAAAAAAGACAUAAUUAGGUAAUUUAGCUCCAACAAGAGGAGAAGAGGAGAAGAAAUAGGCAAAAUGAAAAGAAAGAANNNNNNNNNNNNNNNNNNNNNNNNNNNNNNNNNNNNNNNNNNNNNNNNNNNNNNNNNNNNNNNNNNNNNNNNNNNNNNNNNNNNNNNNNNNNNNNNNNNNGAGGUCCUCGUCGGCGUCGUCAUCGUCGUCGCCGAGGCUGUCGUCGGAUGUGUCGUCGCCGUCGUCGCGGCCGUUGCCGUUGAGCAUGAGGCGAUCCCCCCGCCUCCUGUCGGACCGAGGCGAGUCCCUCGGCCCCGCGCCGCCGGAGACGCCGCCGCCGUUGCUCCUGAGCCGCCGCCGCGGCGGAGGCGCCCCGCCGGACAUGGACACGGCGGCCCUCCUGCCUUCCCGGAUCCGCUCCAUGUCAGAUCUGAGGCAUGCGCCUCCGAUCUCCCUCCCUCCUAGUCGCCGCCGGCGUCCCGGCAGACCGCCGCCGCGCAGAUCCGCGCACCAACCGCCUCAACAAAUCCCCACGGGCAGAGCGAGAGAGCCCGCCCUCCUUCUCCUUCCCCUCGUGCUCACAAGUAUCUCUCCUCUCUCUCUCUCUCUCUCUGUAUCGGUGGUGGUGCUGCUCCUCCUAGAGAGUGCUCUCCUCUCUUCUCUCCCUCGGCUGGAAUGGCUGCUGCUUCUCUGGUGUGGCCUCCUCCCCUCCCCUUGUGGCUCGCUUUCUAGGCCUCAUCCUCUUUUUGUCGCUGCCCAUCCCCGCAUCCGACGGCCAGGAUCCGCCCGACGCAUCCGACGGCCCCGACCCCCGCGCGCCUGCCACCGUGGCCGCCCCCACCGCCUACCACCCAACACGCGAUAAAAUCUCGUGGACGCUUCCUUACGCCACAAGCAUGGCCCGAUGACCGACACGUGGCGGGGCAGCCGAGCGGGGUGAAACCCACCGGCAACGGGAGGUGGGUGGUUGAUGGAUGGCGGCACGCCCGUUUGUUCGCUUCCCUAACAAAUCUUUUUAUCCUCUUGUAAAAACUCAACACUCCACGCAAAAUAAAGCAAGAAUAAUACAAUACGAGUACAUAAAGAUGAAAUGGCGCUACGCCAUCGGCUUUGGCACGGGACCACCGCGCGCGGGGUCCGCGUGGACGGAUGGGCCGCCUGAUCUGGACAGUGCGGUGCGGUUUAACCGGGCUGACGUGGCGCCUGCGCGCACCGGUUGGUUGCUACGGGUGGGUUAAAAGGGCACGAGGAAAGUCUCCAGGCAGCAGCAGCGGCAGUGGAGGCGGGCGGGGCCCACGCGCGGGCCCGGGCAUCUCCCGUCUCAUCCGCUUUUCUUUCCUUUUUCUUUUUCUCUUUCCUAACGUUCUGCUCGUGGGCUCCGACGUGGCGGAGGGGGUGACGUCGGCGGGGCCCGCCGGCCACCAACCUUCACCGCACCACUGGCCUACUUCUACUCUGAUGAAUUAUUAGUAAGAUAUUCCUUGAAAACACCCAGUAGUUUAAUAUCAUUACCACGGAGGAGAUCCGGAAGAUGUCAUUGUAUACGCGGAUUGGCGCGGUUUUACUUACACUAACUUUGGAGCAUUGAAGGCCGGUAAAUUUAAAUUUAAAUGUUUUCGCUGUGGUGUGGUGUGGUGCGGUGCGGGGCGUCGUGUUCUGGAUCCAGACGCCACCGGCAUCGGGUGCAUAUAUGCAUGGCGACGUACUGCUGCUCGCUUUAAAUUGCAAGUUUUUUAAACGAGCCACGUGCGCCUUCUUUCCAGCAUUGUACACCCAAAUUGAAUUUUGAAAAGAAAUAAAGAGUAAUUCAAGGCAUAUUUUCAGUAGGUGGCUAUCAAUGAAAAUAUGCCUGCGAAUCACUUUUUUUUUUUAAAAAACUCAAUUUGGGUGUAUUUUUGGAAAACAAAGUUAGAGGAUCGAUUUUGUUUUUUUAUCAUGACUUUACAAAUAUGAUUUCAUGAUGAAAUUUUGAAUGCACAACAAGUAUUUCCAAAAUAUAUCAUUUCUUUAAAUUUAUUAUUUUAUUUUGAACAUUUGUGCCUAGUUAUAGAAACUCCGCGUCCGUUGUAGGCUUCUUUUUGCUUAUGUCACUGAGUGUAUGUAGAAGGUACAUGUGGUGUUUAAUUUGACGUGGUUAGCAAGGACACAAGAUUUUGAUUCAUGAAAAGGGAAAGGACAUAUGGAUAGUAAACUUUGAAUGCAAUGGACAACAACAAGCACACGCUUCCUCAAAGAAGGGCAUCAAGAACAUUUUUCCUUGGCAUCUCGAUUAACUCAAUAAAACGUGGGUGUUCCCUCCUCCUCCCCUCCCUCGCACAUCGACAAACACACACGACAUGCACAUGUGUGCCCUUUUUGUGUGUUUGUGUGCGUUGUUGCUCACCCCGCAUGCCCAUAGUUUGGGAAGACCAUGUGUCCUUGAAGCUUCGCCCGUUGGCCAACUUCACACCUAUGCUUAUUGCAUUUGUGAGAUUUGAAAUAACUGCUAUGAGUGAUUUUUGGAAAGGACGAUGGGAGAGGGUUAGAUCCGGCAAAUUUGCUGAAAUAGCACUAUGUGCCCUUCGUUAGUCGGGGACGGGAAGCGAGACUCUCGACUUCCUUUUGAGAUCAGAGGGAGCAUGCCAAAGUGAUAAUGAACGGCCAUGACCGUGCCUUCCAUUCAUGGUGAUUGGUCAAAACUUUAUAUAAUCUCCAAAGAAGGAGUUCCAAGAAAUACACAAAGAGGUGUAUUCUAGUUGUUGCCAAAUUAGCAACUGCGAAUGGCGGUCUCCGAGUAGAGAUUAUCAUAUCAAAUACAAGAUUAUUAAUUCUAAACGCUCCUCCUAAUGUGUGCAUGUACUCUCAUCGCUCUUGAAAAAGUGCACCAAUUUCUAAAUUGUGAAUUGAGAAAAAUGUGUGCGCGUGGGGGGGUGUUGUCCCCCCUAGGUGUGUGUGCAUGCCCUUAUGCAUCUUGUUUCCCACGCAUGCGUCGUCACUUAGCUCGUGUGGCCGCGUUCGGAAAGCCAAUCCACGUGCCCAUGAUGCUUCACCCAUUGGUCGCAUUAGAAGCUAUCUAUGUCGCAUGCAUGAGGUUUGGAAUAACCGCUACAUGUGAUUUGCGAAGAGAGUUAUGUUUGGAGGGAAAUACCAAAAUAGCAAUAGUGUGCCCUUCCUUGGUGGAAGAUAAGAAGCAAGACUCGUGACUUUCUUUGGAGAUCAGAGGGAGUAUAACAAAGUGAUAGUGAAUGGCCAUGACUUUGCCUUAUCAUUCAUGAUGAUUGAUCAACGAUUUAUAAAAUGUCCAAAGAGCGGUUCUGAGAAAACAUGGAGGGGUGUAUUCGGGGUGUUGAGAAUUUAGCAACUCCCAAAUGUGGUUUACAUGCANNNNNNNNNNAUUUAUCUUAUCUAACACGAUAUUAAUUAAUUCUACACACUCCUCCGGAUGAGUGCAUUUAUUCCCACCACUAUUGAAAAACACAUCAAUUUUCUCAAUUUUGAAUGGAGAAAAGCGUGUGCGUGUGGUAGGUGCUUUUGCUCAAAAUCAUUCCUAUAAGUGUGCGUGUGCAUGCGCAUGUGUAUCUCGUUUCAUGUNNNNNNNNNNNNNNNNNNNNNNNNNNNNNNNNNNNNNNNNNNNNNNNNNNNNNNNNNNNNNNNNNNNNNNNNNNNNNNNNNNNNNNNNNNNNNNNNNNNNNNNNNNNNNNNNNNNNNNNNNNNNNNNNNNNNNNNNNNNNNNNNNNNNNNNNNNNNNNNNNNNNNNNNNNNNNNNNNNNNNNNNNNNNNNNNNNNNNNNCGAGAUUUGGAGUAACCGCUACACGAAAUUAGUGGAGAGGGAUAGGUUCUGAGGGAAAAGACCAAAAUAGCAAAGUGUGGCCUUCCUUACUGGCAAAUAGAAGCAAGACUCGUGACUUCCUUCACAGGUUGGCGGGAGUAUAACAAAGUAACAAUGAAAUAACAUGUCAUGGUUUUGUCACGACGGAUGUCCUCGUGAUAGGACUAAGUCUAGGAUCCAUCACAACUAGGUGGUUGUUUGGAUGGGGUUGAUCGGGAAUGAGAGACAAGAGUUUACCCAGGUUCGNNNNNNNNNNAUGACUUCCUUCACAGGUUGGCGGGAGUAUAACAAAGUAACAAUGAAAGAACAUGUCAUGGUUUUGUCACGACGAAAAUCCUCGUGAUAGGACUAAGUCUAGGAGCUAUCACAACUAGGUGGUUGCUUGGAUGGGGUUGAUCGGGAAUGAGAGACAAGAGUUUACCCAGGUUCGGCCCCUCCGAUGGAGGUAAAAACAUGUGUCCUGCUUUUGGUUUUUAUUGAUGAUGAUCUCGAUUACAAGGGUUCGAAAUCUCUAACCUAANNNNNNNNNNCUGUGUCCUCCUUUUUGUCUUUAUUGAUGAUGAUCUCGAUUACAAGGGUUCGAAAUCUCUAACCUAACUCUCGAGGAUUUCUAACUUGUCAUUUCUACCUCAGGGGUCCCCUUUAUUUAUAGGUUGAGGCCCUAAGAUCACAAUAGAGUCUGGGUCGUACUGCAACCCGUGACUUAGUCUAAUUCCUACUCAUCUUCUCAUCCAAGUAGGGAAAGCUUCUUAUGUCUUCCGCAACGAGUCAGCCCACCAGGUGAUUGCGUAACCCGACCUUCAAGACGAGCCCCCCCUUGGGCCUCAUGUCUCAUGUAGGUCUUGUUAUUUGGUUGGAUUUGGAAGGUCGGGUCAUGCCGUGGGCGGGUUACGCCAUGGGGUAUAUCCCCAACAUUAGCCCCCAUUUUAAUUUGGAUUCAUCCAUGUUAAACUCCAACUUGAAAAAUGAAAAAGAGCCUUCAUAGAUGAAGUUAAGCUUUGAUCCUUUUACCCUUAAGCCGAUAUUUCUCCUUGCUGAUGACGUGUCCGAGUUGAUAAUAUGUCGGUUUAUUUCUUCUGUCCAACACUUAGCUUCUUUUUUAUCUCCUUCGCCACCAUAUCAUCAUAAUGACUGUUGACAUGGACGGGUCAUGAUGACGAAUCUUGUUUUUGAACAGUAGUCAAAUCUAGGCAGAUGCGAAAAUCAAGGCGACACAGCCGCCGCUAAUUGCUUUAAUCCAUUAUUUUUGCUGCGCCGCUUCGGUUUCAAACCUUCCCUUAUAAAUAGACCGUACGGGGUCAUUUCUUGAUUUUUCUCCCGUCUUAUUCCUCUCGCCAAUUUCUAAAUUGUGAAUUGAGAAAAAAUGUGUGCGCGUGGGGGGGUGUUGUCCCCCCUAGGUGUGUGUGCAUGCCCUUAUGCAUCUUGUUUCCCAUGCAUGCGUCGUCACUUAGCUCGUGUGGCCGUGUUGGGAAAGCCAAUCCACGUGUCCAUGAUGCUUCACACAUUGGCCGCAUUAGAAGCUAUCUAUGUGGCAUGCAUGAGGUUUGGAAUAACCGCUACAUGUGAUUUGCGAAGAGAGUUAUGUUUGCAGCGAAAUGCCAAAAUAGCUAUAGUGUGCCCUUCCUUGGUGGAAGAUCGGAAGCAAGACUCGUGACUUUCUUUGGAGAUCAGAGGGAGUAUAACAAAGUGAUAGUGAAUGGCCAUGACUUUGCCUUGUCAUUCAUGAUGAUUGAUCAAAGAUUUAUAAAAUGUCCAAAGAGCGGUUCUGAGAAGACAUGGAGGGGUGCAUUCGGGGUGUUGAGAAUUUAGCAACUCCCAAAUGUGGUUUACAUGCANNNNNNNNNNGUUUAUCCUAUCUAACACGGUAUUAAUUAAUUCUACACACUCCUUUGCAUGAGUGCAUUUACUCCCACCACUAUUGAAAAAACACAUCAAUUUUCUCAAUUUUGAUCGGAGAAAAGCGUGUGUGUGUGUGGUAGGUGCUUUUGCUCAAAAGUAUUCCUAUAAGUGUGCGUGUGCAUGCGCAUGUGUAUCUCGUUUCAUGUGCAUGCAUUAUCGCUUAGCCCAUGUGCCCACGCUCGAGAAGCCAAUCCACAUGCCCUUGAUCCUUCACCCAUUGUCCAUAAUAGAAGCUAUGUAUGUGGCAUGCAUGAGAUUUGGAAUAACCGCUACGCGAAAUUAGUGGAUAGGGAUAGGUUCUGAGGGAAAAGACCAAAAUAGCAAAGUGUGGCCUUCCUUACUGGCAAAUAGAAGCAAGACUCNNNNNNNNNNNNNNNNNNNNNNNNNNNNNNNNNNNNNNNNNNNNNNNNNNNNNNNNNNNNNNNNNNNNNNNNNNNNNNNNNNNNNNNNNNNNNNNNNNNNACUUUCUAGGUUACCUAUAAAACUUUCUAGGUUACCUAUAAAACUUUCCAGGUUACCUAUACUACUUUAUAAAACUUUCCAGGUUCCAUAAAAAAAUAUUUCAUGCCGGGGUGUCUCGAGAUGUCGUGUCGGGGCGUCGUGUCGGGGUUUCGGGGCAUCGUGUCGGGUGUCAGGGGUGUCGUCGAGAUGUCGUGUCGGGGCGUCGUGUCAGGGUUUCGGGGCAUCGUGACGGGUGUCAGGGGUGUCGUCGAGAUGUCGUGUCGGUGCGACAACUACUAUUGCGAGCUGUUGUAAUAUCCUCGGUGUUGAAGUCGAAUAUCACCGGUGCCUGAAGGGGGUGGUCCCAACAGUAAUGUUUCUGCACCGACCUGCAUGGGGGUGGUUGCAGCAGCAUCGUUGUUGCAGCACGUGAGCUUGAUGGCAUAGUAGCCAUGGCAGGUGCGUGACAAGCUCACCGACGUUCCCCAACGUUGUGGCUAGUGCAAGCAUAGGCGGCAACCGGAGGGCUCUACACGGUCAACUACAAACCUAACAACUAACCUAACACACAGUAGGUAAUUAACAACUAACCUAACAACUAACCUAGCUCGAGGGGUAAUACCACUAACAACUAACCUAAUUACCACUAACAACUAACAAGUAACCUAACUAACCUAAUUACCAGUACGUAACCACUAACAACUAACCUAACUAACCUAACUAACAAUAGGGAAUUAACAACUAACCUAACUAACCUAAUUAAUGAAUUAACGAAAAAAGGAAAAAGGACUCACCGAGCUCCGGCGGUGGAGGAGAGGGCGGUGGAGGGGGGCGCAGGGCGGCGGUGGGGUGUGUNNNNNNNNNNNNNNNNNNNNNNNNNNNNNNNNNNNNNNNNNNNNNNNNNNNNNNNNNNNNNNNNNNNNNNNNNNNNNNNNNNNNNNNNNNNNNNNNNNNNAAGAGAGAGAGAGGCCAGGUUAAACCUAAAUAAACAAGCAAUCCAGCACGCGACUAAUCACAUGUCACCAACAACCGGAGCGGUGCACGCAUCUGGACAAAGGCUCCGUUCGUUCGUGCGUGCGUGCGUGCAGACCCACUCCGGAAAGGAAACGGGAGGGAGAGAACACCAUUGCAUUGCAUUGCGCCAAGCGAAAGGAAAGCGAUGUCCCCCGGGCAAGGCAAAAAAUUCCAGACACUUACUUUUCAGCCUGCAGCACGUCGGGUGGCUAUCAGGCCGGACACGUGCGACGGCCCGGAGCUUUGGUGGAGGAGAGCGAUCCAUGUGAAUGAGAUCAUCAUCAUCCAGCCCCAGUGUGAUGGAUAAUAGGAGUAGAUAGAUAGAUAGAUAGAUAGGCACGAGUACGAAGAAGAUAGUGGCAGCACGCGUCCGUCCACGCAAGUUAACAAAUGGCGGAGUGGCGUGACCGGAAAGAGCGGCACUUUCGGACGGGAGAGCAUUCGGUGCGGAGUCCUCGUCACAUAGGCCAGAAUUCCUUUGUUUUCUAACCGUCUAUUUCCAUCAGUCAUUCUCCUUUCUGACCACCAGAUCAAUAUCCAUGCCGCGGCAUGUUCAUCUCUUUCUCCUUCAUCUUCUUCCUCCUCCGCCGCCGCCUCAUACCCUGCCCCAUCCGCCUGCCUCCAGCGCCGUUGCUGCCCACCACCCUAACCAUCCCUCCCAAGCCCCUCACCACCUGUGAAAAAUUGCGACGAUCCAGAGAAACCGACUGAUGCAACAAAAAAGAUCAGGUACCUGAAAUAUUACAGCAAAACCAUAAGAAGAUUGUCUAUCCAUCAUCAACCACUUGAUUGAUUCAUUCCUUCUACAAGGCUAGCUAAUUACAACGCACACCCAAAAGGCAAGUCAUGGUCAUUCUCAUGCCAUGCUAUGCAGCCUCCCAAUCAUUGAUCAAUUACUACUAAUACUACUACUUGAGAAAAUAUUUCCCUGUCUGCCCCAGUUGUUGUUUCUAAAACAUGGAAAGAAGAAAGAAAGAAAGAAAGAAAAGAGGAAAAGCAAGAGAAGCAGCAGCAGCAUCACAAAAGUUCCCCUUGUCCUGCAUUCUAAUUAAAUCUUCUUCCUUCAGUCAAGACAACAACAAAAACGAACAAAUCUAAAGAGACCAGAGCAGCAGUUGGAGGGGAGGGGAGAGAAGUUCAGAGAGAGAGACCAGCUAGCUUUUGACAUCCUUGCAUAAAACUGCUAAAAAAAAGGGGUUUCUAUGCACCUCCAGCUUUCCACCAUGGGAGGAUAACCUACUACACACAAGCAUCACUCCCAUCAGCCGUUCUAGAGUUUCACUCGAUUGCCAGCGCUCCUGCAUGGAUGGAAUGGGUGCAUCAUCAUCUUCUUCGACGACGCUCCGGCUCUCGCGGCUGCGCAGCCUCUUGUCGCGCAAUCGCUUCUUCCACGCGCCAACCUUUCCACAGAAUUAGCAGUUAGCUCGCCCAAUCAGAUUAGCAGCAUUCCCAUGCUCUGGCGUCUGGGUCCUUUACUUACCUGACAACACAACAGCUUAUGUUAGUGGAAAGAACUCAGUGAUACAUGGAACAACGUCUGCAGGGGAAAGAAGGAUAUAGGUCCAUUACCAGCAGCAGGCUUCUGAUCACUGGUAGGCUUUACUGGCAUCGGCAUUGAAAAGGUCAAUUGUGCCCCUGACAUGUGAGAGUGAGGCGAACCACUCGCAGAUUGCCCCGCUGUGGCAAGGUGCAUAAAACCACCAGCAGCUGGAUGAAGAUUGGCCUUCAUGUUACUGCCAGCUGCCUUCCCUGCAUCAGCUGGAAUCGCAGCUGUGGACAUUGACAUGGAACCAAGAGAGAGCAUAGCAGACGAACCAGAUACAGCAUUCUGCUGUUGCUGCUGCUGCGUCUUGUCAGUCGAGCGCUUUUGGUAGAGGCCAGCACCAGCUCCAGCAUUUACAUGCUGAGGCGGACCUUGUGGUGGUGCGAACGCAUUGGAGAUGAAGAAGUGGCCUUGCGAGAAUGGCUGCUGUUGCUUCAAUGAGGGUCCAUGCGACUGCUGCUUACCGCCAGAGUGAGCCAUGUUUGGCUGCUGACCAAGGAUAGAUGGCAUAGGCAUACUGCUGUAGUGAUUUGUGGAGGCUGACUUGGAUCCAGAAGUCGAAGGAGAGUUCUUGGCUGCAUGUUGUUGAGGCGAUGACAAUUGGACAACUGGCUGGCCACCCUUCGCACUUCCAGAUGCAGGUGGGCUACCACCAGUACUUUUGGAGACUGAAUUAGAUGGCGAACCAGAAGCAACAGGAGCAUUUGAAGAUCGAGAUAGGUCCCCUCCUCCUCCAGUAGAAAGAUUAGUAAGGGAGUGCCCAAUCUUCGACGAACUCAUGCUUUGUGACUGGUGAUUUGGGGUGGAGAGAGCCUGCAGAGCUUUUGCUUGUUGUUGAUGGAGACCACUGUUCUUCAUCAUAAUCAAAUUAGAAGGUGAGGAUGCAGCAGGGACAGAGGCAGCUGAAGGUGGAGCUGACACUCUCAUCGACGAUGCCUUCAAUUGAGGUGAUUGACCNNNNNNNNNNUGGAGACCAUUGUUCUUCAUCAUAAUCAAAUUAGAAGGUGAGGAUGCAACAGGGACAGAGGCAACUGAAGAUGGAGCUGACACUCUCAUCGACGAUGCCUUCAAUUGAGGUGAUUGACCAGGAACUCCGCCUUGAGAAGUGCUUGACGGAUACAUUAAAUUCUGAAAGUUCGUUGCAUUCAAACGGUCAGAGUAUCCACUUGCAUUGCUAGGUGCAGCAGACCUGGGGCGAGAGUUCAGAUGAUUUUGAAACAAUUGCUGCUGCUGCUGUUUCUGAAGGUGUAACAUAUUUUGCUGGUGCUGCUGUUGUUGCUGCUGCUGCUGAUGCUGCUGCUGCUGUUGAUGCUGCUGCUGUUGUUGCUGCUGCUGAUGCUGCUGCUGGAGUUGCUGCUGCUGCUGCUGUUGUUGCUGCUGCUGGAAUUGUUGCUGCAUCUGCUGGUGAUGGUGUUGCUGCAGCUGCAGCUGAAUUUGCUGCUGCUGGUGGUGUUGCUGCUGGGAGAUGGUUGGUGCAGAUGGGGCUGCAGCUGACGUAGCUGCUCCAGUAGAAGCACUUGAAGAUUUGCUGCUGCCUAACCCAAAGGCAUUGGAAGAUUCCGCACCAAUAAGGCUCAAAGUGCGGACUGAGGGCUCAUUAGCACUGCUACCAAGGAAAGGGUGCAUAAAAGAUUUGUUUUCUGGCUUUGAGAAGGAAAGAGAAUGUUGCUGCGAAUCACUCGGGUAUUUUGCAGAUGCAGAUUUCUUUCUCUCAUUAUCUCCAGCACUUGGCGUUGAAGACGAAUCCCCAGCCACAGAUUUAGCUUCUGCGGCAUUUUGAUGCUGGGCCUUGUGCUGUGCAGCUUGAACAGACUGGGCUGCAGCAAAAUUGAGCUGAGGGUAACCAUGCCGGCCUGCUUCUUGAUGGCUCUGGAACAGCGCAUGGUUCUGUGCCAAUGAAGAGAAGUCAAGACCACUUGGAGCAGAACCAGGAGCACCAAAGGGCAUCACAAAAGGUUGAGAUGAAGCAAGAUCAAUUCGAACCCCCUGGCCUCGACUGGUUGAUGGCUGCUGGUGGUGAUCAUUCGAUUUCUUCUCACUCUGAUUGCCAGCGGCUGGCAUCAACGCAAAAUUCGGAAGAUGCAUUGGAAUAGCAAAAUUAUGUUCAUACCCACCCUUUUGAUGGUGUGCAGACUUGUCAUCACUUGACUGGCCAUCUUGGAGAGUCUUGUCUGUAUCCUGUCGAUGAGCGAGGCCAGGCAGUAGAACAGGACGCUGGUUGCCACUCGAAUAGCUCUGGGAACUGUUGGCAGCGGCUGCCGCAGCUGCGGCAGCAGCAGCAUUAGCAUUUGGUGCAUAUCCCAGCAACCCUUGUGAUUGUUGUGGCUGAUGCUUCUGAGAGGAACCAGACAAGCUUGGCAUUGGGUUUUUCUGAUGAUUUUGUUGCUGCGUAACUUGCUGCUGUGAUGGGUGCAACAUGUGGGGAGAGUAGACAUGCCCGUUGAAAAACGGUACACCUGCGCCUUGUGGUGCCAUGCCUCGAUAUGAUGGAGGUCCUCCAGCAUGAGCAGCGGCGACCUGUAACGGGUAGCCGUUCUGUAAGAUAGCCAAGAACUGGGCAUCACCCGGCUGCAAGUUGGCAAAGCUCAAGUUCAUGGCCGAUGCACCAGGGUGUGCUGCUGAAGCAUGGGCAGUGGCAGAUGAUGAUGGCAUGGCACUGCUGGCUCCAGAAGAUUUUGUAUCACCCAUUCGAUUGGCGGCAGCAGUUGCAGCUGCUACUGCUGCAGCAUGUUGGUUGAAUGGAAAGAUGAAUGUUGGCGGUUGCUGUAAAAAACAAGGGUGCACGGGAAAUUAUAUAAGGAAAAAAUACAAAAAAGAACCACAAGAAAUACUAGCAAUGAAUAGCAUAAAUAUCCACAACAAGCAUACCAUCAAGUUUGGUGGCAUGGGAGAAGAGGACUGCUGCGCUUCAUGAGCUGGAGGUUGCUUCCUUUGGUUUGAUUCAGCAACAGUAGCACUGCUGGAUGCCCCUUUAUCCUUGGAGAGGCUCCCCUGGAAAGGAGAAGACACCAUUGAAGGAGUCUUAGUUUCUUGCAGCGGGGCUUGUGCCCGGACAGGGUAGCCCCCCUGCAUUGGGUUCGCGAGAAGGGAGGCAGCCUCUGCAGGUGGAACAACCCCCAUGUUGAAUGGCCCUCUAGGACCAAAGAAUGGUGCAGAUCUUGAUGCGGCGGCAGCUGCUGCUGCAGCCGCUGCUGGGGGCCAGAAGUUCAUCUUUGUAAGUCGCUGGUGGUAUUGGAUCUGCUGUGCAAUGUAACAAUGUGUAGCGCAGCGCUUCGGUCGUUCUGGCAGAGGAGGCAAUGCAGGAUGCUGCAAUGUAAAAAACCUUCAGACUUGGCAAAGAAAUUCACUCUAAACAUACAGAACCACACCAUAGCUCAAGUGAGAAAAACGAACCUGUAAUCCAGCCGAAGUCCCUGGCUUGAUGUCCAUAGGAUGAUGAAGGCCAGGAGCUGAUAAUCCAGGAACAGGGGCAAUGUAACUGCCAAGAUAAGAGACAAGAGGUUUCAGACCACAAAUCCUUCAGGGAGGAAGAGUGCCGUGUGAAACGUCAAACAUCAGUGAGAAAACUCACCUAAAAGGUGGGAAAUUCCCCAUCCAGCCCCCGACGGUCAUUGGCAUAGGCGGUGAAGCAGCAGGUAGAGCUGCUAGAUGAGGAAAAACCCAAAUCAACAAAGAAUCACCUUUUACAAAAUCAGUGAGAAAUGGAGAAGAAGCAAGCAAAAUUCUUACGUGAUUUCUCAUGCUUGACCUCGGACUUUGAGGGCUUGUGCUGCUGCUGCUGUUGCUGCGUCGGCGGCAAUGGCGGCUGCCUUCGCUCAGAUGGCGACUUCUCGUCGCCUUGGCUGGGCUUCUCCAAAUCCAGCUGCAGCGUGAGCUUCUUUGGAGCAAGCUCCUCCGCCGGAAUCCUCUGCGCCUUGUCGUCCUCCAGAUUGAUCUCUAGGCCUCUCCGGGACCUCUCGUCAUCUUUCUUUUCAGAAUUUCCUCUCCCAGCCUAAAAUCGGAGCAAAAGAUGAGCAGCAAAAGGAUAGAUCAGGAUCGAACACACAAUGCUCCAGGCUGAGGAGAUCAAUCUGCAGAAUUGGGGAAAUUGAAGCNNNNNNNNNNNNNNNNNNNNNNNNNNNNNNNNNNNNNNNNNNNNNNNNNNNNNNNNNNNNNNNNNNNNNNNNNNNNNNNNNNNNNNNNNNNNNNNNNNNNNNNNNNNNNNNNNNNNNNNNNNNNNNNNNNNNNNNNNNNNNNNNNNNNNNNNNAGGCAGGCACCUACCACGUCCAUCUCAGAAUCCAAUCCCUUCUUAUCCGCAUCAGGGUCGGAAGAGCCAUCUCUAUCAGGAGAUAGCUUCCCAGGAGGGGGAGCCUGGAACAAGCACAGAGGCAGAGAGAAAAAAGGUGAGAUAAAAAAAAAGGCUGAAAAGAAAACAAAAAAGGCAAUCAACAGUUGCGGCAAAAAAUUGUCGUUUUCAAUCUUUGCCCAACAAAUUCCGCAAGACCAAUUCAACCACACACGCACACACACACACACACACACACACACGAGAAGCAUAUACCCACCAUGAGAUCAAUGCAAAACUUUUCUUGACGAGCGCCAUCAGAUGCCAGCUCACUGAUAAAAAAAUAAAACAAUUCACACGAAAUUGUGAAUAUACUAAUCAGAUCGGCACAAUCCAAAGGCAAUAAUGGCUAUCACAACACCAAUAAUAAUAAAAAAAUCCAAAUGGCCCACCUCUUUGUCGCCGUGAUGGCCUCCCCAUUCCUGGCCUCAGAGCCGACCGGCGCAGCAGCAGCCUCGCCGUCGGGCUUGACUGGUGGCGCCGGCGGCUCGGCCCGGCUCUCGGGCCCGUGAUCCCGUCGAUCUGAUUCGCUGGCCCGGAGCUCUGGAUCUCUUCCUCUGUGGUCCUCCCUCUUCUCUGGCUGCUCCCGGGUAGCCUCCUGCUGCGCGCCAGCCGUGGCGGAGGCAGCGGCGGUGGUGCUGGCGCCACUUUCGGCCACAGCCGACACCGACGGCUUCGCAUCUGAUCUUGGCACCGGAAGCACUUCCUGCCUUGAGGGCGGCUCUGCCGUGUCCGGCUUUGCUGGGCUCGGCGGGCGGUUCUCGUUGUCGUACUUGACCAGCCGUGGCCGCUUCCUCUUUGGGGCUGGGAAAAGCAGUGAGGAAGUUUAUUAGACCCACAAAACCAAAAUUAGCAACAAAAAAUCGUUACAAGAUUAAAAUUGACGAGCUGCUACCUGUAGUGGUGAGAGAGGCUGAAUCUGCCGGCCGGACGCCAGAUGACGACGGAGCCGGCGAAGAGUUCCCAGACUUGGCCUCCGGCGCGUCCUUUGGCUCCGGCUUGUGAUUCAUGUUCUCCUGCUUGGGAGGGCAGGGGAACUGCCGCGUCAGGCCAAAUAGCACCUCGGCGACCUCGAUCUCCUCCUGGAUGAAGGACGGCGACUUGGAAAUCUUUGGUUGUGAUGGCUGAGGCGGCGCUGCCGAAGGAGCUGAGGCCGGCGACGGCCGCUGCUUCGGUGCAGGUCCAGAACCGCCGCCGCUGCUCCCACCGCCACCAAUCGUUUUCUGUGAGACAUCGGAGAGGGAGAGAAAUCAGUAAGUGCUAGAGUUAAGGAAUCAUGAGGGGAGAUGGAUUCUGUCGGCCUGAAAAAAACGCACCAGCUUUUUCCUAACAGGGGCGGUGGUCGAUGUGGAAGCCGGCGAGAUCGGCCGUGAAGGACGCUGGAUCUGCGAGGCUUCUACAGCGCCGGCGCCGCCGGUUCCACCGCCGGGGCCUGUCCACUCGUGCGAAGACCUCUUGGUGGAAGCUGCGGAAAACACGAGGAACAACGGUGAGAUUAGGGAAGAAGAGGAGAUAAGAAACAGGAAGAAGCGGCAACAAGGGCGGAAAAUUGCGUGCUUUGUGGUUGUGGUGCGUACCUGAGCGCGCCUUCCUGGGGACUGGAACACCGAUCAUUUCGUCGGCGGCCUUCCAUACUAUGGGGCUCUUCGGAUUGGAGCCCCCCUUCCGGUGCAUCUGCUGCUGGCCGUGGUGGUGGUGGUUGUUGUAACCGCCGCCGCCGCCGCUGCUGCUGCUGCUGUGGUGGUGGCCGGCGCCGCUCGGCUGAGGCGGGGACGGCGGAGGCGCCGUGCUGGGCGAGCGGCGCUGCACCGGCGNNNNNNNNNNNNNNNNNNNNNNNNNNNNNNNNNNNNNNNNNNNNNNNNNNNNNNNNNNNNNNNNNNNNNNNNNNNNNNNNNNNNNNNNNNNNNNNNNNNNAAGUCUCUCAGAUUUACCAUUCUGAAUAGCAAGAGAAUGAUAAGAGUAAGUCAUCAUGGUGAUCAAUCUAUUCCACACCCAAAUCAUUGCUCUGUAUAAGGUUUAGCAAAUCUUGCAUUCUAACACUUGGGCAUCCUCACAAGCAUUGCACAAUUUCUCUUGUACAUGAAUGAAGUUCGGACGAAUCCAUUGGUUCUGCAAGCUGAACGAAACAUCUAUCGUAUUUUUACCACUCUUAGGUUUUGUGCGUGCUCCUAAGAAAACGUUUGCUGACACGUCAUAGCUUAUCCCUUCAUGCUCUUGGGGCAACCUUUUUGAAAAUCUUGGGAUGCAUCCUUGGUACAUGUUGUAUUCCUUGAACUAAUUUUCCUUUCCAUUGGUUUGAUUAUCCUUAGGUAUUGUUUCAUCAUAGUAAUUCCUUCAUUUCAUCCUCAUUCUAUUCUCGAAAUUCCACUUCAAAAGUACUUGGUUACAAAUUUUGUCACCCACAUAGUUUGAUAUGGUCCAACAUUUCCUUCAAAUGUAUUCGGUGGAUUUGACUCCUCGGUAUGCAUGGUACAUUCCUAUUCCUUGGAUCCUGUGGUUUUACCGAUUACUACCACACUUAAAAUGAAAUAUACUCAUGCCUGCAUAUACCAUAUUUUCUCAUAUCCUCAUAAAUGGUCAGAGAUCUUUGUUCAUAGAGAAACAUCGCAUAUAGUUUCAACAUAGGACAUCAUGACACAAUAAAUUUUAUUGAUUCAUGAAGUUAUUACAAUCUCAGAGACUUCCAUUACAAAAUUUAACUCCAUAAACUCAUGAUAACAAGAGGGCUUCAUGCUACACUUAUUGCCAUUGUCAGAACUUAACUACUCCAUUUUAGAUUUCUUUCCCUGUGGACAGUUACUAGCAUAAUGUCAUGCUUCCUUGCAAUGAAAACGAAUGCGUUCCGACAAGUCUCGGGGCUUCUUGGUGUUUGCUGUUGCUCCUUGGGUUUCCUGCUUCCUUCUUGGGCACAUAUUGCUGUAGUGGCCCAAUUCCUUACACUUGAAACAUCUGAUAUGACUCAGGUCUUUAUGUGUCGGGAUUUGACUAUGGCUGGUGUACUUUCUCUUCUUUCCGAAAUCCUUCAUUCGGGCCAGUUCUUCUAUUUCAAGUGGAUCCAACUCUACUUUUUCUGUCGAGAAGUCUCCCAGAUAUUUAUGGCUUUCCUUCAUGCAAUCCUCUCAAAAAUGUCCUUCUUCUCCACAUGAGUAACAUGCAUUGGGAAAAAAUAUGGUUAGGCCUUGUCCAUCAGGGUCUCCAAUAUUUUCCUUCAUCACAUGUUCUUCUAAAAUCUUCUUCUUGAGCGUUUCCUUCAUUGAUUAUUUCUGUUGCUUGACAACUUGUUGUACGUUGUGGUAAACGUGACACUGGGCUGGGUAGUGAGUGGUUCCUUCACACAAGAAACAAGUCACCUGACUAGUUGGGCAUUCCUCCCCUAGGUGAUUUUCUUCACAAUGAGGGCAUCCAUCCUUGUCUUCUCCCUGGGUGUGUCCUAUUUCUCCACAGAUCUUACAUGCACAAGGUUUCUUCAUCGGGCUAUCAUAGCACUUCUGAAUGAGACGAGCUCUUAACAGAGUCUUCUUGAAUUCGUCCUAAGUUUCUGCUCCACUAAAUCCUUGUAUGUCAUGAUGCAUUUUCCACCAGAUAGCAGCACUUUGUGUAAAGUACUGAAGAGCAUGUGCCACUUCAUACUUCCUUGAAAUUAAAUUGCUCCUGAAGUGGUUCUCCAUGUUCUGAAUCCAUAUUUCAACUUCGAGCUGGGUCAUUGGUCCAGAGAUUACAAGUCCAGCUUCAUAUGUCAUCUAUUUGGUCCAAGGUUUUGGGGAUGAGAUGGGUAAGAGAGAGAGAGGGAAAGAGGGAUAUACACACAAUACAAACAAUAUUUUUGAGAAUAGGUUUUAUUUGUGGCUGUCGGAAAACACACACAAAUGACGGCUCACAAAUCAUCGUAUCUAACAUGGGUAUAUAACAGGUGUUUGGACUUCUAAUGGCCAUAUAAAUAUUGGAACACUUCAGGGUCUUCAAAUUCUUCGGUUCUUGAGAGUCUUCAAUUGGUGCAGCUUCAGUUUUUCAAAUGCAUGGUGAAAUGCUCUUUACUUUGAAGUGGGACUCAGCUAAUCCUUUAUGUGGUCCAAGGGGAAAGGGUAUUGUCUAACUAUUUGAGGUGAGAGAGAACAUUUGAUGAAAUCAGAAGAGAUGAGAAGUAAAGAAUGUUCUUGAAAAUAAAAUAUUAGAGAGAUGCUUUCCUAAGGGAUUUCCAGUUUCUAGGGUCAUGUCCUACAAUCAACAUGUUCUCUGAUACCAUAUCUAUAGCGACCCGACUCAAAACGAGUCAAGCCUCUGUGUGUUCCGUGCCAUCACUGGAUCAGUAUGCUGGAACACACAGUACAUCAAUGUAUAUAUCAAAGUGCAAUCACAUGUAAAAUAACCUAAAACUGAUAUAUACCUCAAAAUCUCAGCGGAAACAGUCAAAGGCAGUGGAGUCCCAAUAAACACCAACGACAAGUUGAGUGCAGACCGUAACCUUGAAUCAUACUCUUACUCGUCGAAUACAAUAUCUACAACAUAAGAUGUUGCAGCCGUGUAGGUCAGCAUAUCGAAUAUGCCGGCAAGUCAGAAAAGAGAGGGGUGAAAAUAUCAUCUAUACUAUAUGCAUAUACGACACAUGGGGCCGUAGUUUUAAGUUUGGCGUAAAGCAAAUUUUCCUACAACAAGAGAGGGUCAAAGCAAGAUUUACUACAUUGUUCGUUGUUAAUGAGAUGGUUCCACCAACCAAUUCUCAUACCCAAGUUAUAAAUAUUACCCACAUCAAUAUUAAAUGGUGUUGAGAAUUCCUAAUAACUUUAGUUCCUUCGACUCAAGUUGCCCAUGACCGUGGACACGGCUAAUCAAUUACGUUUGAGUACUCAGCAGAGUUUUGCACACGUUCCCCACAAGAUUUGAUCGCCUCCGUUGGAGUCCUCACACUUCAGGAUGUUUGAGAACCGGAUGAUCAAAACAUGGUCUUUCAACNNNNNNNNNNUCGGUGCCCAUCCAAUCCUACCGUUCUUGUACAUCUCGUAGUACCGCUCGUCCAAAGUCACCACGUUGUCCAACCAAGCCAGAGCCCAUAAUGACUUGUGGCUCUGCAGGUAAGACUUGGGUCUUCAAAUAUCCAUCCAUCUCUUUGAGCCUGGGUGAAGCUUUCCGAAAGAUGUCAUGGCGCUUCUGCAUGCAUCCCAAGUCCUCCGCUGGUUUUUCCCACGGAGCCCAUCUGAACCGUCCUUCACCCAGAGGUAUAUUUUGUUCUGAGGUCUUGCAAGUCUUGGAUUCUUAAGGUCUUCAUUAUUAAGUUUCUCACAACACCCAUGAUAAACACUCAACCAAACCCCGUCUACCAUGAGCAUAGCAAAAUAACGUCCCUGCCAAAGUAACAAGGGUUUAGGGGUGCCUAUCAUAACAUACUACUCAAUAACCAAAGUUUCCAAGUACCUACUUUCAUGCAAUGGGUGAAGAAGGUUGAAACUAAUGUAAUAAAACCAUAGGUAAAAAUGUGAUCAAUGUGAACUUGCCUGGUAAGGUUGAUGAAGAAGAAUAUCGCUCUCAAGAAAUAACUUGAUAGAACUAUUCAUCACUCUCCGUCGAUAUCUAUAUAAUCAAACAUAAUAUUCGUAUAAGCAAUCCUACUAUAAAUCAUCCUAGUAAUCAGUAUAACAAACAACAAUAAAAUUUGAUGCAAUAAAACCAAUAAGAAAUAUCAAAUAGAAAUCCAAAAGGAACUUCACAGAAAAACUAUGGAGUCUUCUACUACAACAAUCACUAAAUAGUUUUUGUUCUAAUUAAACUUAACAGAAAAUGGAACACUAAAAUAGUAAAAUAAUAGAAAAUAAAAAAGAAAAUUAACUAAGAUAACAGAAAGUAUUUUUCAUAAAACUGUAUUUUUUGAAAGUAUCAUCAAAUAGGACAUCAAACUAGCAACAAAAUCAAUUUGCAAGUUAUUACCGAACUAGAAUUGAUUUCAUGCUAUCAAAUAAAAUAAAAUUUUCUUGUUGUUGAAAACCUACUGUUAACUAACAGGAAACAAAAUAUAACCUUUCACAAGUAUAAACCAAAAUAAAUUAAAAACAAUUAUAGCAAAAGAAAUAGCAAUAAUCCAAGAAAGAACUAAAACAGAAUCUGUUUUACACACAAUAUUGAUUAAAAGUACUCCAAAAAUUCUGAAAUUUUACCUAGUGAUAUAUAAGAUCACUAGCGAUCAGCAGCAAAAAGAAUCAACUAAAAAUCUAUUUUUAAACUCCAGAUAUUAACAAAACAAGAUUUAAACCAAAUCUGUUUAAAUUCAGAAUUUAAAAUUUCAAACAUGGUAAAAUUUUAUAUCUACAGAAACUACACAAAAUUUGUGAUCCAACGCAAAAAUAAUCACCUCAAUUGGAGUUAUAGAUUAAAAGUUAUAAGCAAUCUAAAAUCAGGUCCAAAUCUGUUUCAGAAUUAAAAACAGAAAAAGAUUAAAAGAAAAGGUGAUGUGGCAAGCUGUGAUUGGCUGGAGAUCGUGCACGGUUUAGGCUAACUAACGGACGGUCGCAAUAUAAAGGAAACCUUUCGGUUUUAAAUUAACUAACUGGGAACCGAUCGGUUUUCUAACUAAAACCGAAAGGGUAUCCUAAUCUAAUCUAGAGCGUAUAUUAUGGAUCCAACGGUGGGAAAAAGAAAAAAAGAGAGAGAGGGAGCUUACCGUGGCAAAGAGGAGCUCCAGCGCUGGUAAUGGUGCAACUGAAGGUGAGGUGGCGAGGGGAGGCGGCUCGGGUGGUGUAGGGGGCGGCGUGGUGGUGGUUGCGGCGAAGGAGGGUCCCGACGUUCUCCUGGUAGCGUCAGGAGGGUCCGAGGGCGAAGGGAGGUGGGGCGACACGAGCUCCUAGUUUCGGCCUGAGCAGGACCUUCGGCGAGGGUGGAGGGCGGUGCUGGGGCAUGGAGACAAAGGGGUCUUGGGGAAAAUGGAGAGGGGAGGGGGUGAGGAUCUUAAAUAGGGCCUCGAGGGGCGAGGGGAAGGAAGGUACGCGGAGAUCGGGGAAAGGAAUCGACAAGGAAUCUUCGUGGAAGUUUCACGCGGCACGGAAGGAAAGGAGACGACAUGUGGAAGAAGGAAGGUAUCGGGCCGGAUCAUAUAUUCCUAACGGGCCCAGAUGCCUUUCCAAAGAAAACGAUUUGUUUCCUUUUAAUAAAAACCUGAAGGUAAAACUUAAAAAAUUAAAUAAAUAUACUUCCAAAUAUAGAAGUAUUAUAUACCAAAAUUAUCAGAAAAAUAAAUCCAAUAAGAUGGACAUUUUUCCAGGGCUAAAAUAAAAACUUCAGAAGAAAUAUUAUGUUUUCAGAAAAUUGCCUAAAUGAUUUAUUUCCUUUUACAAAGAUUUUUCAAAUGACCUCCUAAGUUUUAGGGUUCAAAUAAUUUUCAAAAUGCCCUUGGUUUGAAGGGUCAUGUUCCUCCUGUCAUAUUUUUUUAAUAUAUGUAUUCAUUUAAACAUUGAAAUAGCAAUAGGAUCAAAUACGAAAAUGAAAUCCAUAUAGGAAAUCUUUUAUUAGUUUUCAAAUCCACCUUUCAAAAUCUUUAUAGUUGAAGAAGUCAUGUUAUCUUCUCUCACUGAUUUUAAAUGGAUGAAUUUGAAUUAAAAGAAAAUGGGAAAGUCCUUUUAUUCCCUCUCAUUCAAAAGUUUUAAAAUGUUUUCAAAUUUCACUCAAGUUUCAAUCACUCAAACAAACAAACAAUCAAUCUAGUAAUUAUAUUAACAUUCCAAAAUUUGGGAUGUUACANNNNNNNNNNNNNNNNNNNNNNNNNNNNNNNNNNNNNNNNNNNNNNNNNNNNNNNNNNNNNNNNNNNNNNNNNNNNNNNNNNNNNNNNNNNNNNNNNNNNCCCUCGAACUACUAGACUCGCUCGGACGCCAGCAUCCUGGCGUACGCCGCCUUGUCCGGGGUGGCAUUAACGGCGUCGGCCGCCUCCUGGACCUGCCUCUAUAGCGACGCCAGUUCCGCCUUGGCCUCCUCUUCGCCCCGGCGGGCGGCCUGGAGGGCGGCCUCGGUGCUCUCGAGCUGAGCCCGCAGCCCCUCCGCAACCUCCUGAAUGUCACCGAGCUUGAGCUUCUUGGCUGCGGGUGUUCUGGAGAAAAGGGAAGAAGAACCACCAAGCAGAAAACGGGACAACAAGGAAAGGGAGUGCAAGAGACAAACUUACUCAUCGGCUAGAGUCUAACGGCGGCGGAUGCGCAGCGACCCCGAGGGUCCUCCGCCACUACUCCCGGGGGCUGACGAGGGCAUGGACAGAGCCACGCAUUUUCCCCGGCCGGAAUCGCCUCGUGGAGAUGCCAUGGAAGACGAAGAAAUGAAGGGGAGAAGAGGUGUUUCUCGAUGGAGCUAGGGAGGCAAAGAGGAAUCUCAUGAUCGCGGUGCCUCCCCCUUACCAGGGGCGGGGUAGAUUUAUAGGCGAACGACGACCACCAACCGUGGUGGGAGCGCGAGCGUCGCGCGCCCCUCGGGGGCCGCGAGGUGGGCCGACGGGAGCGUUGCCUCACACGUCGCUUCACCUGUCAACCGAGCGGUCACGUCUGCGAGGGCCAUUGGGUGCGGUCAGGCCGCACCGAUACCAUUCAAUGAGAACAAUGANNNNNNNNNNNNNNNNNNNNNNNNNNNNNNNNNNNNNNNNNNNNNNNNNNNNNNNNNNNNNNNNNNNNNNNNNNNNNNNNNNNNNNNNNNNNNNNNNNNNAGUUCUGCUCCCCUUGGUGACAUCAUCCAGAAUCGGGAGGCAACUGGGCAAAUCGCCAAAUGGGUGAUAGAGCUUGGGUCUCAUCACAUACAAUAUACUCCCCGCACAGCUAUCAAGUCCCAAGCACUAGUUGAUUUCGUUAACGACUGGACAGAGCUACAGGCUCCGGAAGACCGGCCUGACCUUACCUGGGGGGGGGGUGGACUAUUUACUUUGAUGGAUCCAGGUAGCUGGAAGGCUCAGGGGUUGGUGUUGUGUUAGUAUCCCCUCAAGGAGAUAGGUUCUGUUACGUUCUCCGACUCAUGUUUCCCUGCACUAAUAAUGCGGCGGAAUAUGAAGCUUUGCUUCACGGCUUGCGACUCAUAAAAGAGAUGAACCUAACACGAGUCAGGUGUUUUGGUGACUCCGAUUUGGUGGCGCAACAAGUUUCGGGUACCUGGGACUCUCGGGAUCCCAUGAUGGCGGCUUACAGACGAGCUAUGUCUGAUGUGGCGGGUCAUUUUCAUGGCUAUCAGGUGGACCAUAUUGACCGGCUCCUCAACGAGGCCGCUGACGCCCUCUCGCGACUCGGCUCCCAGAGAAAACCGGUUCCCCCUAAUGUUUUUCUGGAUAUCUUGCAUAAACCAUCCGUGGUUUUACCCUCAAAGGAGGAAUUGGCGAUACCAGAUCCCGAGUCUCAGCUCGUGGUGGCUCUCCGUGUUAGUCCGGAUUGGGUUCUCCCUUAUCUGGCUUAUCUCACUCGCGGCGAGUUACCCACCGACGAAGUUUUGUCUCGCCAGAUCGUUCGGCGCAGCAAAUCCAUGGUCAUCAUUAAUGGCGAGUUAUAUAAACGGAGCGCUUCUGGGGUUUUUCAGCGAUGUGUUUCCCCCGAAGAAGGAUGCACGAUCCUAAAUGACAUUCAUUCCGGAGANNNNNNNNNNNNNNNNNNNNNNNNNNNNNNNNNNNNNNNNNNNNNNNNNNNNNNNNNNNNNNNNNNNNNNNNNNNNNNNNNNNNNNNNNNNNNNNNNNNNCGUCACGCACCUCGGCAACAUCCAACUCCAAUAUCAUCUUCUCCUCAUCAAGGCUUUUACGGACCUUCGACAACUUAUAUAUAAGCUAAUAAUAGAUCUUUUGCGUCUUUCGAUAUGCGAAGAGAAGUAAGAAGGUUUACUAUUGGGAUAACGAAGAUAUGACCAUAUUUCUGAUCAAUUCAACAGACGAGAUCGGAUAGUAGAAUAGAGAGAAGGAUCUUAUACUUUCUGAAAAUGAUAGAGAGUCAGGAGAGGGUCUAUGUUAAUAGUGCUCUUUAGAUAGGGAGAGGAAAGACGUAACUAGACCGUGAAAAUAAUAUAAUCUUUUACCGCUACAUCCGCUGGAGAAGAGAACUCAGCAAAGGAUAUUCCUAUCCUUUCUCUAGUUGAAGACUAAUCUGGAUAUUCCCUAACAUGCUUGACUUCGAGUUCUUGGAGUGACAACUUUCUUUGUACACAAGGGUCCCUUACUUUAUUACUUUUCCACUUCAUUGAUCUGAAAUAAGUGACAGAAGAAAGCUACAUGCAUAUACCCCUGCCCUGGGGGAACAAGUGCCACCUCAACAGUUAUAUUCUAAAUCGUUAAGCCUUGCAACCCUUUCUUUUGUAUCAGACCUUUCCCGAUUUCCUUACUUUCCUUGUUCACUCAAACUUCAAAAAUUCCUUCCAUGAAUCUAGGGACGGAAAACCACCUGUGACUUCGCCAAGUCUCCCUUUCUUUGGUCGAAGGCCUCAGGUCAAGAUCCUUUUUCCUAUCUAUUGAAAAUGCAUAGAGAGAUGCUUCUUCCUCUUCAAGUUGGAAGUGUAAGAAGAAAUGCGGUAAAUAGGAGUUCCAUCUACCACGCACUCGACCCACACUCCAGCUAACUUCAGCAUCCAUACUCAGCUAUGAGGAAAAAAAGCUACUGAUGAGCAUCUAUUGGAGUCGAUCAUUUCCAAGAUCUAAUUCUAGUUUCUUAUUAUGUAGUUGAAACACCUCACAAUCUUCAGUUUUACGCUUACGCUUAAGGGAUGAAAUGUUGUUGGUGGAUGCAGGACCUAGUACUACAAAAAUUUGCAUGCAAGAUGAGCUUACAUGAGUGCCAAUCAAGGGAGCCGCCAGGCUUGAGAAUAAGGUGGUAUCAAAGAAUUAGUGGCUAGUGAAUGACUCAUCAAAAAGCGGAUUUCUAAGAGGUUCUUUAUCGAUCUAGUGGCCAAUGAAUCACUUAUCAAAGAGCGAGCAGCCGCCAGGUUUAAUGAUUUUGUGGACCCUGGAUGUAGCGGCUGGUGAACCGCGUCUUCUUCCACAAAGAUUCAGACAAAACCGAGCUUGGAUAGAACUAAAGAAGAUUUGGCGAACGAAGAAAAAUGUCAAAGGGUUUAGUAUAAAAAAAUCAAAGGAGGUUAUUCGGUAGCCAUCGCGGGUUUCAUUACUUUUCUUCCAUUCAAAAAAGCUCUUCACAAAAAAAGGAUAGCGAAUGAUCGAUUCACCAUUGAUAGCAUUAAGCCUACAAGGAGGGAUAUUGUGAUAAUAGUGACCUUCGGGCUACCAUGUCAAUUGUAAAAAGUAGUUGAUUCGUGUCUUGCAGGAGCAAUAAUAGUGAAAUGAGGACGUAAGCCCCCUAGGUCUUCCUCUUCCUUCUAAACUAAUUGCUUUCGCUUGACUCUUCCAGGAGAAAAGUAUAAUAAGUGGCUGAAGGAAAGCGAAAAGGAAUGGCUUUUUCAUGUACCAGAUCCGUGAUCUAGACAUCAAGCAAAAAUGUACAUACAAUCAAAGAGAGCAGUUAUUUGUAGUGACUGGUGUAUUGGUUAGAGAUGCAAGGAGAGACUCGGUUAUGGUGUGGUAAAGAUCUUGCUCCAAUUCUCUGAUUCAGGUAGAAAGUAAGAGCAGUAGAAUAUUCGUAGGAGAGAUUUUUUACUUGAAAUUACUAGUCCUGGUAGUUCGAAAAAAGCUCUGAAUACAGAUUUAAAGCAUCAAUAUAGGUAGUCCAAUCAAUAUAUUUCCCUUUUUCCAGUCUCUGAUCGGAUGAUUGCCGCUUGUGUGAAUUUCAUUGUUGUGGGUCCCGUGUGUGCUCGAAUAAUAUUAUUUUAGGAUUCGAUUUAGUUGAAUUUCUUGACUCCGCGGUGCUGGUUAUCGAGUUUAUGGCGCCGGCGACCAUCCAAAAAGUCAAAGAUGGCGCCGGCAUUUACUUAUUAUGGUCUCUUCUAAUAGUGGUCCCUUGGUAUUCAGGUUGUAAAAUCCUCAUAGGAACGUCGAUUGUUAUACCUUGUUUUUGUAAUGGUCUAUCUUAUUUAAAAAGCCGAAAGAUAAACAAGCUCUUGGAACCGAAGGUAUGUCUGAGCAUUCUGGGCAGGUCGCAAGAAGCCGCUUUUAGAAGGUUUGGAGCAACCGCAAUUUUUCACCAUAUUACCCGCUUCCAAUUUUUCACCAUGCCACCGUGGGACCGCUUUCGCGAGCUCUGCCUUCUCCGGUUUGGCCCCCCCAUCCGUGGCAGCCGACUGGCAACCCUCGGCCGCUUACCGUUUACCUCAACGGUCCAGGACUACGCCGACUGAUUCCAAGCCCUGGCAUGCCACGCGCCAGGCAUAUCCGGGACUUCGACGCCCUCACGAUGACAUUAUGGCGGGUGGGGCGCCCAAAUGGCCUUGGCCGCCCCCCCCCCCUCCCCCCCCUCCCCCCCUUUUUGUUUUUUUUUAUCUAAAUUACNNNNNNNNNNNNNNNNNNNNNNNNNNNNNNNNNNNNNNNNNNNNNNNNNNNNNNNNNNNNNNNNNNNNNNNNNNNNNNNNNNNNNNNNNNNNNNNNNNNNUUUCCGCGGCAAUCCUUCUUCUCCUUCUUAAUACCACGCGUGGCGUAGUAAUCUCAAAUAGCCUGCGGCCAAGCCCCGUGGCGCAAGUUCUGUAGUAACCACCUACACUCGACCUCGAGAACCCUGGCCGCCGCCUCCUCAUAUCCAUCCUCACACCUAUAGAAGGUCUGCAAUCAAACGUGAAAACACCGAUUAGUACAAUAAUGAGGUAUAUGCUUAAUUUUAGAUUCUGUAAAAGGAUAAUUUACCCAAAAGCUCCUGAUCACCAUCUCGGCCCUCGUGUGGCACAAGACACCAUCUAUAAUCUCCUCCGGCGGGGCCUGCGCAGCCUGGUAGUGCUCCCAGGUAAAUCCUAGUGUAGGAACCUGACCCUCACCAGGCAACGUGACAAACCCCGGGAAAUUUGUCCGGCAAAGCACACCAAGGACGGAGUUCGGCCUGCGGCCUCCAAGAGGGUGUACCCAUCCCCUGCAGUAUCAUAAGGUCAGCGCAUUAGAUAUUUGAACAAACUUGAAGGCAAAAGCUAAAAAAAGGGUAAAUGUACUUACCUAUCUCCUUCAGGUUUUAUCACCGGCCUCUGCUCGCGGGUAGCCGGGGCGACCGGGAGACGUGUACUACCACGCUUGUACACGGUAGCCGGGGGCCCGUCCACCUGCACAUCGCAAGCUCAUCCCCGCCAUCCCCGCACCCUGAGCCACCCGGACCCUCGGUCCAAUCCGGCAACUCGGUACGAUCCGGCCAAGGCUCCCAUCCGGACCUCUCCACGUCGGGUGAAGCCUCCGGAACCGUAGUCUCCUCCGGCUGCUCCUGGGCCGAAUGCACCUCGACCCGAGGCUGCUCCUGGACCGGAGUCUCAUGGGACGAAUGCCCGUGAACACCAGGCUCCUGGACCGGAGUCCCGUAGCCUCCUCCGCAAACGGGUCGACCAUACUAGUCCUAUGCUCGGGUGAAUGAGCUGGUGGUGGUGGCGAGGACGGCUCAACAGUCCUCCUGGAUCUUCCGCGGCCACCACUUCUCCCUGUACCCUUCCCCUUCUUCCCUACCCAACCAGCACCUCUACCAGCGGGCAAUGCCGCCGACGAAGAAGAACCCCCGGCUGGUGUCGAAAGACUGUCUGCCAAGGCUCUAUGGAGAGAUAGGGGUGGAAGGGAAGUACCACCCCUCGUGCGGGGCGCCUGGGAAGAACCCGUCGAGCGCUCUGGACCCGCGCCCACCAUCUUUCAACACCUGCCAUGUUAAAGAUUAAAAGAAAUUAGUACAACAUAAAAAAAUUGAAUGACUGACAUGAAUGAUAAUAUGUACAUGAAUAAUAAAUAUUAAAAUAUAUAGAUAUUAUCUUCUGUUGCCCGGCUCUCCAAGGAGCCGGANNNNNNNNNNNNNNNNNNNNNNNNNNNNNNNNNNNNNNNNNNNNNNNNNNNNNNNNNNNNNNNNNNNNNNNNNNNNNNNNNNNNNNNNNNNNNNNNNNNNNNNNNNNNNNNNNNNNNNNNNNNNNNNNNNNNNNNNNNNNNNNNNNNNNNNNNNNNNNNNNNNNNNNNNNNNNNNNNNNNNNNNNNNNNNNNNNNNNNNNNNNNNNNNNNNNNNNNNNNNNNNNNNNNNNNNNNNNNNNNNNNNNNNNNNNNNNNNNNNNNNNNNNNNNNNNNNNNNNNNNNNNNNNNNNNNNNNNNNNNNNNNNNNNNNNNNNNNNNNNNNNNNNNNNNNNNNNNNNNNNNNNNNNNNNNNNNNNNNNNNNNNNNNNNNNNNNNNNNNNNNNNNNNNNNNNNNNNNNNNNNNNNNNNNNNNNNNNNNNNNNNNNNNNNNNNNNNNNNNNNNNNNNNNNNNNNNNNNNNNNNNNNNNNNNNNNNNNNNNNNNNNNNNNNNNNNNNNNNNNNNNNNNNNNNNNNNNNNNNNNNNNNNNNNNNNNNNNNNNNNNNNNNNNNNNNNNNNNNNNNNNNNNNNNNNNNNNNNNNNNNNNNNNNNNNNNNNNNNNNNNNNNNNNNNNNNNNNNNNNNNNNNNNNNNNNNNNNNNNNNNNNNNNNNNNNNNNNNNNNNNNNNNNNNNNNNNNNNNNNNNNNNNNNNNNNNNNNNNNNNNNNNNNNNNNNNNNNNNNNNNNNNNNNNNNNNNNNNNNNNNNNNNNNNNNNNNNNNNNNNNNNNNNNNNNNNNNNNNNNNNNNNNNNNNNNNNNNNNNNNNNNNNNNNNNNNNNNNNNNNNNNNNNNNNNNNNNNNNNNNNNNNNNNNNNNNNNNNNNNNNNNNNNNNNNNNNNNNNNNNNNNNNNNNNNNNNNNNNNNNNNNNNNNNNNNNNNNNNNNNNNNNNNNNNNNNNNNNNNNNNNNNNNNNNNNNNNNNNNNNNNNNNNNNNNNNNNNNNNNNNNNNNNNNNNNNNNNNNNNNNNNNNNNNNNNNNNNNNNNNNNNNNNNNNNNNNNNNNNNNNNNNNNNNNNNNNNNNNNNNNNNNNNNNNNNNNNNNNNNNNNNNNNNNNNNNNNNNNNNNNNNNNNNNNNNNNNNNNNNNNNNNNNNNNNNNNNNNNNNNNNNNNNNNNNNNNNNNNNNNNNNNNNNNNNNNNNNNNNNNNNNNNNNNNNNNNNNNNNNNNNNNNNNNNNNNNNNNNNNNNNNNNNNNNNNNNNNNNNNNNNNNNNNNNNNNNNNNNNNNNNNNNNNNNNNNNNNNNNNNNNNNNNNNNNNNNNNNNNNNNNNNNNNNNNNNNNNNNNNNNNNNNNNNNNNNNNNNNNNNNNNNNNNNNNNNNNNNNNNNNNNNNNNNNNNNNNNNNNNNNNNNNNNNNNNNNNNNNNNNNNNNNNNNNNNNNNNNNNNNNNNNNNNNNNNNNNNNNNNNNNNNNNNNNNNNNNNNNNNNNNNNNNNNNNNNNNNNNNNNNNNNNNNNNNNNNNNNNNNNNNNNNNNNNNNNNNNNNNNNNNNNNNNNNNNNNNNNNNNNNNNNNNNNNNNNNNNNNNNNNNNNNNNNNNNNNNNNNNNNNNNNNNNNNNNNNNNNNNNNNNNNNNNNNNNNNNNNNNNNNNNNNNNNNNNNNNNNNNNNNNNNNNNNNNNNNNNNNNNNNNNNNNNNNNNNNNNNNNNNNNNNNNNNNNNNNNNNNNNNNNNNNNNNNNNNNNNNNNNNNNNNNNNNNNNNNNNNNNNNNNNNNNNNNNNNNNNNNNNNNNNNNNNNNNNNNNNNNNNNNNNNNNNNNNNNNNNNNNNNNNNNNNNNNNNNNNNNNNNNNNNNNNNNNNNNNNNNNNNNNNNNNNNNNNNNNNNNNNNNNNNNNNNNNNNNNNNNNNNNNNNNNNNNNNNNNNNNNNNNNNNNNNNNNNNNNNNNNNNNNNNNNNNNGAGAGAGGAGGGGUGGGGUGGGACAGCUUUGCCGUCGGCCAUCCCUACCUUUGUCGUCUAUCAGCAGACGGCAAAGAGGUGGCUGAUGGCAAAUAUUUAUUUUGCCAUCAGCCUCCUCUUUACCGUCCGUUUUUUGCCAACACACGGUAAAGAGGUUCUUCGCCGUCCGCUGGCUGACGGCAAAGAUUUGGCGGACGGAAAAUAUAGGAAUUCCAGUAGUGACUUCUCCCCCUUUGGGAACAAGUUACCAAAAAGUUCAAAGGUCUGGAACUAAUCGUCUCGCUGGGAUCGAUCUCCUCCGGUAGAUGGCGAUGGAGUGGACAGGAGAGCAUCGAUGAAGGCUUCGACAGAUGUCCCUGGAGCUGGAGGUGUCAACAUUGCAGGUGCAGGAGAAAGAGCUUAAUCUAAAGCUGUUGAAGCUUGAGUUGAUGAAAUUCGUCUUACUUUAGAAACUGGCACAGCUGCUGACCUAGACUGGGUCAUGAACUGAGAAGUAGUGGGAAGAGACGACUCUUCAUCAUCACUUCUCAAGCGAGAUAUAUGCACUGAAUCAACUUCAUGCUAGAGCUGUUGAACAGUGGUAGUCAACUCCGUCACCUUAACAUCCAGGUCAUUGAACUUUAUGUCCACAAUCCUCUCAAGACUCUUUUGGUUCAGCAAAAUCUCAAAAAAAAAACUUCUCCAUCCCUUGGAUGGUGUUGACUAGGAAUGACAUUUACUCAUAUGUGUUAUGAGCUAUGGAGCUGGAUCUAGGGCAUUCCUAGCUGCCUCUGCAUCUGCUGUCUCUACUCCCUCUCGAGCUAUAGCUGAGCUGGGAUGGCUUGGGUCCAUCACAAUUGCAUUAUCUUUGAACUCUGGAUGAAGUCGCAAGUGGGGAAUAUCAAGUAUAUAUGCAUGCUUGCCAAUCUUGGUGUUGAUGAGCAUCUGAAUAUAUGGAGCAUAUCCAUAGGAUCUCUACUGAUCUGCAGCAGUCCUCGUGACAAUCUCAACUAUCAAGCCCAUCACUGUGAAUCGGGUAUGGUUUCUAAAUGAUGUAGAAUAUUGAUGGAAUAACCUCUAAUCAUCUUAUCAUCUCCAUAUUUAGGCAUCAGGGUGUGUGUCGUUAUUGUGUUCCUAGUAGGUAUUCCUUCUUGGGAAAAGUAGACAAGGCCAAACUUGUGCAUGUGCACAUACUUAUGGGGCGCUGGCUUAUACAUGUUUGACAUGGAGUUGUGAUUCAUCUUGGGUUCUGAAUACACAUCCAAGUCUCCCUCUUAUGCCUUUGGGGCACCAAUGAUAGUGGCCCACUCAUCAAUUGUGGCCUCAUAUUUGUGAGCUUUCGUCAUCCAUACAAUUCUUCCUUCAGAAUAAAAAUGAGCAGUUGAAUGGAAUUGCAUGAGCAUCUUAUCAUUCCAAGCAGUCAUCUCUCUGCUAACAAAAUAUUCUAUGUCAACUAGCAUGAAGUUUUCUCUCACAUGGAGAAAAUAAUGUUCAUUGGCCUUGAUAUAUUCCCAAUCAACAUAUCUCUUGUCACUGACAGCGGAACUCUGUCAAGCAACAGAGUCUCAUAGAAAUCUUGUUGCUCCUUUGUGUGAAAGCGAGGGUCAAUAGUAGUUCUCCUUCUGAUAGAAUAAGGAUCAUCUAACCUCCACUUUCUCAGUCCUUGAUCCCUUCUCUUCUUCGUAUCCUCAGCAAAUGGAUGAGCAGCAUUGUGCGAUGGCAUAUGAGAUCUCAGAUUCAUUAGCAUAGAUGUAUCUUCUUCUUCCUCUGCAUCAAAUUAUGCAGGUGCAGAGCCUUUGUUCUUCUCUGCUGCACAAAUGUCCUUGGUAGUCCUCUUGGUAGCUGAUACGUCCCAAACGUAUCUAUAAUUUGCGCUUGUUCCAUGAUCUUUUGGGUGACAUUGUUAUAUGUUUUGCUACACUUUUAUAUCAUUUUACACAUAUUUGGACUAACCUACUAACUCAGUGCACCCAGUGCCAGUUUCUGUUUGCUGAUGUCUAUUCUGCACGGGCUUUUACCCAAUUUUCCGAACCCCAAAAAAUUCCAUAAAAAAUAUAUUAAAAAAAUCAGCAAAACAGAAGCUUUCGGGUCACCGAAGAUGGGCCAGAGGGGGCAAGGGGCCUCCCACGCGACUUGCUGGCACGGCCAGGCCCUAGGCCACGCCAGGAGUCUGCCUGGGUGGGUCCAACCUCCUCUGAUGCCCUCCUUUGGCCUAUAUUUAGGUCCCCGAGAGGAAACCCUUUGAAAACUUCCAAAAUCGAGAAUUUCUCCAUCGUUCCGCCGCAUCAGCGCUUCCGAGAUCGGGAGUGUCAGGAGACCUCUUCCCGGCACCCUGCCGGAGGGAGGAUUUACCUCCAGGAGCUUCUCCGCCGCCAUGGAUGCUUCCCGGACGUGUCGUGAGUAGUCCUCCUUGGACCAUGAGUCCAUGACCAGUAGCUAUAUGAUGUCUUCUCUCCAAUCUUGUGCUUCAAUGGUUAGUCCUUGUGAGCUGUCCUACAUGAUCAAGGCAUCUAUGUAAUUCUCUUGCUAUUGCUAUGCUCAGUUUGUUGGGAUCCGAUGUAUUAUGAGAUUAUGUUCAGAUUGUUAUGAGUUAUAUAUUUGACUAUCCUUUUAUAUUAUUUUCCUUAGUGAUUCAUGCAUGUUCUCCGUUUCUUUGUAUUGCUUUGGCCGAGUAGUAGAUUGUAACUCCAAGAGGGAGCGUUAUGCAUGAUUGUGGGUUCAUGCCCCUCGAUGUCUAGCUUGAGUGACAGAAACAUGAGACUAGGGGAUGUGCUUGUUGCCACCAGGGAGAAAACAACGGUUCUUGUGACCACAGUUGCAAGGAUUGUUUACCUUACGCAUAGUUCAUUAAUGCAGUUGUUCGUUGCUUUGAGUUUACACUUUGGGUGGGGCUCGCAACUUAAUAUGGGAGAGAUGUUCUGGAUAGAUAUCUCAAGGUGGAUGAUUAGUAAGUAGAUGCUGAUGAAUAAACGGUCUAGGGUCUUGGCGUACUGCCCAUUACUAUUGAACUUCUAACCAAAAAGUAGCAUAAUUAGCAUUGCAGUGCGUUCAUAAUUCUAUCAACUGCCCCACUAUGAUUUGUUUACCCAAGCAUAGUUGUUUAUCGUCUUUUUGGAGAGAGACAUCACUAGUGAACAUCAUGUGACUCCGGUCCAUAUCACCAUCAUUGUUUACACCUCCAUCAUUUAUUGCUUUCAUUUACUUUUCCGUUGCAAUCACUAUUACCUUCUCGCUUGUGUUUUGAUCCUUUGCAAACUACAAGGCCAGAGAGAUUGACAACCUCUUUGUACUCGUUGGGUGAAAAGUUAUUUGUUGUGUGUGUCGGUCCAUGUCUUCUGUUAGCGCCAGGGUGGGAGACACCUACUUCUUGAUCCUAGGAGUCCUACUGGUUCCAUAAACCUUACAGUCUCCGUGUAAGGGAAAACUUUAUGCUGACUACAUCUCAACCUUCCACUUGGGGUAACCAACGGGGUGCGAGAAGUAUAUACAUCAUCUCGUCAUCAAGCAAAGUUUUCUGGCGCCGUUGUUGGGGACUCCAAUCUUGAAGAUAGGGGAGUUGCACGCUGUCCUUUACCUUUGCUUUUUAGUCUUGUUAGUUUGUUUUCUAGUUUUUGCUUUAGAGUCUUAUACCGAAAACCACAAAAAAAAAGUUGAUUUGUUCUUGCUCGUUGUCGUUGCUAUGGGUUCCAUUGAGAACACCAUGUUGGGUGACUCCGCUAGGAGUCACAACAACAAUUAUUAUACCUUCUCCCCUAUUGCUCCAGUUACCACUAAGGGUCUUUGUACAAGUAAACCAUGUGACUAUACUAGUCAUUAUGAGAAUUAUGCCAUUGGCAUGGUUGCAUCGGGAAGCCACAAGAUCUUUGGUUUCAAGUUGCUCCUAAACGUCCCCAAACUUGGGAAGAUGUCCAAACUCUUAUAAUAGAGAGAAAAUCAAACGUAGAGGAUGACACUACAAUUUUACUUAAUAGCAACAUUAUUGAUUUUGACAACUGUAGUCUCUCCAAAGUUAUCACCUUUUUGCAAAGAAUGGCUAAAGAACCCCACUCUAGUACACUAAAUAUUGCCUUCACCGAGCAUAUUACCAAUGCUCUUAUCAAAUAUAGGGAGGAGAAGCUCACGCUAGAGACUUUUAUUCCUAGGAAACUAGAAGAUGGUUGGGAUCCUAUGGUCAAAAUAAAAUUNNNNNNNNNNNNNNNNNNNNNNNNNNNNNNNNNNNNNNNNNNNNNNNNNNNNNNNNNNNNNNNNNNNNNNNNNNNNNNNNNNNNNNNNNNNNNNNNNNNNAACUACCUGGUAAUACUUUUCAGAAGAUAUUCAGAAAACCACGAACCACCAAUAUGGUUUUAAAUUCGGUAACAAUCUCGCUUUUCAGGGAAAGAUGAUAUGAUCAAAAAGCGAAGGAAUGACACAAUCCUAACCCAUUGACCGAAAAGUGCACAAUGUAACAUGGACUAGGCAACACGGUCAUUCUUAGGAUGACGAUUCAAUAACCAUGACCAUAAGAGUGAAUUUAUUGUCCAUUAACUUACUAAGCAAUGGCAUUGCUAGGAGUAUUGAUUUCACACAUCAUGGUUCACUUGUCGAUAUUUCAGUUACAACCCACACGGAAACCGAGGGAUGAACAAUGAUAGCGAGAAGUACCACUUUAUCAAGAGUUCAUAACAGGGGUGCAAUUCUCACGACAUCCUUGACACAACAGGGUAAUACUCCCUGAUAGAACAUAACAAAAGCUAGAUUAGCAUUUUGAUCAGCGGAGUACAACUACUUUGACCCAAUCCAAGAAAUGGAUGAGGUACUGGAGUUUUCUUCUCCUAGUCAUUCGGAAAUAGAACAACUUGACACACCACGGGAAUAAAAGACAUUGAUGACACGAAUGCACAACUACUCUUGACUAUCCUCCCAUGGAUGAAGGUCAGAAUACAACUAGAUAGGGCCAACUCAAGAGCACACGAUUUCUCGAGUUGUGGAUGCAUAGAUUAGCAUGUCGAACGAGUUCAACAUAAUUCCUCCAGAUAAACCAUGUAGAAGGGCGGAGUUGGAAGAAUCACAAUAUAGAGUAGAGAACUCAUCAUGAGCACUCUUGUUAUGAUCUUUAGUUCACGAAGAACUUCUGCCAGAGAUGGUCCAUGGUGUUGGAAGAAUGAUAUACCAUGAACCUUGGGAACUAUAACAAGGUUACUAAUCAUUCCAAAGGAACUAGAAACACUAUCAACAGAAGUGAGCAGAAUGAUCCUUGGAUUCAAGAACCCAGAAAUAGAAUACCUACUAGCUAAAUAACAUCAUGGGAUGUUGUAAAAAAUGAUGGCCAGAAUUAUCACACUGGGAACAAGAACAUAUCUAGACUAUUGGGUAGUUUUCGAGGUAACAUGUUUUCCUAAUACUUCAACAAAACGUUGAGUUAAUAGAGUACCUCAACACAAUGGUUAGUGUGCUUUGUCUCGCCAAAAAGACAUUAACUCGGGAUGAGAGGAUUUGCAAUUGCAUCAGAUUAUUUAGAAACCUUGGAAAACUCGAACAACAUAACGGUUGUACGGGCAUGAAAUAUAAGGCAACCUGCAAGAAAACUAACAACAUAAUAAUUGAAUUCUUAUGGAGACACUGAUCCUGAGGACAACAACUACCCUAUAGACCUCCAACAAAGUAACUUGUCGUCGUAAUGAAUAGAUGAGAAAGCCUAAUUCUUAGACCCCAUAGAAUAAAGAAGAGGAUGACUCAGAAUAAGAAUGACACAAUGAAAGUAGUAAAAGAGCCUUACGUUCCUUUCCACAAACAAUUCCCUUAUAUAACUAAAGAGUUGCUAGACUCAACAUCGACCAGUUUGGCUUGGUUAUCCUACAGGCAGUCAAGCUCUGAUACCAAAGUUGUCGGGACCCCGAUCCUGAAUCAUAAGAACCCAACCUAUAACACAUCACAUCAAUUUGUGGCCUCACACACGGUAAACUCCACGGCUGCCACCUUACCUUGGCCGGGACCAUUUGCGUCUUUUGGCUCACGUAUAUGAAUCUGUCGCUAGAGCAUUCAAACGACAAAGAACCUGGGUCGACAUGACUAGUAAUAAACCCAAGUUGUACAUCCGUACAUGGACAUGCAUACAUAACACAGCAAAGCAGGUGUAGGUCAUCAGCGUGUGUAGACGAGUUGUAGCAAGCUACAAGGACUCCAUUACACCGCGUGACAUUUCCCCGAAGGGAUAGACACAGCAACAAAGAAGGAUACAUGCCUGCCAAUCAAUGUGUUUGGGUGUCGAAUCCCACACAUAUAAUGCAUUUCAUAACAUACACACGAUAUGCAGGAUAUGUGUAGAUACAACAUGGCAUCGCAACAUAACUCUAUGACUCAAGCUUUUAUUAAAGACUCAUAAGAAUCAACAUAGUAUGAUAUUACAACAGGGGUCUCAUGACCCGACACUCAAGUCAUACAAACAACAAGCGGAAGCAAAACAUGUCUGGGUACAGACAUCUACUAAAAGUUGUUGGAAGAGCAUGAAAAGCUACAACGACCCGACCAAAGAAACCAGAUCUUUGUGUGGGAUUCCCAAGCUAUUCCGGUCAACAUAGAACACAUCACGUAGAACCUUUUAAUGAGACUAAAUCUUCUCUGCAAAAACAUAAAUAAAGAAACCGUGAGUACAAAGGUACCCAGCAAGACUUACAUCAGAACUAUCUACAUAUGCAUCAUGUAUCAACGAAAGGAUUGUGGGGUUUGAUUGUAGCAAGCUAUCUUUGACUCUUGGCUAACCUGUACUAUAACUACAAGUUCUUUCUUGAGGUGGGAUAGCACACACGAGUCCACAUAUUCACCAAUUCAAUACACCACUAUGGAUCCACUCUUGUCUCGCUACGAGAAGGCCAUCCAUAGCACUCACACUUAUCUUGCAUGUUUUAGAGUAUCCAUUUAAAUUGUCUAUGUACCACGUAAUGUUUGCAAGUAGUCCAUAUCCGAGGACGCGGCUAUUCGAACAGAUUAAAUCACCCUGCAGGGGUAUACUUCUUCACACAUGGUCUCCCCACUUAGCACCAUAUGCACGUCAUGCAUCUCGGCAACCUUCAAGCGGAAGCACUGGCGUGGGUGUCGGCCACAACCGUUAACCACACAAGACACUAGUCCAGGUUUAUCGCCUAUUUGAGACUGAACCCGCAAGGAAGUUCGACCGAGGUUUCCUCUACGGCCCCAAAUGAUGUGCGCAGGGUUCCCAAGGACCACCAUCCCGGUGCCACUUGGUACACCGUGCCACUGUGUAUCUACCGCACAGAAGCCUAUCCCGUCGGGCAGAGCUAAAUACGGCCGCCAACACUUUUCCUACAAACACCAGAAACUAAUUGCAACUCCUGGACAAAGAUCUAGGCAAUUAAUAAGCCGAGCGGGGUCAUAUUUCAGGGCCCAAUGCAUGGUAGUAUGUUGUCUUGGAUAACAUACACAGAACUCAGUUCUUAAGGACGGUCCCAAUGAGACAACCCACCAUGUACUCCUACAUGGCCUCUCAUCGCUACCUUUACCAAAUCGGAUUCACACUUUUACUCUCACAUUGUAGGACAUGAACACAACCAUUCCGAUUCAUCAUCCAGAUGGAUCAGACCCGACACGACUCUAUGCAUAGCAGGCAUUGUAAGUAGGCAUGGAUGAGUAAGCACAACAAGGCUCAAGCAGUUCCUACUCAUGCUAAGUGGUUUCAACUAUUUACUGUGACAAAAUCAAGUCAUGCAGAGGAAUGGGUUCAACUACCGAGAACAUGUAACGGUUGAAUCGUGUUUGUCCUAAUGCAAUAAAAGAGAGCAGGAGCGAGAGAGUGGGUUUAUAUCAGUAUGCUCAAGGGGGUUUGCUUGCCUGACAGUUCUGAAGAUAGCAAUGAGUCUUCAUCAGUGUCAACGAUCACAUCAUCGGAACCAUCGUCUACCGAGAGGGAACAACACCGGCAAACAAGAAAGAACAAUAUUUACUUCACGGAAAUGCAACACUAUGAUGCAUGAACAUGAAAUGAAGAUGAGAAGUGGCAGGGCUAAUAUAGCUGCCAUUUCUUAGGUUGAAGCUGGAUUUGAAUUAGAAUUCAAAUAUCACUUCAAGCAAGGUAUUUUACAAAUACCUUUUUAACUGAUUCGACGUGAUGCUCAAUGAUAACUUGUUUUAACAUGCAUGAAGAUGGCAUUUUGAGGUAUUGAUUUUCCUAGCUCAAUGUUUGGUCUUGUUAAUUGAAGUGGAAUUCAAAUAUAUUCCAAAUUCCAACUCCAAUCUAUUUAUUAAAUUUACCCUAAUCAUCAUUUUUCCUACUUGGUGAUGUUAACUUUCUCAAACAUGCAUGAAAAUGCCAUAAUGAGAUUCCUUGCAUUUUUUGAUCAUUUUUCAUAUAUAAAUUAUUUUCAUUGGACUUAAAGAUUAUUUUCUAUGAUUUUUAGAAGUUUUCGGCAUUUUUCUGGAAUUAUUGUGACGCCCUCGAUUUAAUCGUACGCUAAUCAUACACGCAAAUGCGUACGAUCAAACCCAAGGACUCACGGGAAGAUAUCACAACACAACUCUAGACACAAAUAAAAUAAUACAUCAUCUUCAUAUUACAAGCCAUGGGCCUCGAGGUCUAGAAUACGAAAGCUCGAUAAACACACGAGUCAGCGGAAGCAACAAAUAUCUGAGUACAGACAUAAAACAUGGGGUACCUUAGAGAAGGCUAGCACAAAAGAUACAACGAUCGAACGAGGCGAGGCCUCCUGCCUGGGAAUCUCCUAACUACUCCUGAUCAGCAGCGGCCUCCACGUAGUAGUAGGCAACGUCGGGGUAGCAGUCGUCGGCGGCAGGGACCUCCAUCUCCUGGGCUCCAUCAUCUGGUCGCAUCAACGGAUCGAGGGGACAAGGGGGGGGGGAGCAAAGCAGCGGUGAGUACUCAUGCAAAGUACCCGCAAGUGUUACAUCAGAACUAUUCUAAUUAUGCAUCAGUAUCAAAGAAGGAGGGGUUAUAUGUGGACUGACUGCAGCAAUGCGAGAAUAGAGAGAGAAGGCCUAGUCCUAUCGAAGACUAGCAUCUUCAGGGUCUUGCAGCAAUAGACGAGAGUGGAACAGGGGUAACACAUUAAUAGUCAUAUUGUUGCAGCAAUAUUAAAGUAAGGUCACGCCUAAAGAUCCUCCCUCGACUCCCUCCGAGGAAGCAAUCCCGAGGCAAACUAAAUCCAGUUAAGUAACAAUUGUAGUUGUAAAAGAUCGGGGCACAACUCCAAGUCGUCCUGCAACCGUCGACACGGCUAUCCGAAUAGUUAAUUUUCAUCCGUGCAGGGGUGCACCACAUGUCCCGUCACGCUCGAUAACACUCUGGCUGGACAUACUUUUCUGGGUCCUGCCCGGCCUCGGAAUAUCGACACGUCGCAGCCCGACCUAAGACUAAUCAGAGAGGUGAGCCCGCCAGUCUAAAUCCUAAGCGCAAAGGGUUCAUGGGCCCAAUUCCCCUCCGCGCUCCUGCACGAUGCAAGGGCGGCUUACGUCAGUCCUAGCAUCCCUUAAUCACAAGCGCAAUGCAUCUCGGGACCACUCGGGCGCGCGCCACUACGAUUGCUGACAUCUGAAAAGCUUCGGCUGAUACUGCGACGCCGGGUACCCAUAAUUCUUCCCGCGUAGCCGGUUAGUGCGAAAAGGUCUUCGACCAACCCAGAUCAAAUUCCCAAAUCCAUUAACAUUUUAAUUAGGCCAACUCCACCCGUCUUACAACUAAUCACCAAUGAUCCCAGUAACAUGGUCGAGUAACUGUGUGGUUGUAACAUCGGUGGGAAUCCGAGGUAUCACCCUCGUUGUAUUCUGAACGAUGUACCCGUCAAGGUGGGCUUAGAGGAAUCACCCUCGGGGGUCCCACACUUGAGGGGUUGUACGACAGAGGCAUCGUCGGGAAUGGUGAAAGAGGAAUCACCCUCGAUAACCACGACCGACUAGCUAUACUACAAAGAUAUCANGGCAUCGUCGGGAAUGGUGAAAGAGGAAUCACCCUCGAUAACCACGACCGACUAGCUAUACUACAAAGAUAUCAUCUGGCGUACUUAGCGAGGUGUCACCCUCGGUACCCGAUAGUAUCUGUGUAGCUCGUACAACUAAGGGGGUGUAAGUGCUGUGUCGGGUCUGGCUCGUCGAUCAGAGAUCGAGAUUUGAAAACAAGCAGGGCAACUGAACUAGGGGGUUAGAGGGGAUGACUGCUCCACCUAUACUAGGCAUAUUAAAGGUACAGGACUAAAAGUAGCAGUUCAUCAAAAAGAGGCUAUGCCUCAGAUAUAGGAGCUAACUACAACAGUAGCAAAAUACUAAUGCAAGCAGUAGGAAGAAAGACAUAGGCGAUAUAGGAAUGAUCAAGGGGGGUUUGCUUGCCUUGCUGCUCUGCGGCAAAGGACUGAUCGGCAGGGUCGUAGAUGUACCCGGCACCAGCGUCAGUCUCGGGGUCUACCGGUAAGAAGAGGGGGAACAAACAAUAAAUAAUAGCAACGGUGCAACACAAAGCAUGCGUGGCAAGAUGUAGGCUAGACAUGAGCUAACGCAGCAACAUCCGUCAUAGACGGGUCGGAAGAAUACCUGACGGUAUUUUCCGGGUCUCGGCCUACUACCGGUCAGACUAGAAACGAUGAAAAUGUUCCAUGUUUGCUAUGAGAGGGAUGCGUGACACACGAAUGGACCGUGUAUCCGGGUUCGUCUCGUUCUGCUGAUCAACUUUCAUGUUGAAAAUAUCUUGAUCUGACUUACAGAUUAUUUAAUAUUAAUUUUUAAUGCUUUAUUCAAUAAUUAGGAAUUAAAAACAGAUUUAAAUAAUUUAAUAAAAUGUUAUUAUGACAUCAGCAUGAUGUCAUGCUGACAUCAACAGUUGACGUGAACUCACCAGCGGGUCCCGAACGUCAUAGGCACAAGUUUUAAUUAAGAUUAAAUAUUAAUUAAUCAGAUUAAUUUAGUGGGGGACCCACGUGUCAUACUCUAAUUAUUCUAAUUAUCCAAUUAACUAAUUAACUGAUAUAUCUAUUUCUUUUUACUUUUUAUAAUUUAAUUUUUACUUUUCUUUAAAAUGGGGGUGUGGGGCCUCCCUGUCAUAGACAGCCGAGUGCGUUGGCCCCACCAGUAAGUGGCUUUAGGCCAAAAACAUAUUUUAAUUCACAGAUACAUAACCAUACAAAUAUCGUAUUCCUCCACAUACCUAUAUACGCAAAUACAUACAUAAAUACGGGCCCAUAUAUACAUACGGAAUACAUCAUUUGUUUUUAUUUCUUUCUAACUCUCAUCUCUCACAACUCUCUGUGUUAACACACAAUAGACAACACAGAGUCUGUUAACUUUCUCAACAUAGAGGAGAGCCAAAUUCAUCUCCUCCUACCGGAGUCAAACGUCGACGUAUCAGAGCCCCGUUUGCCGGAACGGAAUCGGGACGACGAAGGGAACGAGAUAGUGGGAGGAGCCCGAGGAGGGGCUCACCGACGUUGACGAGACGGCCCGGUGAAGCCGGAGUUCUCGUGAGGCGGAGUAGACGAAGAGGAGGAAGACGAUGCGGUGACGGUGGUGGUGAUGCCGGUCACCGGAGAGGCCUCCCGGAGGUGGCCAACCGUCGUGACGAGGAGCCGGCCGGAGGGUCACCGAGAGGGUCCGGCCGACGAGANNNNNNNNNNNNNNNNNNNNNNNNNNNNNNNNNNNNNNNNNNNNNNNNNNNNNNNNNNNNNNNNNNNNNNNNNNNNNNNNNNNNNNNNNNNCUGGGGGAAAACGGGAGAGCGGGGGGAGAGCCAGGGUGAGCGCUAGGGUUUGAUGAUGGUGGCCGGCUCGGCCACUUUGGCCUAGUCGGCCAAGGGGGGGGCUCGGUUGCUUUUUUUCUAUUAUUAUUUCUUACUACUAUUUCAUUUUAUCAUUAAACCUUAUUUACGUUCUUUUACAAUUUAGUAUAUAUUUUUUUAAUUCGUUCUUUUAUUUAUACAUUUUCAUUAUAUUUCUUUUUCUUACUUUUUCUUUCUGACAUUCUAUUAUUAUUAUUAUUCUUUAUAUAUAUUCCUUUGUGUUCUAACUAUACAUGACUUUUAAUACCAUUAGAAAUGUCCGAUUCAUUUUUAUAACCUAUUAGGGAAUUUCAAUAACUCUCCCGACAUUUUUACUUAACAUCACAAAACGUUUCUCGUUCAAUUUUAUUUCUUUAAAUUCUGAAUGCGACUUGUUUUUCGACUAACACUAGAUCAACGAUAGAAUUUAUGAUGACGUGGCUUCAUUAGCGUGGGAUUACUGUCGCUUGACUACAAGGGUUACUGUAGCACAAAUCCGGGGAUGUCACAACUCUCCCCUAUUAACAAGAAUUCUCGUCCCGAGAAUUAAGAGGUAGAGGGAAAGAGCCCGGGGUAUUCAUUACGAAGAUGAUCCUCGCGUUCCCAAGUGGCUUCAUCCUUAGAAUGAUUUGACCACUUCACUUUAAGGAACUUGGUGACUUUGCGACGGGUCUUACGUUCAGCUUGGUCGAGAAUGCGGACCAGAUGCCCUUUAUAAGAGAGGUCUUGUUGCAGCUCAAGCAUACCAUGAUCCAGUGCUCGAAUAGGAUCCUUGAAGCUAAGAAACAUGGAAGACAUCGUGAACCUAAGAAAGGUUCGCCGACAGCUCCAAUUGAUAAGCCAGUCUUCCACGCCUUUUGAGAACAGUCAAAGGACCAAUAUAGCAAGGAGCUAAUUUGCCCUUGUUUACAAAACGGUGUGCGCCUAUCACUGGUGUGACACUAAGAUAAGCCUUUUCGCCAGGUUGAUAGACCAUAUCUUGAUGAUGACGGUCGUACUGACUCAUCUGACGAGACUGAACAGCCUUCAGAUUGUCAUGAAAAAUGUGGACUUGAUCUUUAGUAUGUUGGAUAAUAUCCGGAUCGAAGAGUGAUCGGUACAUUGAACGGUGGCUCGAGAAUUUCAUACGAAGCCAAGUGUAAAGGAUACUUUGGAGUCAAAGAUGUACAGGAGAGUCAGGUUUCAAUCCUGUGGAACUUUGGGUUAUGGGUCCACCAUGUGGGCCGAGAGUAGACAGGGGGGUCACAUAUUAUAUGGUCUUGGUAUCAAGACAUGUCAGAGGAUAGCCUGUCAGUUAUGUUGGAACAACAUAUAGGUACCAAGGGCGGGGGACGAAUAGAACCAUCUUCCUGCUCGUUACAACGAGGCGGACCAAUAGGCAAAGUUCUCGUCCACCGGCGGCUACCGAAAUGUUAUCCACAAUAGUAACUGGGUUUUACUGACAGAUUUAUAUACCGAGAAUUUUACCUAAGCAGGGAAUUAACACUGCUUAGAUAAGUUAUGCCACAAGAAAGUUCAAACAAACCAAUGGGAAUGAGAAUGUGUUCACUCACACAAAGAAUUUAAAGUAUACCAUUCCCGAGGAAAACGUAGAGUAUGGUAUACAUUUUAUGUCAUUAAGUGCCUAUCCAUCUGGAUAAAGAGGCAAGAGGGACCAUGAUGUUUACCCAUACCAUUCGGUUUGGAUAACUGAUGAGGAAAUAUUUAGCAUUGCGCUUUCAAUGUUCCUGUUGAAAUUUGAAGUACCACAUCCGUGCUUCGAGGUAGCAUCGAUAUGGUCAUCAGAUGAAGGUCAGACUUAUGGGUAUACAAAGAAGAUUCAGGAGGAGCAACUUAUGACAUAAGUCAUAUAUUCUUCGCAUGGAAGAUGGUGAAUCUUUCAUAUGGAAGAAUUUAUAACAAUCGGUCCUUCGGCCCGGUGUGCCACACAAGACAUCACUGUACCAGAUUACCUAAGACCAAAGUUAUAAUUAUUGGAAAAUGUUCCAACCAUCAUAUCUUCCUGGGAUUCAGAUCUGAUUGGUGUCAGGAUACCUCAGACUCAAGAUGCCUGAGAAGAAAAAUGAAGAUGCAAGAUUCUCAUGAUACGAGCUACACAAGCAAUCUUUGAAUCAUGAGUUCGACUUUAAGACAUAUGAACACAAUGUCAAGACAUUCGUGCCCACAUAGACUUAUUACGUCAAAAAGCAACUGAGUUCUCAUUUGGAAACCAUCAUUGAGGAUAACAAGGUUCCAUGUGCAAAUCUCGAUUAGCUCUUAUGAAGGAACUUCUUUUCCUUGAUCAAAUCAGUCAGUGGCUUGGCGUGCUGAGCAAGUUAUAUGCAGUGAGAAUAGCAAAUCAUCAAAACAUAUAACACUUCGCACUUGCAUGAAUGAUUUGAUAUUUCCCAAGAGGGAGUGCAACAAAACCUUCACAUAUUCACGGCGGAAAGAUUGCACGUGAACUUUGGGGAAAUACACUUCUUCUAUCAAACAUAUUCUUUACAAGCUAGGCACAAAGAUAAGGCUUUCAAGGGCUUCAUCGUGAAUCAUGAAUAUGUUGAUGGUGUGGUCGAUGGGCUCAGCAUCAAUCCCUCAAGAUUUUGACAGGGACGAAUUUCCAAAGUUAUAAUAUCAAGGAGAUAGCAUUUGUCAAAUCAAAUGGUAUAAUGUUGUAUGCUCGAGGGAACAUCAACAAUUAAACAUUGGUCGAAGGGUGCACUCGAAAAGACGGAAUGAGUAGCACGACCAAUGCUAAAAUGAUGAGUCAACACCCAACACACUAAGGAGGAAACAAUCUGUUAUUAACCUCAAGGUGAUAGGAUUGACAAAAGUAUUGGAGUCACACAUCAGAGUUCACUUGUCGGUAGUCUGGUUUGAAACAACACGGGACCAAGAAUGAAUGGUGAUGGCGAGAAGUAUUACUAUAUCAAGAAUCCUUAAGAGGUGCAAUGAUGUUCACAACAUUCUUGAUAGAAAAGGUAGUAAUACUCCAAGGUAGAAGAUGACAUAAGCUGAAUUAGCAAGCAACUCGAAGGACAACACAAAACAUGAACACGUUUGUGUUGGAGGAAAGGCAAAAAGGUUGCCGAUGAAAACACAAACCAUCGAGGGGCAGGGAUGGUAUUUUCUCAUCAAGCAUUCAAUUGACACCCUGCAAGAGCUCAGAAUGCUAAUGAUGAUCACGACACAAUUGUCGAGAACUUCACGAAGAUGUAAUCAAUCAGCGACGACAUCAAGCAAGGGAAUGGUGAAGCAAGAGGUUGUCGGAAUCACAGAUAAGACUGCUAGCUUAGAAUUGAGAUUGCCUUUCAGGACAACCAACAUGAUGUGGAAUUGUGUUCGAGGGAUGAAGGGUAUAGAUAGCAUGGUCGAGCUCCAACAUGACGAUGAUGACGUAGCUUAACAGCUUGGAAUGACAUGAUCGAGUACAAACUCGUAAACAAGGAAGAUUACUAAAAAUUGUUGAAUCGCAAUGCGUACUCGAUUUCGGUAUCGAUGUACUCGCGUGUCCAACAACUCAAACAUGAGAAAAACUGGAAUUAAUGAAAAUAUCAUAGUUGAUGAGGAACUCACACGAAAAUAUGUAGCUCCGUGAUAUCCUCGAGAUACGAGGGAUAAUACUCGAAGGUAUAUCAAUGUUAAGGCUUGGGUCGAUGUGUUGAUCUGAAGAAGACAAAUACUUUAACUCGUCUCAGAAUGAAAUAAAGGUAGGACAACAUGGUCAGAACCACGAUUGUAAUGUACCAAACGACAGAUACCAGAUCAAAUCAUAGAAUUAUUGAUUAUUGUUAUGAGGAGUUUGUAUAAUAGGAUCAACAUCGUUUCCAUGGGCAUGAAUACAAAGUUCAAGGUCGACUCCCACUUCAUCAAUGCAUCACCUGCCAUUUAUUCCUCGCCUUUGAUCAGGUUGCAGCUUUAAAAGGAUAUUCGGCAAAGUGCCAGAAGAGUAAGACUCAUGAAAACUCUUUGAGUCAUAUCGAUUUAGGAAGGCAUAGGUUCAACCCGUCGGGGCAUCUUAGCAACAUAUACCAUAAACUCCAAGAGUAAUUAACAUGUACUAUAGGAGCAUGGUUGUCAAAGCAUAGGAUACAAUUCUAUCAGAGGGAGAAGACACUAUUUACCAAUGGCAUCAUGUGUCAGGGGAAGCAAUCACAAGAAUUUUCGAAAGCAAAGGAUUCUGUCGGAUAAUAGAAUAGAAUGAGUAUGGCAGUACACAAAAUAUCUGAUGUCAGUAUCGGUGCUCAAUCAGAGGGGGUAAAACAUAAGGCAUCGGAUUAUAGAACAUCUGUAAAAUAUCGAUACUUAACUACCAAAGGAAUUAGGAUUUCCAGAUUGGUGUAUCAUAAACAGAUGCUCUGGUCAAGUACAAGUAAGUUGAAUAGAUUUAGAUGGACAAUCAAUAAAAAUUGAUUUGUCGGGAACCAGUUCUGUUUGAAAGGAUGUCUGAGUCGGAAAUAAAAUUAAUAAGUAUCCUCAGAUGAUUGUGUUCAUUCACACAGAGGUUGAGUCAAUAAGAUCAGAGGAAAAUCGCAAAGGAUUUUAAUGAAUGUUGCUAGACAUAUGGAUUUAACCAUAAUGCAAGUAGGUGAGAAAAGCCAAGAGCAAUAGGCUACGAAGGAUUUCGGAAGACCGAAUAGUAAGUCGAAGAACUUUCGAAACCCAUGACAACUAAUGAUGGACGAAUCCCCGAUAAGAUAAUUCGUUGCAUCUCGUAAAACAAGAGCAACUAGAAAAGAAGGUAUGAACGACAUUUGCAUGUAGUCAUCCAUAGUGGUUGACGAAGGAAGGGAAAUCGCAAGAGCGAUGGGCACAAGUUCUCGGGAGCAAGCAUCGGAGAAUAUCAUCGGAGUCUCCUGACGAAUCGAGUCAUUAUCAGGAAUGAGGGACUCUUCGGAAGGAAGUAUUUACGAGAACCUAAUGUCAGAGUUAUUAAAAUCUUUAACCCGAAAGAGAAGAGAGAGUAGAGCCCAGAGUAUAGGAAAGGAGUAAAAGAUACUAAUACCACCCAAUUGAGAUGUGGGCCCGUAGGCCACCACAUCAGUGUUAGUAAAGAUUUUCAAACACUAGACUCAACUUCGGCCAAGGAGUUGGAAAGGGGGCUACCUACAGGCAGUCGGCUCUGAUACCAACUUGUGACGCCCUCAAUUUAAUCAUACGCUAAUCAUACAUGCAAAUGCGUACGAUCAAACCCAAGGACUCACGGGAAGAUAUCACAACACAACUCUAGACACAAAUAAAAUAAUACAUCAGCUUCAUAUUACAAGCCAUGGGCCUCGAGGGCUAGAAUAAGAAAGCUCGAUAAACACACGAGUCAGCGGAAGCAACCAAUAUGUGAGUACAGACAUAAAACAUGGGGUGCCUUAGAGAAGGCUAGCACAAAAGAUACAACGAUCGAACGAGGCGAGGCCUCCUGCCUGGGAACCUCCUAACUACUCCUGAUCAUCAGCGGCCUCCACGUAGUAGUAGGCACCGUCGGGGUAGCAGUCGUCACCGGCGGGGACCUCCAUCUCCUGGGCUCCAUGAUCUGGUCGCAGCAUUGGAUGGAGGGGACAAGGGGGGAGCAAAGCAGCGGUGAGUACUCAUCCAAAGUACUCGCAACUCUUACAUCAGAACUAUUCUAAUUAUGCAUCAGUAUCAAAGAAGGAGGGGUUAUAUGUGGACUGACUGCAGCAAUGCGAGAAUAGAGAGAGAAGGCCUAGUCCUAUCGAAGACUAGCAUCUUCAGGGUCUUGCAGCAAUAGACGAGAGUGGAACAGGGGUAACACAUUAAUAGUCAUAUUGUUGCAGCAAUAUUAAAGUAAGGUCACGCCUAAAGAUCCUCCCUCGACUCCCUGCGAGGAAGCAAUCCCGAGGCAAACUAAAUCCAGUUAAGUAACAAUUGUAGUUGUAAAAGAUCGGGGCACAACUCCAAGUCGUCAUGUAACCGUGGACACGGCUAUCCGAAUAGUUAAUUUUCAUCCCUGCAGGGGUGCACCACAUGUCCCGUCACGCUCGAUAACACUCUGGCCGGACAUACUUUUCUGGGUCCUGCCCGACCUCGGAAUAUCGACACGUCGCAGCCCCACCUAAGACUAAUCAGAGAGGUCAGCCCGCCGGUCUAAAUCCUAAGCGCAAAGGGUUCAUGGGCCCAAUUCCCCUCCGCGCUCCUGCACGAUGCGAGGGCGGCCGACGUCAGUCCUAGCAUCCCUUAAUCACAAGCGCAAUGCAUCUCGGGACCACUCGCGCGUGCGCCAGUACGAUUGCAGACAUCUGAAAAGCUUCGGCUGAUAUCGCGACGCCGAGUACCCAUAAUUCUUCCCGCGUAGCCGGUUAGUGCGAAAAGGUCUCCGACCAACCCAGAUCAAAUACCCAAAUACAUUAACAUUUUAAUUAGGCCAACAACACAGUCUCACGGGAAUCCACCCGUCUUACAACUAAUCACCAAUGAUCCUAGUAACAUGGUCGAGUAACUGUGUGCUUGUAACAUCGGGGGGAAUCCGAGGUAUCACCCUCGUUGGAUUCUGAAUGAUGUACCCGUCAAGGUGGGCUUAGAGGAAUCACCCUCGGGGGUCCCACACUUGAGGGGUUGUACGACAGAGGCAUCGUCGGGAAUGGUGAAAGAGGAAUCACCCUCGAUAACCAUGACCGACUAGCUAUACUAUAGAGAUAUCAUCUGGAGUACUUNGGCAUCGUCGGGAAUGGUGAAAGAGGAAUCACCCUCGAUAACCAUGACCGACUAGCUAUACUAUAGAGAUAUCAUCUGGAGUACUUAGCGAGGUGUCACCCUCGGUACCCGAUAGUAUCUCUGUAGUGUCGUACAACUAAGGGGGUGUAAGUGCUGUGUCGGGUCUGGCUCAUCGAUCAGAGAUCGAGAUUUGAAAACAAGCGGGGCAACUGAACUACGGGGUCAGAGGGGAUAACUUCUCCACCUAUACUAGGCAUAUUAAAGGUACAGGACUGAAAGUAGCAGUUCAUCAAAAAUAGGAUAUGCAUCAGAUAUAGGAGCUAACUACAACAGUAGCAAAAUACUAAUGCAAGCAGUAGGAAGAAAGACAUAGGCGAUAUAGGAACGAUCAAGGGGAGUUUGCUUGCCUUGCUGCUCUGCGGCAAAGGACUCAUCGGCAGGGUCGUAGAUGUACCCGGCACCAGCGUCAGUCUCGGGGUCUACGGGUAAGAAGAGGGGGAAGAAACAAUAAAUAAUAGCAACGGUGCAACACAAAGCAUGCGUGGCAAGAUGUAGGCUAGACAUGAGCUAACGCAGCAACAUCCGUCAUAGACGGGUCGGAAGAAUAUCUAACGAUAUUUUCCGGGUCUCGGGCUACUACCGGUCAGACUGGAAACGAUGAAAUGUUCCGGGCUAUGAUAGGGACGCGUGACAGACGAAUGGACCGUGUAUCCGGGUUCGUCUCGUUCUGCUGAUCAACUUUCAUGUUGAAAAUAUCUUGAUCUGACUUACGGAUUAUUUAAUAAUUAGGAAUUAAAAACAGAUUUAAAUAAUUUAAUAAAAUGGUAUUAUGACAUUAGCAUGAUGUCAUGCUGACAUCAAUAGUUGACUGGUCAACUGACUAGCGGGUCCCGAACGUCAAAGGCACAAGUUUUAAUUAAGAUUAAAUAUUAAUUACUCAGAUUAAUUUAGUGCGGGACCCACGUGUCAUACUCUAAUUAUUCUAAUUAUCCAAUUCACUAAUUAACUGAUAUAUCUAUUUAUUUAUUUAAAUAAAAAUAUUAUUUUUAUUUUUUAUAAUUUAAUUUUUACUUUUCUUUAAAAGGGGGUGUGGGGCCUCCCUGUCAUAGACAGCGGGGUGCGUUGGCCCCACCGGUAAGUGGCUUUAAGCCAAAAACUUAUUUUAAUUCACAAAUACAUAACCAUACAAAUAUCGUAUUCCUCCACAUACCUAUAUACGCAAAUACAUACAUAAAUAUGGGCAUCAAAUACAUACAUACAUACAUACGGAAUACAUCAUUUGUUUUUAUUUCUUUGUAACUCUCAUCUCUCACAACUCUGUGUGUUAACACACAACAGACAACUCAAAGUCUGUUAACUUUCUCAACGUAGAACAGAGCCAACUUCAUGUCCUCCUACCGGAGUCAAACGUCGACGGAUCGGAGCCCCGUUUGCCGGAACGGAACCGGGACGGCGAAGGGAACGAGAUAAUGGGAGGAGCCCGAGGAGGGGCUCACCGACGUUGACGAGACGACCCGGUGAAGCCGAAGUUCUCGUGAGGCGGAGUAGACGAAGAGGAGGAAGACGAUGCGGUGACGGUGGUGGUGAUGCCGGUCACCGGAGAGGCCUCCCGGAGGUGGCCAACCGUCGUGACGAGGAGCCGGCCGGAGGGUCGCCGAGAGGGGCCGGCCGACGAGAAGGGGAGGGCCUCAGCCUGUCUCUUAUACACNNNNNNNNNNNNNNNNNNNNNNNNNNNNNNNNNNNNNNNNNNNNNNNNNNNNNNNNNNNNNNNNNNNNNNNNNNNNNNNNNNNNNNNNNNNNNNNNNNNNNNNNNNNNNNNNNNNNNNNNNNNNNNNNNNNNNNNNNNNNNNNNNNNNNNNNNNNNNNNNNNNNNNNNNNNNNNNNNNNNNNNNNNNNNNNNNNNNNNNNNNNNNNNNNNNNNNGAUGUGUAUAAGAGACAGGCCCCUGGCGGCGGCGCUAGGGGAAAACGGGAGAGCGGGGGGAGAGCCAGGGUGAGUGCUAGUGUUUGAUGAUGGUGGCCGCCUGGGCCACUUUGGCCGAGUCGGCCAAGGGGGGGGGCUCAGUUGCUUUUUUUUCUAUUAUUAUUUCUUACUACUAUUUCAUUUUAUUAUUAAACCUUAUUUACGUUCUUUUACAAUUUAGUACAUAUAUUUUUAAUUCCUUCUUUUAUUUAUACAUUUUCAUUAUNUAACAUCACAAAACGUUUCUCGUUCAAUUUUAUUUCUUUAAAUUCCGAAUGCGACUUGUCUUUCGACUAACACGAGAUGAACGAUAGAAUUUAUGAUGACGUGGCUUCAUUAGCGUGGGAUUAUUGUCGCUUGACUACAAGGGUUACUGUAGCACAAAUCCGGGGAUGUCACAACUAUUUCAUAGCAGAAAAUUACUUAUUGCGCCAGCUCUGCGUCAACAUUGCGUCAGCAGGUCAACUGACCUGGUCAGAGUCAAACCUAACAUGUGGGGUCCACACGUGAGUGAUAGAGUUUAAUUAACAGGGUUAGGUUAAUCUCGAUUCUUAUUUUAGAGCCUAGGGCCCACUGUUAGUGAGUCAUAGCUUAACUAAAUAGAUAUUAGGUGCUAAUUAAACACCUGACCGGCUAGGCCCGCUUGUCAGCGACCCAGACCGGUGGAGCUCAUUGCCGAUGGCCACAGAGCACGGCGGCGCUGACGGAUUUCCUCCUCCGGCAACCAAAUGGCCGGCGGAGGGCAUCUACACGGUCCUGGGGCUUGGCCGGAUCCAUUUGGGGGUGGUGGAUGGAGCAAGGGGCACUAGAGCAACGCUGGCGACGUGGUAAGUGGCGGCCGGAGAUCGGGCUCAUGGCCAGCUAGCUAGGCGGACGCGAGGAGCUCGGGAGAAGGGGAGGAAACGACGCGGUGGCUCACAUCGGUUCGGAUGGGACAGACGGCGAGCUCAGGGAAAACCUGAAUCAUGUGAAUCGACGGCGAGGACGUCCGGUGGCCGGCGGUGAAGAUGACGAUGGCGGUGACGCUUGAGGGGCUUCCGGCUCAAUUGCGUUGGCUGGAUGGGGUGGCACGUUGUGGCGGCGACGAGGGGUGCUCGGGGAGGGCUAGCAGGGGCCAGAGAAGGCGUCGGUGAGCGCGAGCCGAGCUCGUUAGUGGCGGUUGAAAGGGAAGAUAGAGAGGAGAAGGGAACCAUCGCUAGGGGAGGGGGAAUCGGUCCAGGGGCUCAUCCACAUCGUCUCAGACGCGGGAUAGGGAUGGAGGAGGCGCCUCCAGCGCGAAGCAGGAGGUGGAGGCCUCGGCGCAUGCCACGCCUCUCCUCCUGGUGAGAGGUUGAGGAUGUCUGGCACUUGGGCGAGAUGGGCUCCAAGUGUUGGGCCAGGUAAGUUUUCUUUCUUAUUUUUUGUCUCUUAUUCUGUUUUGUUUUAUAUUAGUGACAUUUGUUUUAUUUUAUAUUUUGGCUUCAGGCUUAAGUCAAAAAUAUUGAAAUUGUUUUUAGGGUUUUGUUUGGAUUAUUUCUGGCUCCAUAAAAAGAUUCAUCAUUUUUGAAAAGACUAAAAAAUAUUUAUAGCAAUUUAGUUAUCAAUUUCAAGGGCAUUAAGAUUAAACUAAAAUGACCAAAGAGUUGUUAAAAAGUUUAUCACCAAUUUAGUUUCCAACAUUUAUCAAAAAGGGUGAACAUUUUUGGAGGCCAUUUGGGUUUAUUGAAAAUAAUCCUUGUUGAACCUAUUUCUAUUUUAUUUGGUGCUAGGUUUUUAUCAUCCCCAUUUAGGGUUCAAAAGGAUUUUACCAUGAUUCAUGGAUGCUUUGUGAUGCAACCAAAAAUAAAAACAACAACACAAUCUAGGGCUGUGACAGAAGAACUCCUAUCGCCUAGGAGUCUCCAACAUCCAAGAGUACCAAGAUCAUGAGAACUCCUCAAAACUUGCUCAAAUCAGAAAUAGCUUGGGUUGAGAGGAGGAGUGGGAGACAAGCUAUGUGUUGAUUGGAGCAACCCUCAAAGGCACUCAAAGAUGCACUUGGGAUCUAGCUUUUAGUGUAGGCAAUUGGGAGUGAGAUAGAUAAGAUGUUCUUGGAAUCUUUUGGAUGUAUUUCACACCUCCCACUCGAGGUGGGAGAAGACUAUAUAUAGUGGUGGCACACAGGUGACCGUUGGAGCCACUUAUACAGUGCAGUAUCCAGGCAUCCGGCAGCUCAUGGUCGUCGGGACAGCCACGAGGGGUCGGACAUCCGAUAGUGGCCGGUCGUCCGAAAGAAGCACAAGGUAUAUGAUUACCAGAGUGUUUGGUGGAGAGGUAACCAUUAUACGGCCGUCCGGGGGACUUCGGUCGUCCGAAGACAUAGAAGAUAUUAGGUCAGCAUCAGGUGCGAAAGUGAAUAGCGCAUGGAUGACCGAAAGGCAUCGGCCAUCGAGGACACGGUCGCUCGGAAUGGUCGAUAGUCCGACAUUUUGGAUGUGUUUGGUGGCAACGGAUAUCCUACCGUACUCGGACGUCCGGUUCUCGGACGACCGGUUCUUGGACGGCCGAAGGGACCGUAAGUACGAAGGUUUGACUCUGUUGGCUGGCUCCGGAUUCCCAGACGACGUCGUCCAUCUGGGGUCCGGACGUGCGAGAACCACCGGAUGACCGAACAGGAGCAGACCAACUAGGAAGAUACUGAGAGUUGAAUUUCCAAGAGUUUUGAGCAAGUUUCUUGCGAGACCCAGUGAUCCACUCUUCAUAGUGCGGGAUCUCUAAAACUCAAGAUACAUAAAAGAGCUACACUAAAUAGCUACCAAUUAUCCAUAAUUGAUUGUAUAUGUAUAUUCGGUGAUCAUCACUCCGCAUCACUAACGUCAAAGGAACUAAUACCUUUGACUCAGACCUUAGACUUGAGCUUGAUGUUAUUGUUUAUUCUUGGCUGAAGCUGAAGGCAAGACAUUGACUAAGUUUUCAAGUAGCUCUCCCAUACACAAUGUAGAAAGACUUGCUUUGUAUUCAUCUCUUCAUUUUUCUAUCAUGUGAACAUUCACAAGCUUCAAGCAUGUAAUCAUUAGAAAUGAAUAUCUUGAACUUGUCCUUGUCAAACAUGAUCAUGAACCCUUGAUGUCAUCAUCUCAUGCACACUAGGAAUCUAUCUCUUCAUGCGAGCCCAUGAGAAUUACCUAAACCUUAUAGACAUAGACACCACAUAGUAUGAGUUAGUUCACAGGAUCCCAUGUGGUACAUCGUUUGCACUUGUGUGAUGACCAACUUUGAGUUAACUCUUUGAACUUCAUCUUGGUCAACAUUUAUCUUAGAUCCAUGAUUAAUCUUGAUGCCUUGAAGGCCCUAUUGAUUUCUUGUUAGGGUUCAUUUCUUUAACAAAUGACUGCCAAUAUCUCAAUUUACCAUGACCAUAUCAAGUUUCUCCAUGAAUCUCAUAUUGGCUAUAACUUGCUCGUCUUCAUGAUACAACAUAUGAGCUCAUCAUGAUCCUAUUUUCAAGACAUAUGUAGAAUUCUUUUAUUUAAUUAUUAUCUCGAGAUCUUGAUCCAUCAUGGCUCAAACCAUAAGCCAAAGCAUGAGAAUGUUUGAGAUCCUCAAUGAACUCCACAUAGAUCACAUUAGUUCAGCACAUGGAAUUCAUCUUGAUCGUAUCAUAUUUGAUUCACUCAUUGAGCUCAUCCUUGAUGCAUGCACAACAAUAUGUAUAGGACAUUCAUUUAGAAUUCAUUCGAACUCCUUCUUGCAUAUUCAUGGAACAAGCAUACUUCAAGUCAUCCAAUAUUCUUCAUGUGUUGCAUAGAGAACAUUCCUUCAAAUGUAUAACUCAAUGCAAACAUUAGUCCAUUAGGAUUGUCAUCAAUUACCAAAACCACACAUGGGAAGUACAUGGACUUUCAAUCUCCCCCAUUUUGGUAGUUGAUGACAAUCUCAACAAGAGGAUUUAUAUAAUGAAUUUUAACACAAGUAUAAUGAAUUUUAACACAAGUAUGCAGUUUACCCAAGGAUAUAUAGAGUACUUGGGAUGGUUUUCAUAGCCUCAAGUGUCACACAGAUACUUGAGUUUAUCACACUCGUUGUACUAACAUCAAAAUAUCACACCCAGUGUAUUAACAUCAAGAUACUUGGUAGCGUCAAGUGUCACAAAGAUACUUGAGUUUAUCACACUCGAUGUACUAACAUCAAAAUACUAUGCAAUAUAUAGAGCACACUCCCCCACAAUAUAUGCAUAUGUGAACAAACUAUGAAUUUUCUUGCAUAUAUUGGUUCACAUGAACUAGGUGGAGUUUUCUCUAUUUCCUAUAUAUAUACUAAUUCAUGCAAUAAAUAAUAUUUUUAGAUAUCUUAAAUCCUCUAAGAUUCUCCCCCAUUGGCAAAAAAUGCCAAAAUGGGACAAAUCUUGAAUACAAUAAGUUCCUCCUUACUGUACGCGUAUUGCAAGAUGUGAGUGAAAUAAAAUGCACAUAUUUAAUGAUAGGAAAUUUGAGGAACUCGGGAUCUAGAUAUUGCAAUAGAUGGGAUACGAAAAUAAGCAUUCGACAAACAUUUUAAAGAUCCAAACAACAUAUUUUGGACAAGGUAUAACGUGAAUAUCCAAAUCGAUCAUUAUGAUAAGUGUGGGUCCAAAAUACAUCCAAACACAUGAGUGCAUAAGAUUAUGUGCAAGACAUAUAGGCACUGACUUCGCAACCUCUUACCGACACCACCAAUGAAUCAAUAAGGAAGGAAUCAAGUGACCGGCAAGGAUCAAGUGAUAUCGCAAAGAUGGGAACUUACUUAUGUGCCCAAAUUUCUAAGUGGACACUAUGUAUCCACAACGAAACUUGCAUACAUAAAAAAUCACAAUUAAUAAGAACAUGAUAUGCACAAGUGAAUCCAUUAGCAUACACAUGUUAUCCUAACAUAAGAUCAAGGCACAUGUUUCAAGGUCCAUGGCCCAAAUUGAUCUCAUUCGCAUGACCAUAAAUUCCUAUGAAGAUACCAAUACUACAAGCAAUUAUUGUGUUUUUGGAAUUUUCAUAAAAUCUGCACAUGAGAGAACAUUUUAGGAAAUGACAUGCAAUGAGUUGCCUAUUUGGCAUGUAUUGGGAUGAAUGAACCAUGAAUAUGAUUUUGUAGAUCCCCAUUAGAUGAUUCUACUCAAUUGUCUAAACAUUGCAACAAAGUGUUUUCAAGAACAUGCAUGAGAACACAAAAUAGAAUAAGUACUAUUUCAUGCUAUGAUGCAACCUACACAAGGUUGACUCUACUUUUAUACAUGCAUGAAGUAAAUACUUGUUACCAAGAAAGAAUUGGUAUGGAGUAGUGAUGGCUGAGUCAUGUAUUCUUGGGUGUAAUUUCCUCGUGAUGGAACCACCUUUAUUAUGAAUAAGCCAAGACAACAAUGCUUCUCCAAAGUACCUAGAUCACUUUUAAGUACAAUAUGGUCCCCAAAUUUAUUGGGUCCGAAGUAGUUAGUCAAACUACAAUAUAUAGGGCAAAAACCACUCAAUUAUGUGCAUAUAGAUAUGAAUUUUAAUUUCAUGCACAUCUUAGCUUUAAAGGAUAUGACAGAUUUACCAUAUAUAUAUUGGGUCAAAAAGAAGAUAAAUAAGGCAUGAGAAUUUACACAUAGUAAAUAUGCCUACACAAGCCUAUCAAAAUCCAAAGACAUACAAAUUGGACAAAUGAACACAUAAUUGUUAAUACUCCCAAUAGCCUCACCAAUCAUUCAUGUUGUCCAAAAUAAAUCAAAGUGACAAAUAAACAUAUGAUAGCACACCAAGUUCAACACAUGUACCAAGCAGUACAAAUGAGCAUAUAGGAUAUGCAUUGCGCAUAAUAUUACAUGCAUGUCUCUCUCAAGUAACUAUAUUAUACUAUAGGUAAUGAGAUAAUAACUCCCACAACAUCAUAAAAAUAGUAAUACGAGCUCAAACAAAUGCAUGGGAGAUUACCGGGAGACAAAUGAAUUUCUUGGCUAGUUACAAAAUGCAAGUAGAAGCAAAGCCGAUAUAAAGAUGACCAUGAAACUCUACCAUACAAGGGAUACCAGGUGUAAGAGAACACAAUGGUAUUUAGAAUUAUCGUUCGGUGAUAGAUUCCAAAUAAGCACAAAGUCAUUUAUACUCACACAAGUAUGAUAUGGGAGUUUAGAAAUACGCACAAUGCUUACAUACCAUAUUAUUAACACGUUGAUUAGCUAGAUCAUCAUGUACAGAAAUAAUUUGAAUGUCAUACUCACACACAUCUAAGGAAUUAAACACCAAAAGAAUUAUUAUGCAAAUAGAGACACGUUGACCAUGGGAAGCCACAAAGAUACAGAAUAAUCUAAAUAAUAGAUUCUAAGUGGCAUUCAUCGAAUGUUUAUAUUACCAAGGAUUAUGAUAUGCAAAAAAGCAUAUCACUCCCCCAUAAUGUGAUAGUCCAUGUAUUUUCCAUAUUGAUUCAAUUUAAAUCCAACUAAAACUGAUCAAUGGAUGAGAAAUUGAACUUUUAGAUGACCUUGACAUACCACAAAGUAACUGGAUAAUCUUGCACUAUAAAUACUAUGUUGUGUCCAAUAUAUACACAUUUUAGGUUAGUGAUGUGCGUAGAGCAUGACACUCCCCCAUAAUGUGAAGACAGAUUAAUGUCUCAAAAGAGCCCCGUAAGGUGCAACCAGGAUGCAAGUAAGGAUUAGGAUUACACACACAACUAUAUGACAUGCACAACAACCUACACAUGCUAGAUAACACAAAUCAAGCAUACUAGGAGGCUCAACAUGUCAAAACACAUGCUAGGUACCAAACCUAAACAUGAGAGGGGCUAGUAACUUUCAAUGUCUAGGCUUGAACCAUAAUGACAGAUAUGAUGGUAAUAUUCUUGACUAGGCUUGAACCAUAAUAAAUGGUGAAAAUAAUUUUUAUUCAUGAACUAGCCAAGUCUCCAAUGCCCUCCACAGACCUAAGCAUCUGUGGUGGCUACCUUAUGAUAAUCAGAGUAAUCAUAUGGUGGCCUACUCGAGCGAUCAAAGACUAGAAUGAUCACUAAGUGAUCCUGAACACCUACCUACGUCAAACAUAUCCCCAUCGUGUUCUCGAUUAAAGAGCGAUCUCCGAAGGAGACAGUCACGGUUACGCACACAGUUGGCAGUUUUAUUAGAGUUACUUCAAGUUGUCUAGAACCACAUGUUAAUAAAAUAUUCUCAUUUGCCACAUAACCGCGGGCAUGGCUUUCCGAAAGAUUAAACCCUGCAGGGGUGCUCCAACUAGUACAUCACAAACUGCCAUGGGCCGCAAAGUAAUCCUCUAUCACGAAACUCGUGAACUCGUUGGAUUCCUUAGAGGAAAACCUCAACUUUGAGGAGACCCAAAGUUUCACCGGGAUUGCUAUACGCAAGAUAUAUCGCUAAGGUAAGACAAAUCUAGUAGGACCUCUCGACGUGUCGACGACCCCGAUAAGCGCCGCGUAUCUCAGUCUCAGGACACGACGAAUGGAACUAGCUACGGGAACCAAACCUCAAGUUUCCUCGCGAUGGCCCCGCAGGCAGUCCAGUUUGGACCAACACUCAUGAGGAGCAGUGGCCCGGGUUGUUGAUUAAAUCCUCGAGAUAGCUAUUCCCUAUGCAUUUCAUUGUUAAGUUAUUAGCAGAUUAAAACCAAUGUUGGGUCCUCCCGGACAAACCUUAACAAUAUACGAUUUAUCAAGGGGGUGCCCAUAACAACCCCGACAGUGUUAGGAGCGAUCAGUUACGGAAUCAAACACGGGUAACUGAAACUAAGGCGGCAACAAUGGAACAAAUCAGCCGGCAAAAGGCUAGGCCUUCCGUUAUUUACCAAGUAUAUAGGUGCGUCAAUUAAUAGCAGUUUAAACAUAAUGAUAACAAAAUACCCAUGUUAUCACAUGAGACAGCUGGCACCUACAACUAGCAAAGCUACUCAUUAGAGGUUGAGCAAGCCUACUUAGCCAAACAACAUUUGCUAGGAAAUGGAGGUGUUUGAGGUUCAUGGCAAAGACAGGAGGCAUUUAUAUCAAGGGGUAGGCAGCGAGCAUGUAACAAAGGAAACGUGAUUCUAAGCAUAACAAAGCUAGAUACGGUGUCAAGGUCACGGUCAACUUACAUGUGAUGUCUUCAGCUUGGAACUGCUCUUGAUCUUCCUGCACGUACUCUCCAGAAUCCACGUACUUGCUCUCCGUUCCCGAUGCUACCCAAGAUAAGAUAACAGCCAAUGAACACCGGCAAAACAUAAUGCAACAACCAAUAUGAUGCAUGUGUGAAGAAGCAAGCAUGCAUCACUAUUCUAGUCACUUUCAUAUGCAUUAGUUGAUUUAAUUGAAUUCUGGACAGAACUUCAUAUUCAGUUAUCUUGACAUGCAUGAAUAUGUCAUGAACAUAUGCAUCACAACAAAACGAUGCAAAAACAUAUAAAGAACAUAGAGAACGGAGCCACGGAUCAACCGGAAACUACAAAACAAGGUAUGGAGACCUACGGUUCAAAUCAGCCACAAACACACUCUAACGGGCACUCCCUGGUGUAACCAGGUUGCCACAUGAUCAAGCAACAAAAUAUAAGUGGGGUGGUGCAUGGGAGCACACCACACCAUCAACAAUGCCCACACAAGCUUCAAAUCAAUACAAACAUAUAAUAUAUUUCAACAACAACAUAGCAGUUUGUCUACAAUAUUUAAACUAGCUACAUCCAACUAAAUUAAUCAAACAAGAUAUGAGAUAGAAGCCAUCCAAAAUCUCUACAACGCUGAACAAGAAACUAAUGCAAAGGAAUCACCCAUGAGCAGAUCUAUAGACACUAACUUGGACAAAAUAUCACAGAUUCUGGGACUUUGUGAAAAUCACAGAUUUUCACCAGCUGCUUAUGCUCUGAAGCAUUUUGGCAGCCUCCAAAAUGAUAUCUACAAGAAGUGUAUAAGCAUGACAUUUAACAGGGAGCUAAAAAAUCAUGAUAUCUCACAAACAUUAGUUUGUUGCAUGGGCUUAUUCCCAACACUGGAGCUAAUUCACACCAGACAACAGGGGAAGAAAAUAACAUCCGAUUCCCAGCCUUAGUGAAAAUCACAAGGUUUCACAAAUCUUUCAGUUUCAGCCAAGUGUCCCCUUUGACAGGGCACAAUAGGUGCAUGCAAAUCCCUAAGAACAAAACAAAGGACCCAUGUUGUAGAGCGGUUCACCCACUACCAUUCCAUCAAGGAAUCAUCCACAAAGGUCCAUAGCACCACCUAAUGUAAAGCUCUAAACAUGGCAUCAAAUCAGAAAAUAAUAGUUUUAUGAAGUUGCUCUAAAGUGAAAUCUGACAUCACAAAUGGAUUCCUGGGAUGAUUCUACCCCAAAAUCAUAUAUCAUACAUGGGUACUCCCAUGUAACAUCAAAGCACAAAGCUAGCUCGAAAAUGACACAUAGAAUCCCAUAGGCUACAACUACUAUCAUCACAUGUGAACACCAGCACAUAUUGCAUCACCUACACAUGCACAUCACUAGGGCAAGAACAUCCUAUCUAGGUAUGUCAUGGACUCACUAACAUGUCACACCAACAUAUAGAAAUUAGGUGUUCAUCCACACACACACACACAUACAUACAUACAUGUGCACACACAUACACAUGCACAUGUAUAUACAUGGACUCUCACCACCAUCUACACCUACACAUGCCCACACACAAGAUCUACUCACACAUGUAUGUAUGUAUUUGCAAGCAUGAGGGAUUAGGCCCUCUUGCACAAGUGUGUGUGCAACACAUACACACAUCACAUACACACACACACUUCCACCUACACACUCUACACUACCUCUAGUGCAACAUGGAAAAAAACAAAUAAAAGAAACAUCACACAAGCCCCUGGUGUAGAAAGAACCAACACAAUGCAACAAAAUAAAUAAAGAAAUCAGAAUAAAAAAAUUAAAGAAAAGGGGAGAGUGUGGGGUUCGAACCCACACCCCCCUAGUGCCAACACACGCACAACACCACUCUGCUACUGCAUCAGUGCUUACCAGAGAGGGGGGCAUAAGCAGGCUAAGCCCUCUCUAGCGCUGCCCUCCUACUCGCGACACACAAAUAAAAAUAAAAGGGCGCCCGCGGGGGAUCGAACCCACGACACACUUCAGCGCGCCAGGCUCCGUUGCCACUGCACUGAGGUAAGUAAUCUUACCAUAGAGGGAGGAGGAGCCCUCUUGAGCAGCCUCUCUGCUCUAUUACAAACCACGACGGUGACUGAAAUAGGGGAAGCUCUCUGGUGGCUCUCCGGCGACCAAAACCUACGACAGCUACCACGCGGGGGAAGCGGGAACCCUAGGGGAUCCAUUCCCGAGGCUAGCUUCCUGGGAGGAGGCCCACGGUGACGGCUCGACAGUGCGCUACCUACGACGACGGCGGCGACGGCUACGCACGAUCAGAGCCCCUACGUUGAGGAGAAGAGGAAGGAUGAGGAAGGAGUUGCUCACCCUACACGACGAGGAGGAGAAGAAGGCCCGACGAGGAGGACGAACAGACGAGGCGGCCCAACACGCUGCUCCUUCCGCCCGAGAUGACGACGGCAAGGAGGGGCCGACAGAGGAGGGGAUCGACCCUCCUAGUGCCGGGAAUGGGUUGGAGAAGGCUCCUGCAUCCUCGCGGACGCCUCGGACGCCGCGGUGGAGGCUGCCGGCGACAAGGAGGAUGGCGGGAUCAACGGCGGCGCUCUCUGAAUCCUCACUCUCUCUAAACCUUUCUCUCGAGCGUUACCUGCAGAGGGGAAGAAGGAGGGAGAAAGGAGGUGGCGGCGGGGGAGAGGAACCCUAGACAAGGCCCGUACGUCGAGGGGGAAUAAGUAGGCGACGAGGAGACGGCCUUGACGUCCGUGUAGCCACGGCAUCGCGAGCUCUCUCUCUCUGAACCUGACGGAAAGCAGGGAGGAGGAGGGACGUCGUCAGAGAAAGAAGAGAGGGACGGGGAGAAGGCAUUCGGGCGAGAGAAAAGAAGGCGAGGCCCAGGUGAGGAGGAGUAGGCCGCCCACCUCGGCUUCUCUGUUAAAAGAAAAAGGGGGUUUUCUUUUUAAAUAACUAAAACCCAAACAAAACUCACAGUGCCAAGAAGAGGGUUUUGUUUAGAAAAAUAAAAAUAGCCAGGGGCUGAGGGAUUUACGCCCUAUUUAAAUAAAAUACAAACCAAAUUUUUAGAGCAUUUAAAUUAUCCCUAAAAAAGGAAUUUACAAUGCUGUUUUUAUAAAACCACAAAUGAAUUAAAGCUUAAAAACAACCAGUCAAUUACCCCCUCAACCACAAGUUAAUACUCUGAAUGUUUAACAUUUUUAAAACAGGUUCUAACAAGGUUUAACACACAAGUUUAAAAAUAACAAAGGAGGAAAGCUUUGCAUAGUUUGGCAAGCAUUGUAGUUGAAAGCAUGUUUGGAAACAAUGCUUGAAUACACCACAACAUCACAUCACACCAAAGCAAGCUAUCACAACCAAGAUGGAGUUGAACACAAUGCACUUGAAAGGGAUGCCAUGAUGCAAGAUGAUGACAUGCAAUGAGCCACAUGAAAUGAUAAACUCAUAUAAAAACCACAACAAGGUUCACAAACUAGGAAAGGAUCCAAAUAUGGAAAGGAUUACAUCUGGGUUGUUACAUAUUGAGACCUCUUCCCAUGUAGCAUAUCCUUAUAUGCCCAUAUCUUCAAUGGUCAUGAUCUCACGUGAUGCCCAGCCUUUUUGCACUUAAAGGAAGAAAUGUUGGACUUGUUCAUGGCUUGGUCUUGUCCCCUUUUCUUGUUCAUGGCCUUCAUCUUAUUGCAGUGAUAACUAUGUCCAUCAUCACACUUUUUGAAGUGUUCCUUGAAACUAGUGACUUGGGCCUUGAGCUCAUUAAUUUCUUCUACAUAGUUAGUUUCAACACUAGAAACAAGAGGACUAGUGGAAUUAGAAACUUCAUGGUUAGAGCAACAAGAGAAUGCGAGCAAUCCAUCAUGAUUGGUAAUAAUAUGAGAGAUGGGUGGAUUACAAGGAUUAGCACAUGGCAAUAAAGCAUUUAUAGUAGAUGUACUAAUGUUCACAUGAGACUCACAAGAUUUUACCUUGAUGGCCAUAGUCUCAAGUGCUAACUUUAACUCAUUAUGAGAGAUUAGAAGAUCCUCAUGAGUGCUUAAGAGAUUUUCAUGACUUUCUUGCAAUUUCCCAUAAUUUCUGGUUAGCAAAUAACUUUGAGCACAUAACUCAAAAUUCUCCUUCAACGUUGAUGCCUCAAAUGUGGUAGAGUUAGAUGCACAAGUAUCAUCAAGAAUAUGAGAGGAGUAAGUAGCAAUUAGUGACUUCUCAUGUGUAGAUUCAAGCUCUUUAUAGAUCUUAGAGGUUUUGAUGAGCUCUUCCUUGAAAUUAUUGCAUUCAAGGAGAAGGAGCUCAAAAUCCACUUUAAGUUUACCAUGAGCAAUUUCAAUCUCUCCUUUUGAAGAUCUUAACUCUCUAUAUGUUUGAUGAACCUUAUCAAGUUCAUGUUCAAGUUGUUCGCUUUAAGCUUGUUCGUACAUAAGUGAAUCAUUACAAUUUUCAAAGUAAGCAAGAACAUCUUGAAGCCUUUUAUAGGUGUUAAUUUAGCUCUAUGAAGAAUUUUACCAAUAACAUAGAGAUUGUGAGUCAAGUCAUCAUCAUCAUCCUUAUUACAAAUAUCAUCAUUAUCACUAAGAGAAGAUGAUACAUCAUCGUUACCUCUUGCCAUGAGGCACAUGUGAACAAAGUUAGUUGAUGGUGAUUCUUUUGGAGAACGAGGUUCUUCAUCAGUCAAGAGUGCCUCAUUUUUUUAUUUCCCCUAAAUGGUUAGCCAUAGGGCAACUACAGGGAACCAAUGCAUUUUCAUCACGAAAAGACGGGAGAGCAAGCAUAUCACCACAAACAUUUGUCAAGGUAUCCUUAGGUGAUAUGCAUGAACUAUCAACAUAGUAAUUUACACUAUAUGUGGUGUUAGAUGUGCCCAUGUCCAUAGGGGAUACAACAAAAUCAUCAACACAAGCAAGUUUUUUAAUAAUGAACUUAAGACCAUCAUCAAAAGAUAUUUCUUCACUCACCAUGUGAGUACCUUGUGGCACGCUAAAUGUUGGUGGAGUAGAAGAUGCUGAAGUGUGCAAGUAAUCGGAGAUGGAAGUAAUGGAGCUCAUGCACCAACUCCUUCAACAUAAUAUUGUCUUCAUCGAGAUUGGACCCACCAUAUAUAUCUUCGAGUUUGGUCCAAACUUCAUGAGCCGACUUGCAAGUCGAGAUUGACUUAAACACUUCAGGGUUUAUAGUUUGAUGAAUGGCAAGGGAGGACUCACAAUCAAGAUACAUGUCAUCUAUAGAUGGAGAUGGAUCAUCCUUUGCAGCAACAAUCCCUACAAGAACAAUUCGUAAAGCAUUUGGGCCCAUGGCCAUCAAAGUCAAAGGUGUCAUUAUGCACUAAUCCAAUAUUCGACAUCGAUACUCUCUAGGUGGUGAGGCCUAAUAAGGAGAGACCUUGCUCUGAUACCAAUUGAAAGGACCACGAUGUCGCCUGGAGGGGGGUGAAUAUGCGUUUUAAAAACUUCUACGGAUUUGGCUUAAUCCUAAUGCGGAAAUAAACUAAGAGGAUACUUCUCAAGCACAAAUCCUAAAUAUACGUGGCUCAACUACGUGCGUCAACAACUUGUUCUACCAAGAUGAAUCACAACAAGAUUACUCACGAGCAUAAGUAAGUUACACAACCUUACUUGAGCAGUAUUACAAGAUGUGUAAGUGUAUGACACAAGUUAGCAAAUAACACUAAACACAAGAUAUAUCAAUAUUACCAAGUAUGAACUGCGGGAUAUAAAGUGUUGGCCUGACUGAUUAAUCUUCACAAGGAAAUGGCCAACACAAUAUAAUGCGGACAACAAUAUGUAGUGAAUGUAUGCUCAAGUAACCAAGGUAAUCCACAAGCAAGGAGUUAGGGUUAGGGAUAACCAAUGUCACGGAGACAAGGAUAUAUCCCGAUGUUCACUUCCUUGGAGGGAAUCUAGUCACCGUUAGAGAGAUGGAUGUUACCACGGUGGCACACCAAUGCCACGAAGGCUCACCCUAUUCUUCCUUUGAGACAACACCACGAAGGCGUUUCUCAACCACUAGUGAUAAGCCUUUGAGGUGGCUUCCAAACACUCACAAACUUUCUGGGGGUAAUCACAACGGUUUGAUUCCUCUCCGAAGAACUCCUACCGCUAGGAGUCUCCAACCUCCAAGAAUAACAAGAUCAAGAGGACUGCUCAAAACUUGCUCAAAUCACAAAUAGCUUGGGUUGAGAGGAGGAGAGGGAGACGAUCUAUCUUUUGAUUGGAGCAACCCUCAAUAUCACUCACAGAUGCACUUGGGAUCUAGCUUUUGGUGCAUGCAAAUGGGAGUGAGAAAGAUAAGAUGUUCUUGGAAUAUAUUGGUUGUAUUUCGCACCUCCCUCUCGAGGUGGGAGAAGACUAUAUAUAGUGGUGGCACAAAGGUGCCCAUUGGUGCCACUUAUGCAGUGUUGUUUCCGGGCGUCCGAUAGCUCAUGGUCGUCCGGACAUCCACGAGAGGUCGGACGUCCGAUAGUAGUCGGUCGUCUAAAAGAUGCAAAACGCAUCUGAUUAACACAGCGUUUGGUGGAGAGGUAACCAACAUAUGGUCGUCCGAAGGACGUCGGUCGUCCGAAGACACAAAAGAUAUUAGGUCAGCAUCAGGUGCAAAAGUGAACAACGCACCGAUGACCGAAAGGCAUCGGCCGUCCGGGACACGGUUGCCCGGAAUGGUCGAAAGUCCGACAUUUUGGAUAUGUUUGGUAGCUACGGAAUUCCUACCAUACCCGGACGUCUCGGACGACCAGAGGGACCGGAAGUCCGAAGGUUUGACUCUGUUGCAUGGCUCCGGAUUUCCGGAUGGCGUCGACCAUCCGUGGUCCGGACGUUCGAGAACCAGCAGACAACUAAACAGGAGCAGACCAACUAGGAAUAUAGGGAGAGUGGAAUUGCCUAGAGUUUUGAGAAAGUUUCUUGCGAGACCGACUGAUCCCCUCUUAAUACUGCGGGAUCCCUAAAACUCAAGAUACAUAAAAGAGCUACACUACAUAGCUACCAAUAAUCCAUAGUUUAGUGUAUAUGUUUAUUCGGUGGUCAUCACUCCACACCACUAAUGUCAAAGGAACUAAUACCAUUGAGUCAGACCUUAGACUUGAGCUUGAUGUUAUUGUUUCGUCUUGGCUCAAGCUGAAGGCAUGACCUUGAUGAAGUCUUCAAGUAGCUCUCCCAUACACAAUGUAGAAAGCCUUGCUUACUAUUCAUCUUCAUUCGUCUAUCAUAUGAACAUCCACAAGCUUCAAGCAUGUAAUCCUUAGAAAUUGUUAUCUUGCACUUGUCCUUGUCAAACAUGAUCAUGAACCAUUGAUGUCAUCAUCUCCUGGACACUUGGAAUCUCUCUCUUGGUGCGAGCCCAUGAGAAUCACCUAACCCUUAUAUACAUAGAUAGCAAGUAGUAUGGGUUAGUUCACAACGUGCAAUUGACAAUUACUUACCAUACCACAGGAUCCCAUGUGGUACAUCAUUUGCGCUUGUGUGAUGACCAACUUUGAGUUAACUCUUUGAUCUUCAUCUUGGUCAACAUUUAUCUUGGAUCCAUGAUUAAUCUUGAUGCCUUGAAGGCCCUAUUGAUUUCUUGUUAGGAUUCAUUGCUGUAAGAAAUCAUUGCCAUUAUCUCAAUUCACCAUGACCAUAUCAAGUUUCUCCAUGAAUCUCAUAUUGGCUAUAACUUGCUUGUAUUCAUGAUACAACAUAUGAGCUCAUCAUGAUCCUAUUUCCAAGACAUGUGUAUAAUUCUUCUCUUAAAUUAUUCUCUCAAGAUCUUGAUCCAUCAUGGCUCAAACCAUAAACCAAAGCAUGAGAAUGUCUGAGAUCCUCAGUGAACUCCACAAAGAUCACAUUAGUUCAUCACAUGGAAUUCAUCUUGAUCAUAUCAUAUUUGAUUCACUCAUUGAGCUCCUCCUUGACGCAUGCACAACAAUAUGUAUAUGACAUUCAUUCAGAAUUCAUUCGAGCUCCUUCUUGCAUAUUCAUGGAGCAAGCAUACUUGAAAUCAUCCAAUAUUCUUCAUGUGUUGCAAAUAGAACAUUCCUUCAAAUGUAUAACUCAAUGCAAACAUUAGUCCAUUAGGAUUGUCAUCAAUUACCAAAACCACACGUGGGAACUACAUGUACUUUCAAAGAAGACUACGCCUAGUGCGUAAUGGAUGUUCAUCUUGUAGCAAGCCGGCUUGCCGAGAGUCUUGACAUGUACAAGUAUCAGUCGGCCUACGAUGAUAAUCAUAAACUUGUGGCGCCUCCCAGUUUUGCACGAAUGGAGUUGACUCCUCAGCACCGUAAGCAUAUUUUUGCCUCUGAUGCUGACCCGUCAACCAUCUUGACACAGGAAGCUGAAUUUCAUGCUUUAAUCAAUUGCAUGUGGGAUGUGGGCAACUUCCAGAUCCAAGACCCCGAAAACUCUGCACGGGGUGACCCAGAGGCGGCUUAGACGCGGAGACCCUCGAAGCUUCAACCUGAAGAAAAAGACUGAACCCGGAGGAAACUUGCCACCGGGUUAAUAUAGAAAAAAAAUUUGGCCUUCAUGAGCCAUGUAAUUUGCUUUUGAGUAUACUUAAACUGCUAUAUAUUUGCAUGAAUAGCAAUGCCAAACCUUCCUGGCGUUACUUUGAAAUAUAAGUCGCCUGUUUGAGCUAUCGCUGGUUAGGAAGUAUGUUGGUUUCUCCUCCUUGAAAGGAAAGACCUUUAGAAUCACCCAAUUUGGAUAAGUCAGUACAACUGUUGGAUCUCUACCUUAAAAUAUAACACCAUAUAAGGUGAAAAAUAAGCCAGCUCAGUGAGUCACGGCGGGUAGACGGGUUUGCAAGGCUCUAGUCAUACUCCAAGAGGUUUUUUGCAAAAACCUUUAUGUUUUUAGACUGGCGGAUCAGGCUCAAGUCAAGCUUCACUGAAGCAGGUACGGUGAACCCAUGGUUUGUCUAUUUUCCAUAUGCUCACUCUCGCCAGCACCUCAAUGUUUUAACUUUCGAAGUUCAAGGUCCAAAAUUGGAUUGACUCGCCAAGAGUACACGGGGCUUAUGGGCGAUUUGCAAAACACACAAUCCAGUAUAACCAUUGUAAUGCAUUAAUCUUUCGUUGGCCAAGAGGGUAUUAAGGUGGGACUCAAUGAGUCAGAAGCCUCCAAGUGACCUAUGAUCAAGGAAAAGUGGGCAUAGGAUAGCAGAAGACAAUGCUAUUACUGCUAAACAACCUGGGGACAGGUAGCCCCCAAGUAAGCCGAUUUUUAUCGUUCAUGAGCAUACAUUGGCCCCUAUGUUUGAACUGUGCAUCAUGGCACUUGAUCCUCUUUGGCUUAUUAUUAUAUAUGUUUAAACAAUCACAAUAGGGCGAAUCAUUCUUUUUUAUACUAAUAGAGUACAUGUUCGAAUGGCCUCCUUGGCGGCGACUCAUCCUUUUGGGCGGCUUAUUUAAUCAAUAAAGAAUCAUGCUCUACAUAUAGGCUGAAACGGGAGAGACCCCGAAUUUCGUGGGUGCCAACUUUAUUGAUGUGAUAUAAAGAGUACACAAAUACUUAACUAUGUACAUGGAUAAGGAGCCAAUGGCUCUAAGUGUAGUAAGACCGCAGAUGAGCAAUGUUCCAUGGGCGGGUUGUCUCUUCCUCCGAGGUUGGCUUCUUAGGGCGAAGAUCAAUCAAGUAAUAAGAGCCAUUGCGAAGGUUUUUGCUAAUGACGAAAGGUCCUUCCCACGGAGGCGAGAGCUUGUGCAUGCCAGUAUGAUCUUGAAUAAGUCCAAGCACUAAGUCGCCCUCCUGGAAGACCCGACUCUUGACCCGUCGACUGCGAUAACAACGCAGGUCUUGUUGGUAGAUAGCCGAUCGUGUUGUGGCUAAAUCACGCUCCUCCUCCAAAGAAUCCUGACAUGCUUGCUCAUUAUCGGCUUCUACGUACGCGACGACUCUGGGAGAAUCAUGCCUUAUAUCGCUUGGAAGAAUCACCUCAGACCCAUCGAAGCGGAAAAAAGGAGUGUAACUAGUAGAUCUGUUUGGUGUUGUUCUGAUGCUCCAAAGUACGGAAGGAAGCUCUUCGACCCAACAACCCGGAGUGACCUGCAAAGGAACCAUGAGCCGGGGCUUGAUUCCAUGCAAGAUAUCCUGGUUAGCCCGCUCAGCUUGACCAUUGGAAUGUGGAUGAGCCACUACGGAUACAUCAAGUCGGAUGUGCUCUCGUUGACAAAACUCCUUCAUUGCCGCCUCAGACAAAUUAGUACCAUUAUCAGUAAUGAUGCUCUAGGGAUAACCAAAAUGUAAAAUCAGCUUUUUGAGGAACUUGACUGUCGUCUCUGCCUCACAGUUGCUGACCAACUCUGCUUCAACCCACUUGGUAAAUUUAUCAACCGCCACCAACAGAUGGGUCUUUUUGUUGGGAGACAUUUUAUACGGGACACCCAUAUCAAGCCCCCAAACUGCGAAAGGCCAUGUAAUUGGGAUCAUGUGCAACUCCUGAGCCGACAUAUGUACUUGAAGUCCAAACUUCUGACAUCCAUCAUAUCAGUGCACUAUAUGUUGUGCAUCGGCAUGAGGCAUUAACUAGUAGAAACCAUGACGAAAAGCUUUUGACACCAAAUAUCAUGACCCGGCGUGAUGUCCACAGUCACCUACAUGUAUUUCGUUAAGAAUAUCUCACCCUUCUUUCGGCAAAGCACAAUGCCGGAAAACCCCACAAGUACUUCGUUUGUGUAACUCUCCUUUAUGUAUAACCAUGGGCUUGCACCACCGCACGAUUUGCCUAGCGAAAACUUCAUGAGCUGGCAACUCGCCUCGAGCUAGAUAAGCCAUGUAAGGUACCGUCCAGUCAGGAAUUGCCCGGAGAGCCACCACCAACUGCGACUCCGGGUCAGGAACCACUAUGUCUUCUUCUGAAAGAAACUUCACAAAAGGAUUAUUUAAGACAUCCAAGAAGACAUUGGGGGAACAGGCUUACGUUGUGAUCCAAGUCGGGAUAGAGCAUCAGUCGCUUCAUUCUAUCAACGAUCAAUAUGAUCAGCCUAUUAGCCAUGGAAAUAACCCGCCACCUCGGUUACAUCACGCCUAUAAGCUGCCAUCAAUGGAUCUUUGGAAUCCCAGGUUCCUGAUACUUGUUGAGCCACCAAAUCUGAGUCGCCUAAGCACCUGACCCGGCUCAGGUUCAUCUCCUUAGCUAUCCUGAGCCGAUGGAGCAACACCUCAUACCCAGCCGCAUUGUUCGUGCAAGGAAACAUGAGCCGCAGAACAUAGGUAAACUUGUCACCUCUUGGGGACGAUAACACCACUCCAACUCCCGAGCCUUCCAACUUCCUAGAGCCAUCAAAAUGAAUAAUCCAAUAUGUGUUAUUAGGCCUAACUUCUGGAUUCUGUAACUCGGUCCAAUCGUUGAUAAAGUCCACCAGAGCUUGAGACUUGAUGGUUGUGCGAGGCAUAUACUUCACAUGAUGAGGACCAAGCUCUAUUGCCCAUUUAGCAAUCCGCCCAGUGGCUUCUCGGUUCUGUAUAAUGUCCCCAAUUCGCGCAGAACUGACCACGGUGAUUGGGUGCUCCAGGAAGUAGUGCUUCAACUUCCGGCUUGCCAUAAAAAUCCCAAUGACCAGCUUCUCCCAAUGUGGAUAUCGCUGUUUGGACAGGGUCAACACUACACUCACGAAAUACACUAGCCGUUGAACAGGAUAUUGCUUGCCUUCUUCCUUCCAUUCAACAACCAUGGAUCCACUCACCGCUUUAGAGUUAGAAAUAAUAUACAAGAGCAUUGGCUCUUUAUCAACCGGGGUUGCCAUUACGGGCGGAUCACCAAGUUGCUUCUUAAGGGCCUCGAAAGCCUCAUAAGACGCAUCGGUCUAGAUGAAGUGAUCCGUUUUCCUGAGCAACUGAUAAAGAGGGAUGGGCUUCUCACCAAGGCGACUUAUGAAACGACUCACCGCCGCAAUGCGACCCACCAUACGCUGGACCUGAUUAAUGUUAGCCGGCUUCCUGAGCAAAGUUAUCACCUUGAUCUUGUCCGGGUUAGCUUCUAUGCCACGCUCGGACACGAGGAAUCCCAGUAAUUUUCUCGCAUUAACCCCAGACACGCACUUGGUCGGGUUAAGCUUCAUUUGAUACACCUGGAGGUUGUCAAAUGUCUCCUUGAGAUCGCCUCGAAGUGUCUCCUUCUUCUGUGACUUCACCACGAUGGCAUCAAUAUAAGCAUGGACGUUACGUCCAAUGUGGCUGUGCAAACAAUUCUGAAUGAAACGCUGAUAAGUCGCCCCCGCGCUCUUGUGUCCAAAAGGUAUUGAGACAUAGGAAAAAGCAGCAAAAGGGGUGAUAAAGGUCGUCUUCUCCUAGUCCUCCUUGGCCAUCUUGAUUUGGUGAUAACCAGAGUACUCAUCCAGAAAGCACAAACGCUCACAACCCGCCGUAGAGUCAAUGAUUUGAUCGAUAUGGGGAAGGGCAAAAGGAUCCUUCGGACAAGCUUUGUUGAGGUUUGUAUAGUCGAUGCACAUGAGAAAAGUGUCAUUCUUCUUGAGAACUAAGACCGGGUUAGCCAACAACUCAGGAUGGAAACCUCGACGAUGAACCCAGCGGCCAAGAGCCGGGCGACUUCCUCUCCAAUUGCUUUAUGCCUCUCCUCAUUAAAACGACGAAGGUACUCACGAACCGGCUUCAUCUUGGGAUCUACAUUGAGAUGGUGCUCAGCGAAUUCUCUUUAUACUCCUGGCAUGUCAGAAGGUUUCCAUGCGAAGAUGUCCUGAUUCGCACGUAUGAAUUCGAUGAGCGCGCUUUCCUAUUUGGGAUCUAAAUCGUUCCCAAUAGUAAACUGCUUGGAAGAGUCGCCAGGGACGAAAGCAACUUGUUUGGUAUCAUCUGUCGGCUUGAACUUAAGGGGCGGCUCAGAAUCAACCAUUGGCUUUUUGAGCGAGCUCAUGUCAGUCGGGUCCACAUUGGCCUUGUGGAACUUCGACUCUUUGCCAGCGCACGCCGACUUCGCAUAUGCGGCGUCUUCUUCUUCGCACUCCUGAGCUAUCUUUCGAUCCCCAUUGACUGUGAUGGUGCCCUUGAGACCAGCUAUUUUAAGCUUAAGGUACACAUAUCAAGGGCGGGCCAUGAAGAGAGCAUAAGCCGGCCACCCGAAUAGAGCAUGAUAAGGGCUUUUAAUUUUGACCACCUCAAACAUCAAUAACUCACUCCUGUAAUUGGAAUCAUGACCAAAAGCCACAUUCAACUUGAUCCGCCAACAGGAUAUGCCAACUUGCCCGGAACAAUGCCGUGAAAAACCGUGGUUGAAGGCAUCAAGUCCUUCUCAUCAAAGUUCAUACAUCGGAAGGUGUCAUAGUACAUGAUGUCGAUACUGCUACCUCCAUCCAUCACGACCUUAGAAAGUGUGUGUCCCCAAACUGAGGCGCCACCAUCAACGCCAAGUCGCCAGGGUUAUCAAUCUGAGGCGGGUGAUCAUCUCUACUCCACAUGUUAGGCUGUUUAGGUCAGUUUAAGUAUCUGGAAACCGCCGGCUCAGCCAUAUUGAUGGCCCUCUGCUUUAUUUUCUUAUCCCUCUUACACGUACCAGUGGUGAAGACAUAGUAUUGGCCGCCAUUCAACUGCUUAGGAUUACUUUGAAAACCUUGCCGCUUGUUUGGCUUCUAGAAACUGCCCUAGUCAUUAUACUGCUGACUGCCUUGGCUAGAUGACUGUCCACCAUUGUGUUGGGGAACGCCGCAUGGGAAACAAAAAUUUUCCUACGCGCACGAAGACCUAUCAUGGUGAUGUCCAUCUACGAGAGGGGAUGAGUGAUCUACGUGCCCUUGUAGACCGUACAGCAGAAGCGUUAGAGAACGCGGUUGAUGUAGUGGAACGUCCUCACGUCCCUCGAUCCGCCCCGCGAACAAUCCCGCGAUAGUCCCACGAUCUAGUGCCGAACGGACGGCACCUCCGCGUUCAGCACACGUACAGCUCAACGAUGAUCUCGGCCUUCUUGAUCCAGCAAGAGAGACGGAGAGGUAGAAGAGUUCUCCGGCAGCGUGACGGCGCUCCGGAGGUUGGUGAUGACCUUGUCUCAGCAGGGCUCCGCCCGAGCUCCGCAGAAACGCGAUCUAGAGGAAAACCGUGGAGGUAUGUGGUCGGGUUCCCAUGGAAAAGUCGUCUCAAAUCAGCCCUAAAACCUCCGUAUAUAUAGGUGGGAGGGAGGGGACCUUGCCUUGGGGCUCAAGGAGCCCCAAGGGGGUCAGCCGAGUCCAAGGGGGAGGACUCUCCCCCCCCCCCCCAAACCGAAUUGGACUAGCUUUGGUGGGAGGGAGUCCCCCUUCCUUCCCACCUCCUCCUUUUUUUUCUUUCUCUCUUAAUUUUCUUCUCCUUGGCGCAUAGGGCACUUGUGGGCUGUCCCACCAGCCCACUAAGGGCUGGUGUGUCUCCCCCAAGGCCUAUGGGCUUCCCCGGGGUGGGUUGACCCCCCCGGUGAACUCCCGGAACCCAUUCGUCAUUCCCGGUACAUUCCUGGUAACUCCGAAAACCUUCCGGUAAUCAAAUGAGGUCAUCCUAUAUAUCAAUCUUCGUUUCCGGACCAUUCCGGAAACCCUCGUGACGUCCGUGAUCUCAUCCGGGACUCCGAACAACAUUCGGUAACCAACCAUAUAACUCAAAUACGCAUAAAACAACGUCGAACCUUAAGUGUGCAGACCCUGCGGGUUCGAGAACUAUGUAGACAUGACCCGAGAGACUCCUCGGUCAAUAUCCAAUAGCGGGACCUGGAUGCCCAUAUUGGAUCCUACAUAUUCCACGAAGAUCUUAUCGUUUGAACCUCAGUGCCAAGGAUUCGUAUAAUCCCGUAUGUCAUUCCCUUUGUCCUUCGGUAUGUUACUUGCCCGAGAUUCGAUUGUCAGUAUCCGCAUACCUAUUUCAAUCUC